This 98322-nucleotide long non-coding RNA is filed under the name Ananas comosus (pineapple). Its description in RNAcentral is "long non-coding RNA (ACOM_LNC002981)". Lineage: Eukaryota; Viridiplantae; Streptophyta; Magnoliopsida; Poales; Bromeliaceae. The record is from RNAcentral.
UAGUUGUGUAUGCAAUGUGGUCUUUAACACUUAGGGUUUGUUUGGUUCAAGGGUGGAAUUGGAAUGGAUAAUGUAAUGGGAAUGAAUUAGAAUGGUAAUUGGAAUGGUCCACUCCCCCAAGACGUUUGGUUCAUUUGUGGAUUGAAAAUUGGAAUGAGUUAUUCCCAUUCCAUUGUUUGGUUCAUACAAAUUAAAAAAUUAUAGAAUACCAUAAUACUAAUUUAACUCUCAAAUAUAAUUUUAUAUUAUUUAAAAUUUAUGAAAAAUUUAAUACUAUUCUCUAAUGAGUUUUCCAAAAAAAAAUAUCAAAUUUAUUUUUAAAAACUUUUAUGCAAGAAAAAAAUUAUAAAAAUCUAGGAAUACUAAUAAUUUCCCCUUAAAGCAUAAUUUCCCCUUCAAAUUUAGUAGUUUACCCAAAAAAUAAUAAUAAUUAAAAAAAGUGGACAUGGAAAAGUAAAUGGAAAUUACAUAACCAUGCGCACUUCACAACAAGGUCACAAAAAUCUACCAACAAAAGCACGAUCUUUUCGAUUUACAUUAACAAUUCACACUGUAAUCAAACGGAUCCACCACUCGAAACCCUCCUAGAAACGCUAAUCGCACCAAGAAGUAAGUAGAUCGGAGACGAAUCUACAAGCAAUGGCGAGUAAAGAUCCAAUCGGAUCGGGCCUCACCUCGUCGCCACGCCGUUGCACCAACUCGCCGUGCCGCCCCGUCUUGCUGUCGUGCUGCCGAGUCUCGCCGCCACGCUGCCCUAUGCCGCCGCCGUGCCGCGUUCGCAGUACCGCUAAGGUUAGGGAUAGGGUUUUGAGAGGGGUAAGAGGGGUGAGGGAUAGGGUUUUUUUUUUUUGUUUGAUGAGAGGGGUGAGAGAUUGUAUACAGAGAGAGGAGGGUGAGAUGGUCUCAUGGGCUUCAGGACUUGGUGGGCUUCGGGAAUGAAAUCUCAAUUCGGGCUUGGAGUCCGGAAUCAAGUUGAAUGCUGAUGGGCCAUUCCCAUUCCAGUCCGGAAUAGGAAUCCCAAACCGAUUCCUGUGAACCAAACAAAAUUAAUCGGAUUUGAUCAAAUCGAUUCCCAUUCCAUAUCCCAAAUAAAUGAACUAAACAAGCCGUUUGGUUCAAGGGUGGAAUUGGAAUGGAUAAUGGAAUAGGAAUGAAUUGGAAUGGUAAUUGGAAUGGCCCACUCCCUCAAGACGUUUGGUUUAUUUGUGGAUUGGGAAUUGGAAUGAGUUAUUCACAUUUCAUUGUUUGGUUGGUAUAAACUAAAAAUAUUAUAGGAUACUAUAAUACUAAUUUUACUCUCAAAUAUAAAUUUAUAUUAUUUAAAAUUUAUGAAAAAUAUAAUACUAUUCUCUAAUAAGUUUUCCAAAAAAAAUAUCAAAUUUAUUUUUAAAAACUUUUAUUGAUGUGGGUUAGGGAUAGGGUUUUGAGAGAGGAUAGGUUUUUUUUUUUUGAUGAGAAAGGGGUGAAGAGAAGGAGGGUGAGAUGGUCACAUGGGCUUCGAGAACUUAGUGGGCUUCCGGAAUGAAAUCUCAAUCCGGGCUAGAAGACCGGAAUCAAGUUGAAGGCUAAUGGGCCAUUCUCAUUCCAGUCCGGAAUAGGAAUCCUAAACCGAUUCAUGCGAACCAAACAAAAUUAACAGGAUUUGAUCAAACCGAUUCCCAUUCCAUACCCAAAUUGGAUGAACCAAACAAGCCCUUAAAGGCUAGAGGCUCCAAAAGCUAGGUAUAGACCGAUAGAUGUGAUCUAUAGCUUCUAAAGUACACUAUGUCUGAUACAGUAUAAUUAUGUACAAACUUAUUAAUUAGGUAUCAAGUAGUUCUCAAUGCUGUUAAAAGAAAGUCCUUUGUUUGCCGAACGAAAAAAAGUUAUUAAAAAAUUAUAAUUUUACAAAAUAGGCCUUUUAAGAGCUGUAGAUUACAUCCAACAGUUUAGCUGUGGAUUUCAACACGUCUAGCUGUGAGCUUUCGAUAUGCUUGCUAUAUGCAAUAAUUUCGCCAAAAUCAGAGUCGAGGUUGGGACCUCGUUGUAUGUUGAAUUUGCUACCUGAUAUUUCCAAAUUUAUUUGUUCACUACUUUGUCCAAAUUUCUAGAUGGAUAGUUGAAAAUGAUCGGAGUUGAACCGAUAAUGUACACCUAAUUAUAGAUUUAUAGGUACAACCUCAUAGAUGUAUACAGUUGGUUAUUUCCUUUUCAUAGAAUGAUGAUUUGUUACAAACUUCCACGAAGAGAUGAAAAGUCUAUGUAAGGACGUAAGAUUAAGAGCAAAUUUACUUGCACUGCCCCAUUAGAAUCCUUUGGCUUCUCAGAUGAGGCUUAUGAUCCAAUUUAGCAAAUUAUUGAAGUAUUUGGUGUGAAUAAAAGAGGCAUUCUUCUGCAGAUUUUAGACGACAAUAUCCAUUUAGGAAGGUUUUUGGAAGAAUUCUUUAUAGUACGAAGAUUAGUAUGAAUGCUGUGGUGGACGAUCUUCGUUUUGAAUGCGCUUCGGCCUUGGCCUCAUAGAUAUCUAUGAGAUUCAAGCUCCCUUACAUCCAUGCGGGUUAUUUUCCGCCUAGUAUCUCAGAAAUGGAUUAUUUAUGUUGCAUGUUUUCUGAUUAGGUAUAAAUAUGAGCUCUAACUGAGAUUUCGAGGUUAUCAAGAAAAAACUUCAUAUCUGUUUAGAUGAUAUCUUAUAAGAUGGAGUGAUAAUUAUUUGUUGGAUAGAGAACUGCCACUGUAUAGGAAACUUCAUUUUUAACAGUUUGUUGUCAUCUCGUGCCAUCUUGCUAACAUGAGUGAAACGAACACAUACACCCUAGUUUUGGAUUGUCGAGGAUGGUUGUUAUGAAGUUACGAGUAGCUUUCUGAAAGUUUAUGAUCGGUCGCUUGCAUUUUUUUCUCACAUACAUGUAACAAGAAGAGUAUUGGUGCAGAAAUUUUAGCAAUAGAAACAUAGGGAUAGAAUCGUCGCCAUUACGGUGAUGAAUGUAGGAUAGUCAACUGAACUUUAAUCAUGGAGCCGGUGCUUCACGAGGAAUUCGAACCAGCUAAUAGAAACUUAGCAAAAUCAAUAAUGAUGUUUCCUUAAUUGACACAUAUCAUGCAUACUCAAACUAAACACGAUCAUUGAUGAUGUUUCCUUAAUUAACACAUAUUAUGCAUGGUCAAAUAUGCGGGGAUUCUAGUACUUCCUGAAUGUAAUUUUCGUAUUCUUUGCUCGAUGGUUGUUUUAAUACUUGAAUUUAGGUCAGAAUGCUGAAAAGAGAAGUAAAAAUGAUAAAUGUACAGCACGAUUUGAUAUUUUUGGGAAGUGUGUGAGUUUGAAGUAUAAUGGUAUCAUGCCCUUAGACCGCCAUUGGGUCGGCUUGGGCACGAGCCACAGACCAAUCUUGAUGAAUUAUACAUGAUAUAGAUACAUGAAGUAUCAAAAUGUAAUACUACUAAAGCUAAACGAAACCAUUACAACUUUCAUUUUUUAAAGUUUACCACACUUAUUUGUAUCCAAAAUAGUACACUUUUUCUGGGUACACAUUAGACAUCUUGCUUGGUCUAACUUCUUUUCGACACCCUUACCACGGUCUCGUGCCUCUUUGCGGGAAGUGGUAUUCAUUUGGUCCAGGAAGCAUAAGUAGAUAAUGAUAAAUAACGACAUCUAUUGCUACUAUAGAUAUGGAGGAAUUGAAAUACCACUACAAUGCGUCAAUAAGUACAAUAUGCUAUGAUAGUUGUUAUGUCGUUAGCCUACACAUAAAUCGCAUUUCAUUCUCCAACUUUAGCCUAUACAUAAAUCAUAUUUCAUUUUCCAACUUUAACACCUCAUGGAGAGUAGAUUGUUCUCCAACUCCUCUUCAAUCAGUAGGUAAAUGGGGUUGAUUGCUCAUGGAGAAUAAAUUGUUUUCGAACUUCUCUUUAAUCAUUAGGUACAUGGAGGGGUUGAUUGCUCACGAAGAAUAGAUUGUGUUUUUGAACUUCUCUUCAAUCAUUAGGUAAAUGGGGGGUUGAUUGCUCGUGGAGAAUAGAUUGUUUUCGAACUUCUCUUCAAUCAUUAGGUAAAUGGGGUUAAUUUUUCUCGGACUCUUCCAAAUAUCUCAUACCUUGACACUUUUGAAAGGUCGUACAUUUUACACCAUUUCACUCUAAGUUCAUAACUUUUAGGAUUAUCGAUAUUGUCUAACAUACAAAUACUUUCUCUAGUUCAAGUUUAUCGAGAGUUCACUUGCCACUAAGGACAUGUUUGGUUCAUGAUUGAAAUAGAAGUGGGAAAUUAAAUUAGAUUGCUUUGGAAUGGAAAAUGAAAUGACGAAUCAUCCAAAAAUGUUUGGUUCAUUAUUGGAAUGGAAAUCAGAAUGAAAAUUUAAAAUUUUUGAGAGAGGGUUUUGAUUAAGAGAGAGGAAAGUGAUAAAGAAAGAGGAGGUAGGUGUUGAUGAAAGAGGAUUUUGAAUAGUAUACUUUGGAAUGAGCUAUUCCGGAAUUCAAAGCCGGAUUGGAUCAUAAAUGAAUUCAGCCAUUCCCACUCCGGAGUGGAAUGGGAAUCGGAAUCCGAUUCCUAUAAACAAACGGCAACUAUCGGAAUCAAUGAAUUCCAUUCCGAUUCCAUAAUCUAAAAUAGAUGAACCAAACAUGCCUUGAGUUCUUGCCUUAGAAAACCUAGAUAACAUAUCACUCUUGUUUUCUAUGUUCAAGAUUCACAUGCAUGUCACCCAUUUUACUCUUUUGUCGUACAUACGGAUUUCAGUUAGAAAUCUUUGUUUUUUUUUAGGUCAAAUGCUAAGAUGACAUCUUGACACAUAUGAUCUACUAGUAUGCAAUUAGAAUAUAUUUACCUUACAUUGUACAUAUGAUACAUGUAUAAAAUUAAAGAAAUGUUAGACUAAGGAGUGAUCAAAUUGUUAGAACAAAUACCGUAACGAAAAUUUGAUUGUGAUUAAAAUCUAACUAAUUUAUAAUAAAGAUAAAUAAAUCAACAUACAGAUGACGCAAAUAUUCCAAUAAAGAUUUGAUCUUAUCCGGAAGCGUGCGAGGCACUGCCCUAAGACGUAUUUCCGUCCUUACAUGCGGAAUUAAUCGAAAAUAACACCCCAAGGUACGAUCGAAAUUCCUCCUCCUGCGAGCACGAUCAUAAAGAAAGUUGACGAAGAUUCUCAAAGUGGAUAAAAAAUGGAAUAUUCAAAAAUAAAGAUUAAUCAAUUAUCUAAUAUCUUUUGUACCUAUUGUUUUAUUCUAUCUGAAAACAGAGGAGGAAAAGAGAGGAUCUUCUGUACCUACUGUUUUAUUCUAUCUGAAAACAGAGAGAGGAAAAGAGAAACGGGAUUUAACGCCCUUUUUCGUUACGAGAAAAAGGCGUAUUCCGCGCAACGGAAUGAGAUUCCGUUGAGGCAAGAAACGGACCAAGAAACUGAACGAGAAAAAUAUCCCGUUAAUUUCUUUCUCAUUAAAAAACAUAAUAAAAUAAUUAAAUAAAAUAAAAUAAAUAAAAUAAUAAAUAAUAAAACAUCAAAGUUCAAAUAAAAUAAAUUCAAACUCAAAAUUUUGAGUUUUCACCAACACAAAUAUAUUUCGGUGAUAUUUUCAAUCUUUGCUUGAUUCUUUGCAAAUUCACCAAGGAAAUCCUAUCAUCUUCUAGCAAGCAAAGUGUAGAUGAGAAGGGCUUCUUCUCUUUUCUAGAGCUUUUUCUUGAAGCUCCCGACUUUCCCUAAUCCAAAUACGGAUCUGUAAGUUCCAACAAAGAGGGAAUCAGACGCUUGAUUGUUUAAUCCAUCGCACGAGGGAUGCUCUCGGGUUGAGCGCCCGACUGGUGUAUCAGACAUCUCCAAUUUUCUAAUUUAGUUUUAAAAAUUUUAGAUUUUUAGUUUAAAAUUAAAAUAAUUGCACGAUUAGUUUCCACACUUCUCACUUUUUUCACUUUGGCUCUUUAAAAAAUCAGAUAGGUGCUUGUCUCGUGCUCAUCUUGCGCUAAUGUGGUGAAUUUUGUGAAUUUAAUGGCCCUUUUAACGGCGGGGAUUUAACUGCAAAGAAAUAAAAAGGUGGGGGGCUUGAUUGCAAGAAUAAAAAAGUGUAGGACUUAAGUAAAAAAAAGUGAGACGGUGUGAGACUAGUAAUACAAUUAAUUCAAAAUUUUUUUUACAUAAAAAGCACUUUUUCUUCUAAAUUAUGUUUUCUAUAUUUUUACAUCCAACUACACUUCCAAAUAGUGAUAUUUAGACUUACUAGCAUUUAAUAUCAGCAUGUCAAUCAUGCUUGGAGAAACAUUUAGUUAAAAUAAAAUUUCCUAAAUUGUUUGUUUUUUAUUAUAUAUUAACUCUCAAAGAUCUCUUAUAAUUAAAUAACUUAAAUUGCACUUGCAUAUUAUUUUGAUAUAAAAUAUUUGUUCUACUAUAAAACUUGUAAGUAUAAAAAUUUAACAUGUUUGAGAACAAUAUAAACUUAAAAAGGGAAAUUUGUAAAAAUAUGUAAAUAUAUAUAAAGACUCAUUCAACUAUAAAUUAUUUUGAAAUAAGAAUUGAACUUUUCUUUUUCAGUUGACCUCUAUCAAAUUUUAUUUAUUUUUAUUUAAUUUAAUUUUAUUUAAUUAUAUUGAUAAAUUUGUUAAAAGUUAAUAUCUCUAUUAGCUGUCGGUCAUUAUUAUUAUUAUUUUUUUUGCUAAAAUUUACUUAGAGAAAUGAAACUUUAAAAAAUUACUUGAUUAAUUUAGCAAAAUCUCUAAUAUAUUUAGGUAAAAUAUAGAAAACAAACUAAUUUAGAUAAAGUUUAAUUAAAAUGCUAUUUCAAAAAGAUGAAGUUGAGAGGUAUCCAUAUUAUUUUAUUUUUAUUUAUUAUUAGACUUAAAAUUUCUCGUUUUCAACAAAUGAAAUAAAUGUAAGUACACCAAUAAUACAAGUAGGUUGACAACUGAUUGAAUAAGAAUAAUGAUAAUAUUUAUAUUAUAUAUAAUACUAGUUAAUGGACCCGUGCGAUGCUGUGGGUAGUUAUUUUAAAAUUUAAUCUUUAAAAUUAGUUAUAAAAAUUAAUUUAGAAUGAUUAUGGAAUAUUACGGAUAAAUUAUGGAACAAUUUUAAAUAAAUGCAGCUAUCUUCUCCAACAUAGAAAAUAUAAGGAGCUCUCUCAACAAUAAGCUAUUUUAAAAUAAUUCUUCAAUUUUAUUAAAUAUUUUCUUAUCUUAUUCUCUUUUGUUUGCUUUUAUAUUACUAAUUUUGUAAUGUUAUUUAUGUUAUUUCUAAUCUUUUGAGGAAUACAAAUGAAAUUAUCUUAUGCUAAUUAUUCCAAACAUGGCCACUUGUCUAAGGAAUAAAUAGUGCAAUGAGCACAUUCAAAAUUUUUAGUAGUCAUGAUAGUCUUCCAUUCGUUAGUGAAAUGAGAAGAGAAAUCUUUUCUUGCAUUGUGUACUAAUGUUUUAGUUAGUAUAUUUCAUAUGCUUCUCGCAACUAUUUAAAAUUAAUAUCAACAGUCUAAACUAUUUAAUAAUUAUUUAUAUAUUUUUAAUUUUAUAAUAAAAAAAGACUAAAGUAGAUUGGAAAUUAAAAAAAAAUUUUAAUUUAAUGUUAAAUAGAAAAAUUUAAUGCUCAAAAGAAAAAAAAGAUCCACAUGCCUGCUUUCAAUUGUUUAGGUCGAGAGAUUAUUUUGGUAUAAAUCUUGAUAAUACUUUAGUAUUACAAAAAUAUUCCAGAGAUUUUUUUAUGCUUUUUUUUUGACUCAUUUAAUGUCAUAUGAAAAAUAAAGAAAAAGGCUUUUCUGUAUUAGCGAAUCCCUCUCCCAUGGCUGGACCCCACUCGCACCGCUGCAACGGGGCCCACCAUGCGNGCCCGCCCCUGCUGUAGUGUUCCUGAGUUUUGGAUAGGAUUGGCUUCAGUAUUAGUGACUGGUCGACAUCUCUGGAGAGUGUCGGACUGAGUCGGAGUCAAUUCUGCACGAAUUGGAUGCAGAAUUGGACUCGGCGCACUCAAAUAAGCAAAACUGGAGUUUUGCCAGAUUCGGGCGCCCAGAAUAUGGUUUAGGUCGCCCAGAACUGAGUGUUAAAUUUAACUGAAACUGGAGCCAAUUCGGAUCCUAUGUUCCGGGCGCCCAGAAGUAGGUCCGGAAAUUUUACAUCGUGAAUAUCGUUUGCUUCGACGCGUGGCAGGGUGGUAGGUGAGGUCCACCGGAGCCGUUUACGGGCGCAGCACACCGCGAGCGGAGAAUCCGAGGAGGAUGAUUUGUGCAUCCUGGAUGUUUCGGUCGCCCAGAACAUGGUUCCGGGCGCCCAGAAACGCCCGUUUCUGCAGGGACACUAGAUUGCAGCUGCUUUUCUUAGGACUUAUUUUAUCCUUCCAGCAGCCUAUAAAUAGAUGGAGGGUGACCCUGGUGAGCUCUUUUCAGUCCAUCUUCACAGUGAACCCUUGGAUUUCAUCUUCUACCCUCGAAUUUUCAUAAAUUGCUUCAAAAUCCACAACUCCAAGCUUGAUAGGUGAUGAUUCUGCAGUUCUUCAACGACGACCUUCAGUGUUUUGGCUCGUACGCGACGUAGGAAGGUCGGAUCGCGGCGAAACUUGGUUUGCUGGAUUCUAGACUUCCUGAGGAAUCCACGAAGUCCUAAAUUGCAUAAUUUGGUUGAGGUUAGCUUGGUCGAACAUAAGUUUUACUCUGCUGCUAUUGUAUUUGGACAGAAUUGUGGGUUUUUGAAUUGUUCUUGAUGCUAUCUUUGGAAGCAAUGGGGUGUUGGACCUAAGGCACAUCCUCCAUCAUCAUCCACUGGAUUUGGGACUGUCCUCACCUAAAUUGGAGACCUUUAGGUGAGUUUUGAUAUUGGAGUUAAGAUAAUUAAGCUUAAGUGCUGAAAUUUUGGUGAAUUGAUGAAUUUUGAUGGAUUUUGGGUGUAGAUCUUUCGAGUAACUUGGUUGCUGGUUGUGGGUGAUUGCAGCUGAGACUUCCUGCAAUUGUGGCAUUCUUGCUGCCAGGGAAUUGCUCUUGAGGUGGGUUUGCAUCGGAUUACUUCUAAGUAAUAAGUAGAUGUAUAGUCGACAUGUAUGUUUUGUUGUUUGGUCUACAAUGUAAUUAGAUUAAAUUCAGUGAUAAGCUGUGGCUGUAACCUAAAUUUAAGCAUGCUAAAUAAGUGACAUUUACACAUGUUGGACUUGAAAAAUUGACUUAGGAGAAAACCUGCGUUUUGACCCGUCAUAUGGUUAAACUACCAGAUUUAGUUCUAGGAGCCGUGGUUUGACUGUAUCGUUGCAGUAUUAGUGCGAUGGAUAUCUGGGGUAGUUUAGAAGGCAUUUACGCUCGUGCUGGGGUGCCGAGCUUAUUUUUCAGCAGAGUCUAGGCUGUUUCGGGUCGUUGGGUGCCGUCCGGGUUGGCGGUGGACCCAGAUUCUUGUUUUGGUUCCAGAUUGUGCUGAGGGCACGUGGGUUUGGUUUGUAGACCUGUUUUGACCCUGUUUACAUGACUUUGGCUAGUUGGAGCCUGUUUGAGCUCGACAGAAAUACGCUGCAUACUCGGUUGGGUAGCUCCCACAAGUGCCACUCCGGAGGCGGGCGCUGUGCUUUUGCAUUGGUGUCGUGCAUGCCAGUUAGACUUGCUCUCCACAGACUGAUUAGUGUGGAGGUAGCUGGAUAGUCUCAACUGGGCGGAGCAGGUGUGUUCACAGUCCCUGGGACUGGUAUGUUUACAGUCCCUAGAUAGAUUGGGUCAGGUUUGACACUGCUACAGUAGGUCGGCAUAGAACAUGAUGGUAUAAUAAAUGGUAGCUGUAGAUUUUUAUUCCAGCAUUUAUUACUACCUUUGUUCCCUUCUGUAGACUUAGUGGGUGGACCGAUGUUGUUGAAGGCGGCACCCACUGAGGACUACUUGUUUUACAGUAGUUCUCACGCCCUGUUGUUACCCCUUUCUUGCAGAGCCAUUGUCUUCGGCUGCUGCUGUUACUGAUCAGAAUCGAGGCAAGGGCGUCGCAAGUUAGAGCCCUACCUGACGAGCCGAGCUAGAGGUGCCCCUACAGCAGGUAAUUGUUUUUGUUGGAGUUCAUGUACAUACAUAUAUUUAACUCGCCAGUGCGAGUAGUUUUGUAUCUUGGAUUUGGCGUAUGUAUAUGGAACUCGGUUUGUUUUAUUUUUACUAAUUCUUCUAGCAGCUCUAUACUACUGUUUGUAGUAUUGUAUGAUUUACAGGUACAGCUAUCACUUCGUAUACAGAAAAAAUUUCUUUGUAUACGGCGGAUUAGUCGGCGCGCCCGGGGAACGAGUAACCCGGGGCGUGACACCUGAGACGGCGCCCGCCCUCGCACGCUCGCGUCUGCGCCAGCGCUGGAGCUUGCCCCCGCGCCCGCGCCCGGGCCUCCUCCCUUGGCCGGCGCUAGUGUCUGCGGCCACUCGCCCCUCGCGCCCUCGCCCGCGCCUCCGCCUCCCGCUGCCACAUGUGCAGUUAUUGAGGAAUAAUAAGUCUAUAUAGAAAUAGAUAGUCUCCAAAUACUUCAAAGCAUUUUUGGUUCUCUCCAAUAUCUCAUACUUCAAAGCAUUUUUGGGUGGAGAGUUUUUUUUUUUUUUUUUUUUUUUUUGCUCACUUCUCACGCAUACUUUUUUCACACUACUGAUUUUCUAGGUAAAGUUAUAUAUGCCAUAAAAUUUUACAAACUACCUUAGGUCACAUCAGAUGGAUGCUAAGUAUGUUUCACCUAACCAAACUUUAUACAUGUGAUAUUGGAGAAAUCAUGCUAAAUGUUUCUCAUCCUAAAUGAUCGAAUGCUAAGUAUGUUUUACCUGACCAAACUUCAUACCUUAGUUAGUUAAUUCGCAAAUUAUUCAUAAAUUAUUAAAAAUCUAAAUAAAACAAUCUGUAUGCAAUUUAUUUUCAAAAAAUCGGAAUAAAACGUGACUUUUUUUGUUAGAUUUAUUAUUCGCGAAUAAUUUGCGUAUGCCGAACUAUUCGGCCAAACAAAACGAGCAAAAUUUUUGGAUAAAAUUAAUUUCCGAAUUAUUUCCAAAUUAUUGCCGAUUUAUUUGCGAAUUAUUUGUGAAUUGUUGAAAAAUUUUAUGAACAUUCGGAAUAUAUGGAUUAUGAAAAAAAUAAAGAUAAAGACGACAAUAAACUGUGCUAUUUUUUUUUUACUUAAUUUAUUUUAUUUUAUAGCUUUUUAUUUUUAUAUUUUUAAGAAUUUAUAACUAUAUAUGCUAGUAACAUAAAUCUAGAGAAAAAAGUUUAGUUUAAUAGCCGAAUUUUUUAUUCCGAAUUUUUACUUAGUGAAAGCAUAGUUUCCGUAUAAAUCAUGUAUCCGAAUAAUUGGCGAACCCAUUUUUUAAACUGUAUUUUUCAACAAAUUUAAAAAUUGAGAUGCAAAUUUUAUUCUAAUUAUAUCCGUACCGAAUUUUUGCCGGAUUCAAAUUAACUAACUAUGCUUCAUAAGUGUGAUGUUGGAGAAAUCAAGCUUAAAUGAAUAGCUUCGUAGUACCUCAAUCCUCAAUUCCUUUUCAUUUCUAAAGCAAGUGGUUAGGACUUUGGUGGCUGAUAACUAAGGUUUUAAGUUCGAAGCCAAAUUGUUUCACAUUUUCAACCAAAUUUUUUUCAUAAAAAUAUUAAUGAAUCAGGUAGCAUGCUAUCAUUGCUUUAAUUUUAGCUAUUCCUGUCAAUUAACCUAGACGUUUUCUUCAGUUAAAAAUAUUUAUUAAUUAUAUGCUAUCUAUCUUAAAAAAAAAACCAAUCUAUUGUUUCUUUAGUUUAAUUAUUUGUAACUCACUGUACCUAGUGUAAAUGGCAAAGGCCCUGAUGGUUGGUAUUCGAGAUCCCAAGUUCGAAGCCUAGUUGUUUCACAUUUCCAGCCAAGUUUAUUUCGACCUCAAAAAGCAUCUUCAUAUAUUUUUUACCUUUAAAAAAUAUAAAAUAAACCUUAAACUAAGAGAACGAUUUUUUUUGAAUAUUUACAUUAAACAACUUUUGUAUGAUGCGAGUAAAUACGUAAAUUUGUGUGUAUACUUCUCAUAAUCUAUAAUUUAUAUUUGUUCUUUUAGAAAUACCUUAUAUUAUUUCCAUCUCUCAAGCUGUAUUUUAUAUCACAUAGCUUUUUUUUAAUGGCAUUUUUUCACACUGAAAAGGUGAAAAAAGAUAGAGACUCCUCAUCAUAAAUACAAGUCAAAAUAAUCGAAGUGGUAUAAACAAAAAUAUGAACUACUUACUAUAGGUACAGAGACAAAUUAUAACUUAAAACCCCAUCCAAUACAUAAUCCACCUNUACGCAUCCAAAUAUGAACUACUUACUAUAGGUACAGAGACAAAUUAUAACUUAAAACCCCAUCCAAUACAUAAUCCACCUAUAUAUACUAGUCUGAAUGAAUUGAUUUAUCAAACAUGUUGUGUACUUUAGUUUCUUACAUAAGAAAUAAAAAUCGCUAUUUCUAUAUUAAGUUCCUAUUUGGAUGCGUAAACAUCUUAUUUAGGAUAUUUAUUUGAUUUACUCGAUAAGCAUAUAGUAUUUAAUAGAUAGGUAGGUUGAUCAAAUGUCUACAAUAAAUAUCAUAUUCAAUAUUCAAAUAAUUUUAUUAAGAUGAAAUAUGUUUUUCUACUAAAUUAUGAGUAAAAAUGAUAAAUGUACAGCAGGAUUUGAUAUUUCUGGGAAGAGUGCAAGUUUGAAGUAUAAUGGUAUCACACCCUUAGACCGCCAUUGGGUCCGCUUGGGCACAAGCAACAGACCAAUACGUAGAAAUUAUGCAUGAUAUAGAUACAUAAAGUAUCAAAAUGUAAUACUAUUAAAACUAAAUGAAACCAUUACAACUUCAAUAUUUUAAAGUUUACAACACUUAUUUUUAUUCAAAAUACUACACUGUUCUUUUGGGUACACACUAGACAUCUUACUCGGUCUAACUGUUUUUCGACGCCCUUGCCACGGUCCCUGCCUCUCUGCCGAAAGUGAUAUUCAUUUGGUCCAAGAAGCAUUCGUAGAUAAUGAUAAAUAAGGACAUCUAUUGGUACUAUAGAAAUGCAGGAAUUAAAAUACCACUACGAUGCGGUAUGUCAUUAUCCUAUACAUAAAUCGAAUUUCAUUUUUCAGCUUUAACACCUCAUGGAGAGUAGAUUGUUCUCGAACUCCUCUUCAAUUAGUAGGUAAAUGGGGUUGAUUGCUCAUGGAGAAUAGAUUGUUUUCAAAUUUCUCUUCAAUCAUUUAGUAAAUGGGACUGAUUGUUCUCGGACUCUUCCAAGUAUCUCAUACCUUGACACUUCCGGAAGGUUGUACGUUUUAUACUAUUUCAUCCUAAAUUCACGACUUUUAGGAUUAUCGAUAUUGCCCAACAUACAAACACUUUCUUUAGUUCAAAUUUACCGAGAGUUUACUUGCCACUAUAUUCUUGCCUUAGGUUUUCAACCUAGAUUACAUACAUAUCUCUCUUGUUUUCUAUGUUCAAGAUUCGCAUGCAUGUCACCCAUCUUACUCUUUUGUCGUACACACGGUUAGAAAUCUUAUCUUUUCGUAGGUCAAAUGCUAAGAUGACAUCUUGACCCGUAUAAUCUAUUAGUAUGCAACUAGAAUACAUUUACCUACAUUAUACAUAUGAAUAUAUAUGAAAUUGAAAAAAUUUUAGACAAAUGAGUGAUUAAAUAUAUUUGGGUGAUAUUUUCAAUCUUUGUUUUGAUUCUUUGCAAAGAGAUAUUUUUGAUCUUCUUUAAUUCACCAACGAAAUCCUAUUCUCUUCUAACAAGCAAAGCGUAGAUAAGAAGAUGAUCUUCUCCUUUCUAGAAUUUUCUCUUGAAGCUCCCGACCAUGGCGUGAGGGAUGCUCUCGGGUUGAGCGCCUGACCGGUGUAUUGGACAUCUGAAUGGGUUCAAUCCAAUUUUCUAAUUUAGUUUUAAAAAUAAAUUGUAACUUUAAGUUCAAAUUUAAGAUUUUGAAUUUUAGAAUUAAAAUAAUUGCAUAAUUGGUUUCCAUACUUUUCACUUUUUUCACUUUGGUUCUUUAAAAAGCCGGAUAGGUGCUCGUCUUGCACUGAUGUGGCAUAUCCUGUAAAUUUAAUGGUCAUUUUAAUGGCUGGGAUUUAAUUGUAAACAAAUAAAAAGGUCGGGGAAUUGAUUGCAAAAAUAAAAAAAGUGUAGGACUUUAUUAAAAGAAAAGUGAAAUGGUGCCAGACCGGUAAUACAAUUAACUCAAAAAAAAAUUCACAUAAAAACACUUUUUUCUUUUAAAUUAUGUUUUCUAUAUUUUUACAUCCAACAAAAUACCUUCUUCGCUAAAAAUACAUAAAAUAAAUCUUUAAUUGCCAUGUUUUCAAGAUAAAACUACUGGACAAUCAAGAACUACACUUACAAAUAGUGAUAUUUAGACUUAUCAGCAUUUAAUGUCAGCUUGUCAAUCUAGUUUGGAGAAGCAUUCGGUUAAAAUAAAAUUUCUUAAUUUGUUUGUUUUUUAUUAUAUCUUAACUCUCAGAGANUCUUUAUAUAUUUUAAUAAAUUUCUCUUUUUAAGUAUAUAUAUUUUUUAAACAUGUUAAAUUUUUAUAAUUACAAGUUUUAUAGUAGAAAAUAAAAUUUCUUAAUUUGUUUGUUUUUUAUUAUAUCUUAACUCUCAGAGAUCUCUUAUAAUUAAACAACUUAAAUUGCUCUUGCAUAUUAUUUAUUUUCUACUAUAAAACUUGUAAUUAUAAAAAUUUAACAUGUUUAAAAAAUAUAUAUACUUAAAAAGAGAAAUUUAUUAAAAUAUAUAAAGACCCAUUCAACUAUAAAUAUGAACUUUUCUGUUUCAGUUGACCUCUAUCAAUUUUUAUUUAUUUUUAUUUAAUUUUAUUUUAUUUAAUUGUAUUGGUAAAUUUGAAAUUUUUGAGAACUAAAUUCCAUAUCGCAUAUGAAUAAAAUAAAAAAUAAAUCAAUCCGGUGCCAGCAGAUCAUUCUCAUAUUACAAUGUAAAAUAAUAAUCUAAUCUAAACAGAUCUAAAGUUCAGACUACAUCAUCUUGGACCAGUUAAAAUUUCUUAAUCUACUAUUUGAAAUUGAAUAUGAUGAACUGAGGACUACAUCACCUUGACCAGUUAAAAUCUCUUAAUUUGUUUGAAAUUGAAUAUGAUGAACUGAGGCUCUGAUUAGCCGCGAACAUAUCCGGCCUCUACGCGUAUCCGCAUAGAAUUGAUGUAGAUCCAACAUCUUCCGUCGCACGGAAGAGAUGAAUCGCAUAUUACAAAGACGGUGCAAGUCUUUUUACGUUCUCUUUUUGAUGAAAUAGUGUGAACAAGAUAGAAAGAGAAUAAUGUGAGAUCCUGCUUCCUCCUCUUAAUAGAGCCGAGCCGUACAAAUCGGCACACCCUUUGUUGUAACUAAUCAAUCAUCUCCAUUAGCUGUUGGUCAUUAUUAUUAAUUUCUUUUGCUAAAAAUUACUUAGAGAAAUGAAAUUUUAAAAAUUUAUUUGAUUAAUUUACCAAAAUCUCUAAUAUAUUUAAAUAAAAUAUAGAAAACAAAACAAUUUAGAUAAAGCUUAAUUAGAAUGCUAUUUCAAAAUGGCGAAGUUGAGAGAUAUCCAUAUUAUUUUAUUUUUAUUUAUUAUUAGACUUAAAAUUUCUCGUUUCAGCAAGUAAAAUAAAUAUAAGUACACCAAUAAGACAAUUAUAUUUGAAUAAGCAUAAUGAUAAUAUUUAUAUUAUAUACAGCGUAAACUCCAAAUACUUAAGAUUUUAGUUCUCUCCAAUAUCUCAUAUUAAAGAUCUUUUGGUGGAGAUUAUUUUUUUUUAUUUUGCUCCCUUCUCACGCAUACUUUUUCACAGUAUUGAUUUUCUGGGUACAGCUAUAUAUAUGCCAUAAAAUUUUUGCAAACUACCUUAGGUCACAUAAGAUGGAUGCUAAGUAUGUUUCACCUAACCAAACUUUAUACAUGUAAUAUUAGAGAAAUCAUGCUAAAUGAUCGAGUGCUAAGUAUGUUUCACCUAACUAAACUUCAUACAUGUGAUAUUGGAGAAAUCAUGCUAAAUGAAUAGCUUCAUAAUCCUUAAUUCCUUCUCAUCAACGGUCUCUAAAACUACCGACCAUCCGUAGGACCCUAGCGCAAGUGAUUAGGAGCUUGGUGGUUGAUAACCGAGAUUCUAAAUUUUAAGGCUAGUUGCUCUCCAUUUUCAGCUGAAUUUUUUUUAUAAAAAAAUAAACAAAAUAGGUAGCAUUUUAUCUUUGCUUUAAUUUUAGCUAUUUUUGUCAAUUAACCUAGACGUUUUUCUAAAUUAAAAAUAUUUAUUAAUUAUAUGCUACAAGUAUUCUACUAACAGUCUAUUGUUUCGUCAGUUUAAUUAUUUGUAACUCACUAAUUGUUUCUGGCGUAAGUGGUAAAAAACUUGAUAGUUAGUACUCGAGGCCCCAAGUUCGAAGUCUGCUUCAUAUUUUCAAUCUACUUUGAGUCCCGAGUUCAAAUUCGCUUCAUAUUUUUAAAGAAAAACUUCAAAAACCCCCCUGUGGUUUCGUAGUUUCUCACUUUUCCCCCCUGUGGUUUAAAAUGUAUCAAUUUGCUCCGCUGUGAUUUCUUUUUUCUCUUUUUCUUAUCAAUUUCAUUAUUUUUUUUCUUAAAUCAGUGAUAAAGUUAAAAUUAAAGGGUACUAAAGUGAAUAUUUGAUAAAUCUAGAUGGAUAUCUGAAAUUUUUUGUAUAUAAUUUAAUGAAAUAUUAACGAAAAAACUACCGAAAAGAUAAAAACGAAACCAGAGGAGGACAAAUUAAUAUAUUUUAAAUCACAUUGGGGUAAAAUGAGUAACUACGAAACCACUGGGGUUUCUUAAAGUUUUCCCUAUUUUCAACCUACUUUGGUCGAAUGCCCGAUCCCCAAGUUUCAUGUAAAAUAAUAUAAAAUAAUUUACUUGACCUGAAAGACCAUUUUUGUCCACUCCGAACAGAGAUGCACGAUCCAAUACAUGGCUGAAUGAAUUGAUUUAUCAAGAAAUAAAACUCGCUAUUUUUACAUAUUAGGCUCCUAUUUGGAUGCGUAAACAUCUUAUUUAGGAUAUUUAGCAUGUAAUAUUUAAUAGAUAAAUAGUAUGAUCGAAUAUCUAUAAUGAAUAUCAUAUUCAACAUCCAACUAAUUUUAUUAAGAUGAAAUAUGUUAUCCUACUAAAUUAGAAAUAAUAAAAUAUUUCAAGAGACAAAAAUUAAGCUCCUAGAAAAAGAAAAUUAUACGAAAUAAGUUAUCAUUGAAUAUCUUAAUCCAAAAUCCAAAGAAGCCUAAUAAAGGUUUUGUAUUAGAAUAGCUAAAGAUUCCCAAAUUUUCCAAGCACAAGUCUUGGUGUUUUAUUACCCAAUACCAACUCUACCUGUAUUAUUUUUUAAAAUUUAAUUCCAUGUUAUAAAAUUUAAUUAAAUUGUAAUCAAGGGAAGCUGAAAAAGAUUUAAACUAAAGAGUCCGACUGGUAUACUACCGGUAGUACGGAGGCCUCCGUACUACUAAAUUGUUUUCAAUGAUGCAGCUUUCAAAUCAACAAUCAGCUCCAUUAGACUUAAUCUACAUUAUUGAAAAUAUUUGAAAACUAAAUUUCAUAAUUUUUCGACAUCAUUUACCUGUCAAAGAAGUAGUAUAAAAAUAAACAGUUAAAAAUAAAAAUCUCAUAAAAAUGAUGAUAAAAAACUUAAAUUUAAAAUCAGAGAUAUUGAUCUUAUUCUAAAUAGUAAAAAAUGAAAAUAAAAAUUUCAUCAGAUUUGAAUUGUUUUACACCGUUAAAUUUACAAACGCAUCACAUCGACCAUUAUAAUUGUCAAUUUUGAAACAUUUUGAUCGCUAUCUAAAUAAUGUCAAAAAAUCAAAAAAUUUAGUUUUCAAAUACUUUUAAUAGUGUAGAUCAAGUCUAAUGAAACCGAUCAUUGAUUUAGAAGCCGCAUCAUUGAAAACAACUAGAUAGCACGAAGGCCUCCGUGCUAUUUGAUAGUAUAUCAGCCCUAGCUCUAAAGUGAGUUCAUAAAUACAGUGGGUCAUUUUGAUAGAUAACACCAUUCAAUUCAAACUUUCCACUUUGUAAAGGGUGUGGUUACAGUGCAGAUCACAGCAUCCAACAACCUCCAAUUCAAACAACAAAGAAGCAGAGCUUCUUCAAGUGUUUCAAGCUUUUGCAAUCACAGAACUUCAGAAAAUCAACUACAGGAUUAAAAGGGUGCUAGUUUAUUUCAUCAACUUUCCAUGGUUUGCCUACAAAGGGACAAACAUAAGUGAAAAAAUAAUAAUAAUAAUAAUAAUAAUAAUAAUAAAUAUAUAUAUAUAUAUAUAUAUAUAUAUAUANAUAUAUAUAUAUAUAUAUAGAUAUAUAUAUAGAGCUAGACUCCUGCGCUUUCGAAAGUACGGAGGCUUUCAUACUUGUAAAUUGUUUUCAUUGAUAGGGCAUCCGAUUCGGCGAUCGGUUCCGUUAGAGAUGAUUUACAGUAUUGGAACUCUCUAAAAACCAAAUUUCAUAAGUUUUUUACUUUUUUUGCCUCGUGAACUAUUAGCCUUAAAAUGAACGGCUGAAAUUAAAAAUUUCAUAAAAAAGAGUGAUAAAAGACUUAAGUUUCAAAUCGAAAGUAUUGAUCUUGCUUUUCAUGAUAAAUACAAUUUUCUUUUAAAGUUUUACGUAAUUUCGAUUGUUCUACACGUCGAACUUGUAAACAUGCCACAUCGGCUAUUAAAAUAGUCAUUUUUGAAACCUUUCAUCACUUGGUAAAUAAAAUUGAAAAAUUAUGAAAUUUAGUUUACAAUAGCAUAGAUCAUGCCUAACGAAAUCAAUCGUUGAAUUGGAUCUUCCAUCAUUAGAAGUAGCUUACAAGCACGGAAGCCUCCAUACUUUCAAAACCGUAGGAGAUGUACUCUAUAUAUAUAUAUAUAUAUAUGUAUAUAUAUAUAUAUAUAUAUAUAUUCAACUACACAUAGCAUAAACACGUUCUUUAUAAACAAAAGUUUAAGCCCCUGAAAUUCUACUAUGCGCAAAGAUCUUACCCAAAUGCUUAAGGUACCACAAUGCCCAAAUGCUCAAGAUACCAUAAUGCCCCUUCUGCAGCAUGUUCUCUCGCAGCUUUCUUUUUCCGCUUUGGUUCACUAAAGCACUCCAAGAUUGUGGUGGUGAUUGUAUCCACUUCCACUGUGACUUUGCAGGUGAACCUGCCACAAUUUAAUGCCUACAACAUAAGAUGGUGGAUCAUGCUGAUGUAUAUAAAUAACUAAGCAUAAGUACCAUAGCAAGGCUACCUUCAGAAAUUAAUAAUGCUAUUCUGUAAGUGCAUAAAUGAAGAUGCUUUUGUUCAGAUUAUUCUAUCGGCGGGGGCAAUUUUGAUCCUUUUGAAACUUUCAGAAAUUGCUAUUUGAGUUAAACUAUUAGAAGAAGCACAGGAAGUUUUUCACUCCUUGAAACUUUCAGCACAACAAAGCAGAAGCUUCAAACCUGAGCUUCUACUUUGCAGCCCACACGCACAUUAUAACUUCCUGCAGCAAUAAAAGCUUCAAAUAGUUUGUCUAACAAACGCGUUGCCGAUGCUUCUUUGAGCAGAAAAACUGUUCUAGAUGCCAAGCCAAAUAGGUACAUAAUAGCAAAUGCACCUUCUCUAACAUCAGCUUACAUGAAUAUGAUAUAUCUCCAAGGAGGAGGUAGCUAAGGAUAUAAGCUCCCUCUCUUUUACUUUUUCCAUCUCAAUUUUAGCAUCUGAGAGCUGUGCAUUUCUUGUUGUCUGAUGCAAGUUUGUUCGAACUUUUAGAUCUUAUUGUAACAGGCUAUGCCUUGUUGCUUUAAAUUUUGAAUGAGCCCAAAAAAUUUUGGGCAUGUUAUCAACAUAAUACCUGUCAAAGUAUAUAACUUUUCAACUUUAAAUAUGCUUUAAGUUAUUGCUAUUUCAGACUUUUUCUUGGAAAGCAAUUAAGAUAGCACUUAUUACUAAUCAUCAGUAGUUACAAAAUCACAAGGUAUACCAAAAAUGAAGCUAAAAAUUCCUGAAGCUAAAAAAUCCUGUGGUUAUUACAUUUUACGUAUCUGAAAAGGCAUGGCCGAAAAUGCAAUGAUUCCUUUAGACACAUCAGCAAGAAAUAUAUAAACUGUCAUACAUCCCAAGAAUUGUGAAUAUCAUUAAACUUGAAAAGUCGCACAGCUACUCACAUCAACAGUUGCAAGAACGGAGAAUUUUGUCAGCAAAAUUUAAGUAAUGGUCCCUCCAUAUGACAACGGUAUAUCACUAAAAUCAUGUGCAUAUGAAUUCUCACAUCCCUGUAUAGCUUGUUGUUUCUUCAUACUUUUAAAUAUACAUAUACUGCAGCAUAAAGUUUCCGUGCAUUUAACAUGCUCCAUGGGCGUCAAUCUAGUAUUAGAAAUUUCUACACAUAACAGUGAAAAAUGUACAAAAUUCUAGUAAAUCUAUUGUCAUCAGUAAGCUGUUCCUUUAUACACUUAAACUCAUCCAUAGUGCGCCACAAAUUUUCCAUAUUUAUAACAUGCUUCAUAGGCGUCAAUCAAAUGUAUGAAUUCUUGAACUGAUGUUCUCAUAAAUUUGCAGAAUGUGUAUAACGUCUUCGUUCAUUUUUUUUUAUGAGAAAAUUCAUUGCAUUUAUUUUUGCAAACUUACAUCCUUCCAUGGACGGGUCCUUCUUGGCACAAUUCAAACAAAGGCGCUUUCCAAUAGUUAGAGGCACAGAUCUCGAACAGCUUCGUCCUCGCUGUUUUGAUUCUGGGAAUGCCUAUGGAUCCAAAGCAUAAUGAAAACAAUUUAAUAAAUUCUAAAUUCAUUUACAUGAUAAUUCUUCAUUACAGAAGCUUAAAAUUGGCACCUUUUUGACCGCCAGGAUUGGCUUGUUGUCCUUCAUUCGCUGCUUGAUGACCCACGACUGUUUUAUCCUUAUCCUUUGUCUUAUGGAGAUGCGACUCGCAAUGGGUCUCCUUCGAGUCGACGAAUAACUUGGCCAAUUUAUCUACACCAACGCCCGCUGCUAACGGCUGUUGGCCCUUUACAACGAAUUGCGGCUCCUUCUUCCUAGCGGGCCGCAUUAUCUCCUUCAACGACUCACUCUUCCGCUUAAAACCAAGGGCCUGGACUGAAAAUGAAGUAAAUGAAAAGUACAUAUAUAUGCAUGAUGUUUCUGCAAACUCAGUUUUUCGAAAGUAGAACAGAAAAACAACUGUUAAGCCCAAAAUAGGCAAAUCAGAGUCAUUCAAUCUGAUUGAAUAGUGACCAAAUUCAAUGAAUCUGUCUGUCAAUAGUAAAACCAGCUCUGUUGAUAAAACUAGCAAUCCCAGAAGGUAGAUUAGCUGCCGACCUGAGGUUGAGCUACCAUAUUUAGUACUCAAAUUUACAGCGACGAGAUCUGAACAACAACGCAGAAUAAACAAAUGAUCCAGUUAAAAUCGAACCAAUGGAUCGCAGAUAUCCAAGAAAAGGUAAGUUAUGGCCUAUGGGAGACUCUGGACUGACGCAGUUUAGUGAGAGCAGAAAUAUUAGUUCUGUCGUCGACCACGAUGGCGACGAGGAAGGAUUGUAGAAUGUUGCGAAACUGUAUCCAAUUCUGAUAUCUAAAAUUGGAAGUGGAGAGCAUGAUAGAAUGGCAAGUACCCAGCACUCCAUUUGUGGCAAACAAUAGGCAUGGUUGGAGAAGAUCAAAGUACCAGCUAAUGCUGAAGAGAGUGUGCCCUACCUCCUGCUGCUGCUGCUGCUGCUGCUCCGCUUCCGUGAAGCUAACCAUUCGGAGGGGGUGAAGAAGAGGAAAUGAGAUCCCCUUGAAACCCUAGAAAGGGAUCCGCAUCUCUGAACACAUCGCAAGUUUCAAUCGAGCCCCCUAAACUUUCGUUGCAAUUGGGUUCUCACAUUAGGAUAAUUGCCUAUAUACCCCUCAAAACUUCAGAAAUUUCUCAUUUACCCUUUUUUUUUCUUUCUAAUACACCCCUCAUACAUUCCUCCGUUUUUCCAAAAUAUUCCUAGGGCGUGUUUGGUGCGCUUCUUUUUCACCCUGGAAUCGAAAUCGGAAUGGAUAAAUCCGUUUAUGGGUGUUUGGUACGGGGUUGUUCCAUUUCAAUUCCGAUUCCCGAGUGAAAUGGGAAUCCCCCAAUCACCUCUUUUUUCAAUCCGGCCUAGGAGGUCGGAUUGAAAGUUGAAUCCGGACGGAAUGGAUAUUUAUUCGGAUUAAAUUUAUUUUUUAACUUUUUUAAUUAAAAUAUGAGUUAAAAUUUUAAAAUUAAAUAUAUAAUUUUAAAUUUUAAUUUAAACUUAAAUUAAAAAUUAAAAUUUAAUCAAGUAUUUCGAAUCUAACUUAUGAAUUUGAAUUUAAAUUAAAUUUUAAUUUAUAUAAAAUGUUAUUCAAAUUUUAUUUCAAACUUAAAUUAAAUUUAUGGAUUCAAAUUAAAAUUUAAAUUGUAAUUUUAAAUUUGAAUUUGAAUAAAUCAAAAUUUAGUUUCAUAUUUUGAAUUAUCCACUCAACUUCAAAGUUUAAUUUUUUUUAAAAAAAAUAGAUUUAAAAUUUUGACAUUAUUUCAAAAUUUUGAUGUAAAUUUUUAAUAUUUAAUUUUUAAUUUGAAUUUAAAUUAAUAUAUUAUAAAGAUAAUGUUAGUAUAUUAAUUUGAUUACAUUUUUUAUAUCCACCUGAACCAAACACCGACAAUGGGAAUGAUUUACUCCGAUUCCGAUUCAGGUGAUGAACCAAACAGAAUCAGAUAAUGAGUCAUUCCGAUUCCAAUUCCAGCUUAUUUUGAUUCCGAUUCCGAUUUCGAUUCCGACUUCGAACCAAACGCGCCCCUACAGUUAUCACCCGUUAAAUUAACUUGGAUUAAACGUGAGUUAAAUAUCUACCACAGUUAAAAAAAUUAAAAUACCACUUUUGUCCUUAACUUAAGGGCAAAUAAGAAAUUUGGUGGUGGUAGAAUGGUAUAUUUGAAAAAACUAAAAAACAAAAUACUUUUUUGUGCCCUUAACUUAAGGGCAAAUAAGAAAAGUCGGUGAUGGUAGAAUGGCAUAUUUGAAAUGGCAAAAUAAUAAUUUCAUAUAGAUAAUUGAGUUCAUUAACAGAUUUUAACUCUAGAGAUAUAUUAGAAAUAGGUUGGAACGUAAAAAAAGUAUUUUUAAUAUUAGCCUUUUAAAAAGGCUAAAUCAGAAAGUCAAAAACUUUUCAGAGGUAUGUAAGCAAUUACCCCCUUACAUUUCACACCCAAGCAUCAAAUUACUAGGGAUGAAAGUGGUCACGGUAAACUCUCAUCAGAUCCGAUACCGAAUUCCAUAAAAUACGAAGGCUGCGUUUGAUUUGGGUAUAAGUAAGAACUGCUUAUUCUAAGAAUAGGUAUAAGCUUAGGUAUAAGUAGGAACAAGACCAAUUUUACGUUUGGAUGAAAUUAGGUUGUUCCUAGAAAUAAGGUAAAUAGUAUUUUGAUGGUUAUAUUGGAGCGAAGAGAAUAAGAGUUAUAAUUGUAUAUAUUAAAAUUACUUUAUAUAAUUAAUUAACAUCAAAACAUUACUUAAAAUAAUAAAUUAAUAUUAAUAAUUAUAAAUAAUAAAUUAAUUAAAUAAUAAUAAAUUAUUAUUAAUUAAUAUUUAUUAUUUUUAAUUUUUUAGUAUUAAAUAAUUAAUAAUUAUAAAUUAUAAAUUAAUUAAUUAAUAAUAAAUAAUUAUAAAUAAAUUAUUAAUAAUAAAUUAAUUAGAUAAUAUAGUAUAAAUAAUUUAUUAUUUAUAAUUUAUUAAUAAAAAUUUAUUAUUAAUUAAUAAUUUAUAAUUUACAAUUAUUCAUAAUUUACUAUUUAUUUUAUUAUUAAUUAAUUAAUUUAUUAUUUAUAAUUAUUAUUAAUUUAUUAUUUAUACUAUAUUAUCUAAUUAAUUUAUUAUUAUAAUUUAUUAUUUAUAAUUAUUUAUUAUUAAUUAAUUAAUUAAUAAAUAAUUAUAAUUAUAAAUAAUAAUGAUUUAAUUAAUAAUUAUAAAUAAUAAAUUAAUAAAUUAUUUUAUUAUUUAAGCAAUAAAUAAUGAUUUAAAUAUAUUAAUUAGAUUAAUUAAUUAUUUAAUAUCAUAAUUAUAAUUAUUUUUAAACUUUAGUUAACUUUAUUCUCAUAUGGGAACAAGCUUGCUCCAGGGAAAAGCUGAACAGCCGUUCCAGCUUUAUUCCGGCUUAUUUCAGAAAUUCGAGAAUUGUUGUUUUCGGAUACUAAACGUAGCGUUUGGUAACAAAGGGGGGAACAAGGGCUUAUUCCCCCUAGUUCCCAAACCAAACGCUACCAAAGAGUCCAGCUGGGUUAUUUCUAAUAGCAUCAAAUAUUUGAUUCUAUCAAAUUUUUCACUAUUUAAUUUAUUUAUUUGAUCAUUUUUUUUCUAUUAAAUCAUACUAUUCAACCUACUAGCUACUCAACACUACAGGAUUAUUAUCAUCCUAACCGCACAUCUCUUCCUCCAAGGACCGAAAACCUAAUAGCACUAUUGACUUGGUACUAUUAGAAAAUUUUCGGUCUAAUUUGAAUACAAAUAUGGAUAUUAAAAUUUAGUAUUAGAUACAUAUUUGUAUCUAAAUUCUCAUUAUAUAUAUAUAUAUACAUAUAUAUAAUUGAGCUAGAAUACUUUUAGGAGUAUUACUCCCUUGGUGCUUUUAAGAUUUUUAGCCCUUGGAUCUACUACUUGAUUACUAAUAGUCAUUGGAUCAAACACUAUUCCACCUACCACCACCUACCACCAUCAUCCCAACCUUACAUUUCUCCAUUCAAGAGUUGAAAACUCAAAAGCACCAAUCUCUUGGUGCUUUUGAAAGUAUUCUAGCUCAACUCUCUCUCUCUCUAUAUAUAUAUAUAUAUGUGUGUGUGUGUGUGUGUGUGUCACGCCCCGGAUUACCACGUUUCUCCGGGUACGCCAACAGACCCGCGGUAUAUAAAAGAAUUUUCUUUGUAUACGAAGCGAUAGCUGUAUCUGUACCUAUAAUCAUACAAAACUACAACUAGUAGUAUAAAGCUCCUAACAGAACUAUAAACAUAUGUAAAUAAACAUCAGGUUCGCUAUACAUACAUAGUCUUCAGGAUACAGACAUCACUCGCUCAAGCGAGUACCAGUAUAAGUAUGUACAUGAACCAAAAACUCAAAACUACCUUUAGAUGGUACUCCACUAGUACUGCAACCCAGGAAAGGAUCUAACUCGCGACUCCCUUUUCACGAUCAGUAUCGGCGACAGCAGCAGCCGCAGAAUAAGGCUCUACAAAAAAGGGUCAAUAACUGGGUGUGAGAACUACUGCAAAAAGAAGUAAUUCUCAGUGGGUACCGCUACCGACCUCAACGGCUCAUCCACUAAGUCUACAGAAAGUAUGCAAAAAGAUAGUAAAAGAAGCUGGUAAAACUCUACAGCUAUAUACCACUAUACUAUCGCUAAACAACACUAGCUAUCUGUAAAUGUAAACAAGAUGCAAUCUCUGACCCAAUCUCACUAGGGACUGUGAACACACCCGUUUCGCCCGUCGAAACUACACCAACCACCACCACACUGGGUUGUUGGUGGAAAGCAAGUCCAACCAGAACACUACGACAACAACGCAAAAGCAUUAAACCCGACUCCGGAGUGGCACUCGUGGACGCUACCCAACCGAGAAUGCAAACGUGUCUUUGCCGAGCUCAAUCAGACUCUCACAGGCUAAAAUGAAAACAAUCGGGUCUAACUGGUCUAACAACCAAAACUCACGUGCCCUUGACACAAUUUGAUGCAAAUACAGAAAUCUGGAUCUACCGUCAACCGCGACGGCACCCGACAGUCUGAAAUAGUCUACACACUACUGUAAAAAUAAACUCGGCAUCUCAGCACGAGUAUAAACUAAUCCUACACUAAUCUGAGUAUCCAUCGCAUACUAACAGCGACGAUACAAACAAACCACAGCUCCUAAAGCUAAAUCUGGUAAUUUUUAGAAAGUGACAGUAUAGAAUCUAUAUAUUUUCUCCUAAGCCAAUUUCAAGUUCAACAUGUAAAAUUAAACUACUAACUUAACUCCAAAUUUAGAUUUAAACACUAAUCCAUGAAUUCGAGUACUAGUAAGGAAAAUACACAGAUAAUACAUAUCAAGGAUACUAAAACUUAGAAUAUAUUCCGACGAUUUCGGUAAACUUCAACCUACCUCAAAAAGCUAGUCCAACUACGGCGAGAAGUCGAGAGGAGAGAAAACACGCGCUCGCCCGGCCUCCCAAUGAUGCAACCGCGACGCUCCCACGCUCGAACGGCCCUCCGGAUCAAUGUCAAAAUCAGCCGAACUCGAGCCGCGAUCACCACCACGAGCAUGUUCAAAACUAGAGAGAGAGCAUCAACAAUAAAAAAAACUCUCCCCUCAACUCUCUCUGCAAGUCUAAAGAGGUGGGGAUAAGGAUAACAUUGGUGAUAAUGACAAUCCAAAAGACCAACGUACCCUUCACCUACUCAAAAUUACAGCUAGAGUACCGGUACCCGAUUUGGUUACCGGUACUCAGCCUCUCAGCCCGCAAGCUCUCACACAAGGUACCGGUACCAACCCGAUGCCGUACCGGUACUCAGCAUCAAACUGGCGCAACCCGAGAGCAGUCUGUUUGAAAAUACACUGGGGAACCGGUAUUUCCCUAUAUAGUACCGGUACUCAAUACUAAAAACCUAUACUUUGCAGAUUUUAUUGUCAAAACUCUGCUCUCGCGUCGCACUGAGUCCGUUUUGCGUCCAUUUCGCGCCAAAACAACUUUGACUUGUCCCGACAUUCUCCAAAUAUGUCGACAAGCCUCAGAUGCUAAAAUCCCACAGGCAACCAAACACCAGGGAUACUAUAGUGUGCGCGCGCGCGUGUGUGCGUGCGCGCGCGCGUGUGUGUGUGUGAAUAUUGUUUUUUAAAAUUCCAACUAUAUAUAACUGUCUCUACUUGUAGAAGAUAAGAGGGAUGUUAAUGUAUAUUAUAUUAUAUGGGGGAUAAAAUGGUUUUCUGUCGCAUUUUUUAUUUAUUUAAUUAUAAAUUUAAUAGUAAAAUUAAAAUUAUGUUAUAUUUUUAAAAUAUUAAACUUCAUUGAAUAAAAUAUAGGGAUGCGAAGUUCAAACAUAAGUGUGAAACUUUAGUUACAUUCUAUGUUUUAUCUGUACUAAUUCUAGUUCAUAUUUAUAUAUAAACUAUUGGUAUAAAUUAAUAUCCGAAUAAUAUAUGAAUGCAAAUUCGAUAUUCGUCUUUAGCAGAUAGAUAUAACAAAAAUUUAACGUCCGAUACAAAUCAGCAUACGAAUUCACUUCUGAGGAAAAAUACGAAAACGAAUAUUGUUUUGUCAAAACUUCAAUCAUAUUCGGCUGGUUUUACCCCUACAAAGAAGGCCCUAACCUUCUACUUAUUAUAAUUAGAUUCUUAAUAUUUUAAUUAAGUUUUCAAGUAAACCCAUAAUGCAUUUCUAGUCGAUUCAAUUAGAUUUUAAUUUGUUUUGAAUAUUUUAUUAUUAUUUGUUUGUUUCUCACCAGAUUUGGAAUGUAUAAGAUCUACGCAAAAUUGGCCCGAUGCACCCAACAAAAGUUGUUAACAAAUUGACUUAUGUUUGGCUCAAAAGUAAAAUAACCUUAAGAUAAUUCGGCUUAUUUUCAGCUGAAAAUUAAUUUGAGCUAGUUCGAAAUUAUUUCAAACGGGCUUAAAUUUAAACUGUAACAAAAUAUUAAUGUAUUAUUAUUAUUAGUUUAUUAUUAUUGAUGCUUAAUUUAAAAAUAUGUCUUACCUAAAAUAAUUGUAUCUGACUGUUUAAUGGGUCAAACUUAGGCGCCAGCCUCACUGGCUCAGAAACUUUCCCCCGUCCUUCAUUUGACCUGGUCCGAUCCAAAGUUCUGUUCAAACCCCACCACAAUAGUAAAAUAAAAAAAAAAGGAAAAAAAAGAGGCCAAUUUGCAUAAAAAAUUCACUUAUUUUGGACUUUUGCAAAAUCGGGCCACAUUUUUCGUUUUUGCAGAUUCGGUCCGCUUUUUCGUCCGCCUAACCAAAAUACCCUUAUUACUUUUUCUCUUUCCUCUUUCUCUCUCCUCUCUGUUUCUAUCGUUCUGUUUUUUUUUCUCGCCGCGCUCGCCGUUCUCCCUCGAAUCCUCCUGCGUCGUCCCCAUCACCGUCGCGUUCCCGAACCGCACCCUCCUCGCUCCCCUCCCGCAACCCAGCAACCCCCUUGACCGCCGCCGCACGGGCCGCUCCUCCGCCGCCGCGCGUCGAUUCUGUUUUUUUUUUCUCGCUGCGCCUAGCAGUCCCCUCGAAUUCACUGCGGGCCGUCACUCACCGUCGCGUUCCCCGAACCCCCUCCUCGUCCCACCGGCGACUCCGCCAAGUUCCUCGACGGCCCCCCGCCGCUGCUCCCGCCGGCCGCGGAUUCGAAGGAGAAAAGGCAGCGCGGCGAGAAAAAAAAAAGAGCGAUAGAAUUACACCAUUACACCAUUACCAUUACACCUACCAUUACAUCAUUACACCAUUACCAUUACACUAUUACACCAUUACUAUUACAUCAUUACACCAUUACCAUUACAUCAUUACCAUUACAUCAUUACACCAUUACACCAUUUACGCCACUACAUCAUUACACCAUUUGCCGAUGGAGAAGAACACGCGUGGGUCUUUUUCAUUUUCUUCUUCUUUUUCAUUUUCUUCUUCUUCCUCCUGCGGAGGACCUCGACUCCCUCAAUCUCCGCUGACGGGGGUGCCUCUUCCGCCGCCGCCUCGGCGGGGCGCGGCGGCGCCGAUGGCGUCAUCGGACGAGGAGACGUUUUACACGCCGCAGCGCUCGGCGGAGUCGGUGUACAGCGACAGCCCCAGCAGCCCCAUCUCGCGGCGGUGGUGUCGAAAGCUCGUCGGCGAUGGUGAGGGAGCUGCUCGAGGUGGUGCUCGCUCUGUUGAGCUCGGGCUUGGCGGCCGCCGACCUGCGCUGGUCGACGAGGCCGCGCAGGCCGCGGACUGCGACGAGCGGAGAAGCCGCGAAGCUCGGGGCCAGCUCCGCCACCACCACCGCGUUGCUUCGCCGCAACCGCUCAUUCUCCUCCACCAACGCCGUCGCUCCUCCUACGUUGGCGGCGGCGGCGGCGGCGGAGGCGGUAGGGGUGGGGCCGAGGACGAGGAGGCGAGGAGGAGAGGGGGAGUCGGUCUAUGGCUGGGGGUCCGCGGCGACGGGAUCGAAGAAAGGAGAGAGAAAAAAAAGAGGAGAGAGAAAAAUAUAUAAAGGUAUUUUGGUCAGUUUGCUGAAAAAGUGGACCGAAUCUGCAAAAACGAAAAAGGUGGCCGGGUUUUGCAAAAACCCAAAAUAAGUGGAUUUUUUAUGCAAAAAGGCCAAAAAAAUGUGUCAAUGUAUGGAAAAAAAAAAUCCAUAUUUCUAAAAAUUCCUAUCCAAAUCAAACUUAUACGACAAAAAAAGAAAAAAAAAAUAGCAUAUGAGAUGCAAAACACACAAAACUUGCAAAACACUAAAAAUUAAAGGGAAAACUUCAAACACCAACCUGUGAUUUCACAAUUUUUCACUUUAGUACCCUGUGGUUUAAAGUGUAUCAAUUUAGUAACAUAUGAUUUCACACUUUCUCACUUUAGUACUCUGUGGUUUAAAGUGCAUCAAUUUAGUACCCUGUGGUUUCAUUUUUUUUCUUUUCGUCAACUCCUCUGUUAAUAUUUCGUUAAAUUAUGUAUAAAAAACUUCAGAUACCUUACUUAAGUUUUUCAAAUAUUUACCUAGCACCUUUUAGUUUUAAUUUUGUCACUGAUUUUUUUUUCCUCCAUUAAUAUUUCGUUAAAUUUUAUACAAAAAACUUCAGAUAUGCUACCUAGGUUUAUCGAAUAUUCACUUUAGUACUCUUUAAUUUUAACUUUGUCACUGAUUUAACGAAAAAAAUUAGUGAAAUGGAUAAUAAAAAGAGAAAAAUAAAACCACAGUGUCCUAAUUUGAUACACUUUAAACCACAGGGUACUAAAGUGAGAAAGUGUGAAACCACAUAGGCUAACUUGGUACACUUUAAACUACAGGGUACUUAAGUAAGAAAGUGUGAAACCACGGAGGGUAUUUGAAGUUUGCCCAAAAUUAAAUUAUAUGUUUGUAUAUAAAGUCCAACCGGUGUGCUUUCAAAUGAAGGCUUCAGUACUUUCAAAUUAUUUUCAAUAAUAAGACAUUCGAUUCGAUGAUCUGCGCAAUUAGAUAUAAUCUACAGUAUUAGAACUAUCUCAAAAUCAAAUCUUAUAAUUUUCCAUCAUUAUUUGUCAAGUGAUCAAAAGGUUUGAAAAUUGAUAAUUUUAAAGGCUGAUGUGGUACGUCUGUAAAUUCAACAGUAUAAAACAAUCUAAAUUAUAUGAAAUUUUAAUAAAAAAACUCUUUUUACCAUCAAUAGCAAAAUUUUUAUUUUCGAUCUAAAAUUUAAGUUUUCUAUCACAAUUUUUUAUGAGAUAUUUAUUUCAAUAAUUAUUUUGGGACUACUUGUUUACUAGUCAAAUGAUGUCAAAAAUUAUAAAUUUUGGUUUCCAAAUAGUUUUAAUAAUAUAGAUUAUGUUUACAAUAACGUAGAUUACAUUUAACAAGUUGAUUGUCGAAUUGAAUGUCCGAUCAUAAAAAUAACUUUAAAAUAUGGUGGGUUUCGUACUUCAAAGCAUACUAACCUAGUUCUCUCUCUUUCUAUCUCUCUCUCAUUAUAUAAUAUACUCCCCCCCGGGUGCCCGCUCGCGCCCAUCGCAGCGCCCGCCCGCGCUCACGCCCGCUCGCCGCCGCACGUCAGCGUUGUGGCCACCGAAGCCCGAUCACGGAGAGGGUUGUUUACUACUUUUGUUUUCACAAUUCAAAAAUAGAUAUUGAUGUGUGUGGGGAGGUGGUGUUGGUGGUGAAGGUGUGCUGGGUGGAGGUGAUGGUGAUGAAAAAUGUGAGAGAAAGAAGAGAAAUUAGGUAGAAAUUGAAAGAGAGAAGAAAUUGAAGAAAUAAAAUAAAAAAAUAAUCUAGCCACCCAUCAAUUCUGAUUAAUGGCUGAAAACUGGGAACGUAAGGAAUGUUUGUGCUCAAUAAUUAUACAGUAUCUGCUAUAUUAGAGUAGGGGUUACUGUGUAUUAGAAGCAUAGUAGCUCUUAUACUUCUAACUUUCAUCUAUCCAUCAAUUUUGAUUGAUGUUAGAUGAGAAAAAGAAAAAAAAAUUGGUGAAAAUUUAAGUGCCUCAAUUUCUCUCACUUUUUGAAUUUCUUGACCGUCUUCUAAACGCACAGUAGCCUCAUAUAUAUAUAUAUAUAAUAUAUAUAUAUAAUAGAUGCGGCUAGGAUGUUUAUGGAAGCACGAGAGCUCCGCGCUUCCACUUUGUUUUCGAUGUUUGGACUUUCAAUCGACGAUCGGCUCCGUUAGACUUGAUCUAGAGUAUUUGAAGUACCUAGAAAAUAAAUUUUGUGAUUUUUCGAUAUCAUUUGCCAAGUGAUCGAAGGGCUCAAAAUCAACGGCUGAAAAUAAAAAUCUUACAAAAUAUGAUGAUAAUGACAUUAAAAUUUUAGAUCUAAAGCUAUUGAUCUUGUUUUAUAUGGUAUAAAGAAUUUUCUAUCAAAUUUCAUGUGAUUUGAAUAUUUCUACACCGUUAAAUUGCAACCGGCUCACCACGACCGUUAAAAUUAUUGAUUUUGAGCCCCUUCGAUCACUAGGCAAAUGAUAUCGAAAAAUCGCAAAAUUUAUUUCUAGUUACUUCAAUACUCUAGAAUCAACUCUAACGGAGCGAUCGUUCGAUUCGAAAGUCCGAAACAUCGAAAACGACUUGGAAAGCACGGAGGCCUCCGUUACUUCCUAUAAGCAUAACCAGCACAACUCCCUCGUCGCUCUCUCCUCCAUCUCUCUCCUCUCGUUCUCGUCUCUCCUCUCCUCUCUCUCUCUCUCUAUAUAUAUAUAUAUAUAUAUAUAUAUAUUACUAUACUAUUAAUAGCACCACGUCAUUGUUGCUGUUAAAUUUUCGGUCCUUCAAUGAAGUGAUGUGCAGUUAAGAUAAUAGUUGUUCCCUAGGAUUCAAUGGGUGAUUGGUUGAAUAGUAUAAUCUAACGGAUGAAAAUGGUUAAAGGGGUAGAUUUAACAUCAAAAAACUAGGUACAAUACGUGCAAAUGCACAUCACAACUAUCUUAAUAGUUAAUCUCAAAGCAACAUAUAAAUUUGUAUAUUAUAUUUGCGCAAAAAAUUAUAAUUAAAAUUUAAAAUUUUAAAAAGUAAAUUUAUAAUAAAUUAUAAAAUUUAUUUUCUAGAUACUUCAAAUACGGUAGAUCAAAUCUAACGGAGUCAAUCGUUGAUUCAAAAAUUCAAUCAUCGAAAGUAAUUUAGGAGCACAAAGGCCUCCGUACUGCUAAGAGCAUAGCAGCUCUUGUGCUUCUAAGUUCUUAACCGCUCAUCAAAUUUAAUGGGUGGUUAGGGUGAAAGAGAGAAGAGUAAUUAGAGAGAAAUUGAGUUUCUUAAUUUCUCUUCUUUUUGAAUUUCUCUCUAAUUUCUUUUCUCCCAUUCACUCUAGCCACUUACCAAAUUUGAUGGGCGGUUAAAAACUUAGGAGCACAAGAGCUGCUGUGCUCCUAAUAGCACAGUAGCCCUACUAUAUAUAUAUAUAUAUAUAUAGUUCGGCUACUAUAUUUUUAUGAGUAUAGAGUCUAUUAUACUCAUAAGUUUUUGGCUAUUAGAUCUACCCUUUAAUCAUUUUCACUUGUUAGAUUAUACUAUUCAACCAACCACCCACUAUCAACCUAACCGUAACUACUUUCAUCCUAACGACACAUUUUUUCACCUGAACGGUUGAAAACUUAUGAGUACAAAAGGCUCUAUACUCAUAUGAGUAUAGUAACCCCAGCCAUAUAUAUAUAUAUAUAUAUAUAUAUAUUGAAGUAUUGCUAAUAUUUUUCAAAUUAUGAUGAAACCAAAUUUAAAUACUAUUUUAAACUAAAAGUAUUGAAAUUAAAAUUCCCCUUAAUUCAAAUUUAAAGUUAAUUGAUUUGCUUUAAUUAACAUUUAUAAUUAUGAAUUCAAAUUGAUAUCCAAAAUUAAAUUGAAGUCACGAGUUAAACUCACAUUUAAUUUAAAUUUAAUAAUUCAUAAAUUUAGAUUUAAAUUGCAUAAUUAAAUUUAAUUAUGAUUUAAGAUGAAAUAAAAUUUUAAAUUUAAGAAGAUUAAAUUUAAUAUGUAUUUAAAAUUAAAUAAAAUUUAAUUGUAUUUCAGUCAAUAAAAGUUAAUAUAACAAUAAUAUUAGUUAAUAGUAUAUGAUAUAAUUUGAAAAUUAUCAUUUUUAAAAAUAAUAUAUAAAAAAAUUUAAUAAAAAAUAAAGUUAUUCGUUAGAAAAAAAGGAAUUUAAAUUUUUUCGUUUAUCCUAUUUCUUUUGGUGUAAGAAAAAGAAAAGCACUACAAUUUUUUCUGCUAAAAUGGAUUAGUUGAUGGGAUCUAAAUUAAAAAAAUACAUGAUUUUAUAUAUAAUUGAUAUAGAUAUGCAUUUUAAAACGAAUAGAGGGUACGGAAUCUUUAAUAACGUAAGUUCUUAUGAAUAUUAUAUUGAAAUAUAUUAAGAUUUAAUUUUUACUUUCUGUGCUUAAUUAUUUUUAUUUUUAUUUUUAUUGUGUAAAAUAUUAUUUAGUUUCGCUUUUGUAUUCUAAAUUUAUAUAAGAAAAAACUACAAAUAUUAUCCAUAUUUUCUCACUUUACUAUCAUGUGGUUUAAAUUAUAUCAGUUUAGUGCCCCUUGGUUUUAUCUUUAUUUUUUUAUUAUCGAUUUUACUAAUUUUUUUUAUUAAAUCAGUGACAAAAUUAAAACUAAAAAAUAAAGUAAAUAUUCGAUAAACUUAGAUGGGUUAUCUAAAGUUUUUUUAUAUAUAGUUUAACGAAAUAUUAACAGAAAAGUUGACGAAAAGAUAAAAAUGAAACCAUAUGACAUUAACUUGGUAAACUUUAGAUCACAGAAUACUGAAUUGAGAAAGUGUGAAAAUAUAACGGUGAUAUUGAAAGUUUACCCUUUGUAUAAAUAUCAUCGUUGGGUCCACAGUUUAUAUCGCCGGACCUGGCGCACGCAACGUUCCUCACGGGUUAGGCAAUCGACCGGGUCCACAGUUCAACAUCUUCAUGUGUAGGUCGGUUUGGUCGGUCCCAAUGAAACGCAAUAAUUACGCGAACAACACGGUAGACCGGGUCCAACAUUAAAUACUCUUAUUAUUCAAUGCUCAACCGCUCAAAGAGUCGGCGUUUGUUUUUAGGGUUUCGUCCGAAGCGCGUCUCGGAAAAGCUGUAACGUGGCCAUCACGUAGCGUCCUUAUCGGGAAGCGUUACGGGCGAUGGUAACCGACGAUCGCCCGUACCCCCCCCUCACCAAACAAAAAAAUUAGAGGCGGUUGUCACCGGUGAUCACCCGUAGCCCUCAACCUAAUCAGGAAAAAAAAUAUGGUGCAAUUACUUUAUAUAUAUAUUCCUAAAAUAUUUUUUACUUUUUAAUUUACUCUUUUUAAAAAGAAAUAUUAAAAAUAUUUUUUUAAUAUUUCAAAUUAUUUUAAAUAUAACUUCGGAGUUAAAUCUUAUUACUAAACUAUUAGCAACGUUAUCUCUAUAAAAUUUUUAUUUUACCUUUUCAAAUAUAUCUUUCCAUGGUCACCAAUUUUUUAAAUAUACCUUUAGAGUUAAAUUUUAUUACUAAACUAUUAUUUCUAUAAAAUUACUAUUUUACUUUUUUUAAAUAUAUUUUUUCACAAUCACCAAUUUUUUUAUUUAACUUUUCAAAUAUAUCAUUCUGUUUUUACUAAAUUUUUUAAUUUAUUAUUAAAUUAAGGUCAACCUGUUUAAUUAUAAAAAACUAAGUCUUGUGGGCAUGUACUAUAAUAUAAUUUUAUAUAUUUUUAUAAAUUUUGUAUAUAUUUAUACGCACAAAUACUAAUUUAUCUUUAUCGAGUGGGUAAAGUAGGUCAAUACAUAUAUUAAUUGUUUAAUAAAUACAGGAUAAACUUCAAAUAUCAUUUCUUAUCGUUUAGUAUUUUCUCAUUUUUAAUAUUCUAUGAUUUAAACUGCAUCAAUUUAGCAUUCUGUAAUUUUAUUUUUUUCUUUUGGUAAGUCCUCCGUUAACUUUUCGUUAAACCAUAUACAAUAAUUUUCAGAUGCUCCACCUAUAAUUUAUUAAAAUUUUAUUUUAAUAUAUUUUAUUUUAAACUUUGUAAUUAAUUUAAUAAAAUAAAAAAAUUAAUAUAGAGAAUAGUAAAAAAAAAUUACGGAGUAUAAAAUUAAUAUAUUUUAAAUCUUAAAAUACUAAAAUAAAAAAAAAGUAAGAAACACAUAAAUGAUAUUUAUUAGGAAAAACUUCAAAAACCCCCCUGUAGUUUCGUAGUUUUUCACUUUGCUUCCCUGUGAUUUAAAAUGUAUCAAAUUGCCCCUGUGUGGUUUCGUUUUUAUUUUUUCGGUAGCUUUUUCGUUAAUAUUUUAUUAAAUUAUAUACAAAAAACUUCAGAUACCCAUCUAGAUUUAUCAAAUAUUUAUUUUAGUACCUUUUAAUUUUAACUUUAUCAUUGAUUUAAGAAAAAAAAUUAAUAAAAUUAAUAAAAAAAGAGAAAAAAAAAAAUUAUCGGGAGCAAAUUGAUACAUUUUAAAUCACAGGACGAUAAUUGAGAAACUACGAAAUCAAUAGAGGUUUUUGAAGUUUCCCUAUUUAUUAAGCGGAUCAACCAAUUUCUUCCCCACGUCUCACGUUUGAGCGGGUAACCGGAAACGGACAGCUGUCGGUCGCCACGUUCCAUCUCAGCACCCACUACCGACGCCGACUCGUCUCCCGCGUUUCGCCCACCGGCGAAGAUCUUUUUUUAUUCGGUCGCAACUCGCACGAUACUUGAGGCGGCUAACUAGGUCCACACGACUUUGCCCUCCAUCUGCAUUAUUAUUACACCAAUGCCCUUCCAUCCCAUCAUACAGCUGUACAAGUCACCUUUAUAUUAUUUUAUUAAAAACUUGACGGAAUAAGUCCUUUUCCUCCUUUUAUUUUUAAUUUAAUUCGAUGGGAGGGGGAGGACAGCGUCUCCUCAAAGUGGCAUUACCGUAAUUUCUUGCAACGACAAGGGCAUACGCUUGGCUCCGUCGCCUAAUCGCCAUCAUUCACCGUCCAUUCAUCGUUUCCCGAAUCCAACGGCGCUCGAUCUCUCCUCCUCUCUAUAUAAUUCUAUUCCCCUCCUCCCCGCUGUAUCUCACAUUUCUCUCCCAUCUCUCGUUCGUGCGGUAACCUCACCUGCGUGCGUCCAUGUCCACGGUGGUGCUCCGAUCUGAGGACGCUCUCAAAUCCCGCUUCCACGCCAACGCCUUCGGAUACCGUCCUCAGCCUCCGAUGAACCCUCACCGGCGAAAGCCUCCGCCACCAGCGCGCCCCGCCGCCGCCGCCGCGGCUGCGCCGCCCUCUCCUCCGUCCCACAAACCGAGCCGCGCCGCCCCGGCGCGAAUCGGCCGGAAACCUAGACCCGCCGCCGGAGUCGGCAAGGAGAACGACGGCGGCCCCGCCGACGAGCUCCGCCACCACCGCCGGCGCCUCGUCAUGGAGGAGGUCACGAUCCUCAAGCGCGGCGAGGCGAUGAAACCCUCGGCCCCCGUUCCCCCCGGAUCCAACGUCGGAGACGUUCCGAUCGACCUCAAUCGGAGAAAGCUAGGGUUUCCAGCCGUAGACCCGGUCUUCGCCGGGCCCGGGUACUCCGUCUCCUCCCCCGCGCCGAGCUCCCUCCCCUACCCCGGCCUCUUGCUGAGGCCCCUCGCCGCGAGCGAGGAGGCGACGAGGAGCCUUCUCCGCCUCCUCCGGCUCAAUCAAUUCGCCCCGUGACGGUGCUCGUAGUUUCGAAUCGAUUCGCCGCGAAUUCGAGCCGAAGAAAAUUGGGAUUUUGAUGGCAGUUUGAAGAAGAUACGCCGUGGGCUGCGGAGAUCCGCGGCGGUUUCCGCUAGGGUUUCUCCGAUCACAUCACCUUCCUCUAUUUUUUCAAAAGGAAGGCGUGAUCCGGAGAAGCCCCGAUCUGUUUGUCUUUGUCGGCCACAUCUGAUUCGGUAUGUUGUGGUGUACUCUGCAUCUUGUCCUUUGUUCUUGUUCGGAUGGAAAAUUCUAGCGGAAAUUAGAUUCCAUUGUAGUAUGCGUAUUGGUAACCUAAAUUUAAGGGGAUUAGAUAGAUAUAGUAAUUGUGUGAGUUGUGUCUAAGUAUCAAGGAGAGUGAUGUUCCUAGUAGUUUGGGGUUUAGAUCACAAAUUGUUUUGCUUUAUCUAGUUGUGGAAAAAGUGGUGAUAAUUUUAGAGUGGGUGUGUGUACUUGUCAUGGAAUGAGGUCUAGUAAUUUUAGGUAUUUGAUGUUAGUGUUGGUGUACUAGUCAUGAAUCGAAGUUUAUUAUAUUACAUUGCUCUUUUUAGCGUCCGAGAAUGAGUGUGCAAUUCAAAUUGUCAACUUUUCAGUUAGAUUUAUCAUUGUUCAAUGUGUCUAUGCUCGAUUUUGUCGUGCAAUUAGAAUGUGUGAUCUGUUGUGUGUUAUAGUUGUGCUUGCGAAACGAAAAGAAAAAAAAUAACGGACUUGUUUUUUUGCCUUGGGUUCUUGCCUUGGGUUCUGUCACGCUUCGGCACCGCUACUGCCACUUUGGUCGGUUCGGGCAUGAGCAAAGAUCGCCGAACGGACAGAGUUUUUCUUGUCCGCUAACAUGGUGAAUGCUUGUAUUAGUGUAGUUGUUUUAUAUUUUGAUGUUUUAUGCAAUCUGUGUGUGAAUUCUGUUUCUAGUUAGAACCAUUUGAAUUGUACUGAUUGUGGCGCCUUGAGCGGAUAGGAAAAUUCUAUUCGUUCGGCGGUCUGUCUACGUGCCCGAACUGACCAAAGUGGCGGUCUUGGGACUUGACAGGUUCGCCUAUGGGACUUGGCCUGGUUCGUGCCAAACUUAAAUGGUCGGAAUUCGGUAAAUCUUCAACUAGGAACUGAUGAACUCCAACAAUAUGAGAUUUUGGCCUAAAACUCUGAAUGACCAAAACGUCGUCAUUAAGAUGAACUGCAGGCUGCUAUUCUCAACUGAUCUAAACUAUUUUACUUUUGGUAAAAAGAUGACAAUGUCUGUACUUUAGAAUCGGCUGUACUUUAGAAUCGUCUGAACAAUUGAUGUGCUGUUGCUGUCGUGUUGAAGAGAGUUUCUAAUUGAUGUGUUGUUGUUGUUGUGUUGAAGAGAGUUCUUUUCUCAGGUCCCUGCGGCAUUUAAUAGUCUGCAUGAUUUGAAUCAGACUCCUAUUAUUUUUGUUAACUCGAUAAUUUUGGCCGAAGCUUAUCUUGUAACUGAAUCUCGAUAACUUAGGCCAAAUUCAAUAACUUAGAGACCCCUAUCUCUUCCUAAACAGGUAAUGGGUUGGAUUGCCUUCUGCUCUCUCUGUCCAACGACUGAAUUUGGCUUCAACAAGUUGUGAAUAAGAAAAAAUAUACAAGUUGUGUUAUAUAAUGGUUUAAUAAAUCAAAAGAGUAAUUACGAGAAUUGCAAUUAGAUGAGUCAAUGAUUUGGUUAGUAGUUAUGAUAAUAAUGAUAAUAAUAAUUAUGAGGAUACUGUCGCCGUAUAAUUGAGAUUGGUACCAAAGGUUUUGCAGAUUGGUUUGUAAGUUUCGAACUUGAACACCUAGAUAUUUAAUCCUUUUAUGAUGAGAUAUGAUGAUUAUUUAAGUAUGCUGAAGUGAUUGUCUUAAAAUAUGAUUAAAUGUGAAUAUUUCUAUUUGAAUGAUGGUUAGUUUCACAAUUGAAAUGAUCAGUAACCGGGGUUAGUAUCCUAUUUCCCCUGCACAGUUGCACAGUAGAGUUCAAUGUUAUAUUGGUUCUGAAUAUUCUGCACUUUGGUAUUUAAACAGAAAUGCAUUGUCUUAAAAGUAUCACAAAUGAAAUUAGGAGUGUUUGUAACUUUUUGAUUUGAAAUUAAAGAAUUUCAACACUUCUUUGAGUGAAAAAUAGAAUCGGGAGCUCGAGUAUGUUUAGUUUAAUUUUAAUCUGUGAAAUUCUGAAGUUUGGGGGCGCAAGAUACAUAAACUGUGUUUAGCAUAGCUUCUCCUCUUUAUUCAGAGUCUGCAUUGAUAUGAUAAAUUUUGUGGUAAUGUAAUUGAGAAGUUCAUUUAGAAGGCCAUAGUGUGGCUAUUCCAAUCCAAGGAGCCUCAUCAGUUGAACAGCUAAGCUAUUUAGGGGUCAUUCGUUUUACAGAUUUAUAAUAUUCUAGAAAUGUUAGCAUAUUUGUUAUUAACUUAUCAUAUUAUUUGAGUGAGGAGGUUGUUAAAAACUUAUCAUAUCAUGAGUGAGGAGGUUGUUAAAAUAAAAACUUAUAUAUUCUUGUUAAUGGACAUUCCUUCCAAGUAUAAAAAUGACAGAGGCUCUGUUUGCACAUCGGAAUAGUAUACUCAGUAAUAACUGAUUUGGUAUGAGGAUGUUUUGUGUGAUUAGAAGUUAGGUUGAAGAAAAUUCUUGUGUGAUUUGAGAAAAUAAUGACAUUUAUGACUCGGUAGAAUAGUAUAUUUUACUUGCGAGGUAAUUAAUCUUAGGUGAAAUCACAUAUAACUUAUCCAAAUUAUAGAUCGUUUGUUUUGGCUUCCAAAUCUUUUAAAAUUUUGAUUUCACUAUUCUACAUUCAAUUUUUUUUUAUUUAAGUUAGUUAACGACAUUUUGACUUCAAAAUUAGAAUAUAUUAUUCAUGUGUUGAAGAUUCAAUUAGUAUUGAAUAAUUAAUUUGCUUAAUUUUAAAGUCAAAGUGCCGUUGAUUGAUUGGUAGUAGAGUUGGGAGUGUCAACAAUGUAAUUAUCAAAUCGUAAUAAUGACCGGAAUACUGAAAUUGGGUCUUUUUGGCCUAAUUAUCGGGUUGGGUGUGCUUGGCCGUGCUUGUUGCUGGCCAUAGAUUCGUUAUGGUCGCAUUCCAAGUGGAAAUGACUCGGGAGUGAUCUUGUGGUUGUCGACUAUCCGGAUGCUGAAAUUGGCAUCCUUGGAACUUCUUGGGGCGGAAACUUUGUCGUUUUGGCACAUUGGUUGUGCUCUUGGACUAUGAAACUUGUGGAAUGUUUUUCGGAGGUUCCUCGCUAAUUGAAACUAGCAGUAUGGGUGUUUCUAUCUUUUGUUGGUUCAUGCGCCAAGAUUGGCACACGUUGGAAACCAUUGCGGCUUAGUUUUGGAGUUGAGGCCUCUAUGGUUGCACACCCUAUGUGCAGUUGUCUCAACACCUAAAUUGGAGUAUCUGGGGACAACGAGUUAUCUAAAUUGGAGUAUCUGGGGACAACGACUUAUCUAAAGAGACCUACGACUAUGCUCGAGACCUUUAAUGGGUUGAUUGGAGGUCUUGGCGAGGUUCGAAAAUUGAUUAAAGAAAUCAAUGUUCUAAUCGCACUGGUUCUUGUUAUUGGCUACUUAGUAAUGUGGAUUGUUGUUGACUUGAUGUUUGGGAUUUGUUUGGACUCUAGUAGAGUCGGCUCAUGGGGUUGUUCUAGUUUCAGAAGUUGAAUUUUGAAACCAAUGCUUCGAAUAUGUUGUUGUGCACUUUGUUGUGGUUUGUGUGUGUCAGUUUAUGUCACGGACGCGUAAUGGCUUGUAUUGAUGCUCUGGUGAUUAUGUUUAGGUUCACGAGACACCUAGAGGCAUUGGAGUCGCGAACUCAGAUAUACCUGGUAUAUAGAUGGGUUUUUAGAUCCAUAGUCGGUGUAGUAGUAUUGUACUCGAUUAUUCUAUUAUGCUUCUAAUAUGUAUCCUAUUGAGUAGAUCGAUUUUAUUUUGCUUCAUUAUUAUUCCUGUGUUUUGCUCUACCUUUUAGCUAUGGGCAUCGUUAUAUCAUGUUGUGGGUGAUAACCGGUUGGUAGAGUGGUUUAUAUAGAUCAUUAUGAUAUUAUACGUGUGUGUUUACUCUACAUAUCGACUUACUAUUAUAUUUAUCUUUACAUGCUACAUGGCUAUCAUGUAUGUGUCCCUUAUCAUGUUGGAUGUAUGACGCGUAGAUUAUAGUGUAAGAAUGUUUUAAUCACGUCUGUCUAUCAAGUACGUGUUCAGAUGCAUUUUAUCUAUUGGAUCGACCUGUAUCCUUAGGAAUUGUCUUGAAUAAAUGUAAUGGCUGGGGUGUAGAGAAGAUUAGGGCAAGCAUGAGAGUAACCAGAGUAGAAAGAGGAAAAGGGUAUAGAGGGGAAGAGAGGUAGAUUCGGUGAGAUCCAGAGGAAUAAAGGUGUAGUAGUGGUCUUGGUAUUGGGUCGGCUGGGUGAAUACCCGGUCGAAUUGUACUUGUUGGACGUCCAUGGCAGAGGGCGCUAGGCUCAAAUUGCUCAGCAAGCAUGUCCAUGCCUUGGAGCAAAGGCUGCAGGGGCUGGCAGUGGGGAACAAUCGAAAGUUCGAGGAGCUGAAUUGAAAGAUUAAGGCUAUGCAAGCAGAGGACUAGAACCAUUAUGAAUCCCUGCGAUGCGAAACUGCAAAUUCAUCGAAGAGGCCGGAGCAACUUAUGGAUCUAUUAUCGAAUCAGCAGCAAUUAUCAUCAUCGAAGGAACUCGCAAGCUGGACAAUGGCACCAAGAGUAUCUAAAAGGCCAAUGUUGUGCAGUGGCUCAGUUGAUUAGCCUAGAAGAAGAGAAGCAGGAAGAGAUACCCGACCAAAUACGAAAUAUGUUGCAGAAAUUGGAGGAUGUGUCUCAUGAGCCGCAGGGGUUGCCUCCUAUUAGGCCACAAGACCAUAAAAUAUCCUUGCAGAAAGGAGCACAAGCAGUCAAUAUCAGAUCAUAUAGUUAUACAGAGAAGUAGAAGUACGAAAUGGACAAGAUUAGAGAGAUGCUAGAUACCGGAGUGAUCCAACGUAGUAACAGUCCAUACGCCUCUCUGGUCCUAUUAGUUAAGAAAAAGAAGAAAAAGGAUGGGAAUUGGAGGUUUUGCAUUGAUUAUCGUCAACUGAACAAGCUCACAAUUGAGAGUAAGUAUCCGAUACCCAUAAUCGAUGACUUGCUAGAUGAGUUAGGAGGUUCGAGAUAUUUUUUCAAGAUAGACUAGAGGUUUGGGUAUUAUCAAAUACGAAUGUGCACCGAUGACAUACCAAAGACGACCUUUAGAACUCAUAUGGGCUAUUAUGAGUUCAGAGUCAUGCCUUUCGAACUCGCGAAAGCCCCAGUGACCUUCCAAUCUGUAUUUGCUAUUCUACUUUGUAGGUAUGUUUUGAUUUUUUUUCAACGAUAUAAUGGUAUACAGUAGGACAUUAGAAGAUCACGUUGCCCAUUUGGAAGAAGUGUUAAGAAUACUUGAGGGAAAUUGAUUGUUCACAAAAAGUCCAAACGCUUCCUUGGCCAGGAGCAAGUUGAGAACCUAGGACACAUUAUCACUCAGCAGGGGGUGGCUACGGACCCAAGUAAGGUGGCAGCUAUGCUGCAAUGGGUAGCACCUAUGUCAAUUAAAGGGGUUGAGAGGAUUCCUGGCCUCACAGUAUACUACCGCAAGUUUGUUCAAGGGGUAUGGAGCUAUAAGUAAAUCCCAUGCUAAACUUUUGAAGAAGAAUAGUUUCCAUUGGACAAUAGAAGCGCAGGAAGCUUUCAACAAAUUGAAGAAGUUAAUGAUCGAGGUCCUCGUGCUCGCCAUGCUCGACUACUUCAAGCCAUUUGUGGUGGAGGUAGAUGCUUGCGACUAGGGAAUAAGGGUUGUAUUGACAUAAGAAGAUAAACCCUUAGCUUACCUUAGUGGCCAUUAGCAAGAAAUCCGGGGUUGUCCACAUAUGAAAAGGAAUUUCUUGCUAUACUAUUAGCAGUCUCUAAGUGGCGGCGUUUUCUUAAGUAUGAAGCAGUUUAUCAUCAGAACGGAUCACGAGAGUUUAAAGCACUUUAUAGAGCAAAAGAUCAACACUGCUACCCAACAGGAAAGGAUGCUUAAGUUGAUGGGACUCAACUAUAUAAUACAAUACAAGAAAGGAAGAGAGAAUAGGAUGGCGGAUGCCUUAUCACGCAAAGAAAUUGAGGAGAGCAGUAGUCAAGCCAUUUCGGGAGCCAUUCCAGCUCGGGUAGUUGAGAUAACCAACAGCUAUCAGGGAGAUGAAGAGUGUCAGAGACUGAUAGCCCAGUUAACAGUACAGCUAGACACUUAAGGAGCCUACAAUUAUACACAGGAGCUGCUACAAUACAACGAAAGGCUGUAUGUGGGAUCAGGAGAGGGGAUCAGCAGAAGUUACCCAGUCAAAUGCAUGACUCAACCCUAGGAGGCCACUCUGGACAACAAUAUACCUAUACAAGGAGCAAGAAGAUAUUUUACUGGCCAAGGCUCAAAAGUGAUGCGGAGAGGAUAGUAGGGAACUGCACGGUAUGCAUACAGAACAAGUUCGACAAUCAGCCUUACAUCAGUAAGAAAAGUGUCAAAGAUUGAUAGCCUAAUUAACAGUACAGCCAGGCACCCAAGGAGCGUACACUUAUACACAGGAGCUACUGCGAUACAACAAAAGGCUGUAUGUGGGAUCAGGAGAGAAGAUCAACAGAAGUUACUCGGUCAAAUGCAUGACUCAACACUAGGAAGCCAUUAUGGAUAGCAGUAUACCUAUAGAAGGAUCAAGAAGAUAUAUUUUACUAGCUAGGGCUCAAGAGUGAUGUGGAUAGUGAGGAACUGCAUGAUAUGCAUACAGAACAAAUUCGACAAUCAGCCUAAUGCUGAGUUGCUACAACCGAUACCAGUUCCCCACCAAGUAUGGAGUGAAGUAAGUAUGGACUUCAUUGAAGGACUACCAAGGUUGGAAGGAAAGGAUUCUAUAAUGGUGGUAGUUGACAGAUCCACGAAGUAUGCCUAUUCUAUUCCUCUUACUCCUAUACGGCUUCAGUGGUGGCCAAAGCAUUCUUCGACACGGUGUACAGACUACAUGGACUGUCGGAAAAGAUCAUUUUUGAUGAGGAUAGAAUCUUUACAAGCGAAAUAUGGUAAGGACUAUUCAAGAUAUUUGGGACCAAGCUAUACAUGAGUUUGCCCUAUCACUCCCAGACUGACGGGCAAGUAAAGAGGCUUAACCGAUGUCUGGAGAUCUACCUCUGAUGUAUGUGUUUACAACACCCCAAAAAAUGGCAUAAGUGGAUCACACACGCGGAAUGGUGGUACAACUCGAACUAUCACACUUUAUUUGGGAUGACUCCCUACGAGGCCUUGUAUGGGAAGCCACCGCUGAGUUAUAUAAUGGCUAAUUUUACACAGAACUCAACGAGUGAGGCAACCGGAUGGGGCUAAGUAGAGAAAAAAGAUGGCUAAGGGGUUAAUAAACAACCUCUUAAGGGUGCAAAACAGGAUGAAGCAGUUUGUCGACCGCCGUAGGGUGGAUCGAGAGCUUAAUGUUGGCGACUUGGUUUACUUGAAGCUGCAAUCUUACCGUCAACAAAUGGUGGCAGUGCGAAGGAAUCUCAAACUGUCGUCUUGCUAAUUUGGAUCCUUCAAGAUUUUAGAAAAGAUCGGACUCGCAGCCUACCAGCUGCACAUGCCGGAGAGGUUGAAGGUACAAUCAAUUUUCUAUUUCUCUCUGCUGAAAAGAAGUCCACCUGAAGAAAGACCCGUCUCAAUUAUCGUGCCUUUUGCUGGAGAUGACGGCCAGUUGCUGGCGGAACCUGUAGAAAUCCUCAACCGGAAUAUGGUACGGCGCGGAAACAUAGUAACCCAAAUUCUGGUAAGGCGGAGCAACUUGUCCUCUAACCAAGCAACCUGGGAGUAUUACUUGUUCCUCAAGUCACAAUUCCUGACUUUCUAUUCUUGAGGACAAGGAUUAUUUUGAAGAGGGAAGGAUUGUAAUGGCUGGGGGCUGAGGAGAUUCGAGCAAGCAUGACAGUUACCAGAAUAGAAAAAGGAAAAGGAUAUAAAGGGAGGGAGAGGUAGAUUCGGUGAGAUCUGGAAGAAUAAAGUAGUAGUUGUGUUGGUAUUGGGUUGGGUGAUCCGAUAUCGGGUCGAAUUGUACUUGCUGGACUGAGGGUUGCUCAUCGAGCUAGGCCCAACAGGAAAGUCCAGCCUGAUAGAGGAUUGGGAGCUCAGAUGAUCUAUUUGGAUAUUCCAUUUCUCUUAUUGUCCUUAGUUUUAUGAAAUUGCAUGUUACUCCUUAUGUAAUAGAUAUAAAUAGUAAAAAGGGUAUAAAGUGUAAAGGAUAAUGAUGAACAAAAUUACUUUCUUCUUCGUCAAUCUCUUUCCGCUCCUUUUUCUUUGAUCUUCUCCUCUUUCUCACUCACCUUCGACUUAAUUUGAGGAUUCUAUCAUCUCCAUCCUGAGAUCCUCAGAGCGAGAUCAUCAUCUAAUCCCAUGAUAGAUCAGGGUAUUACAAUAAAAUCACGUAGGGCGCAUCCAACAAAUUAUACUCUUACAUUAUGCAUUUAUAGAAGAGAUUCUGUCUGUUUGUACAAAGGAGAUUCUAUUCAUAUAGUGGGUUUGUGCAUGCGGGGUAUAUUUUUUACUUUGGAAAGAAAAUUGCUGUGUCUGUACUAAAUUCUGUUUUUAAUAUAGAAAGGUUAAACAAAAAAAGUCUCAUAGCAUGACAACUGCGAUUUUAUGUUUUAACAGAUUUCUUAAUUUUUGUUCUCCAUUUUUACAAUAUUGUUUAUUAGAGAUGGAUUUUUUUUUUUGAGAAAUAGGUAGCAUGCUACCCGCUUCGUUUAUUUUAUUUAGAAAUAAAAUUAGCUGAAAAUAUGAAUCAAUUAGGAUUCGAACUUGGAAUCUCGGAUACCAACCACCAAGCUCUUUGCCACUUGCACUAGGGAUAGUUGGUAUCUGAGAUGGAAAAUUGACAAGAAAAAGGGGAUGGUGAGUGUGUUGGAUGUGGCUCACGUGAUAUAUUCAAGUCGAUCCAUAGAGAUACGGUCAAUCUAUUUAAGUCGAUCUAUAAAGAUACUGUAGAUCUUACGGUUAGGAUGUAUUUGGACACGUCAUUGAUGGACGGACGUGAUUUAACAUUCUUAUAUUAAGUUAUAUAUAAAUAUAUAAUAUUCGGGAGUCUCGGUCUAACCCUAAUCCAAUUAUCUGUGACUGCUCCAUCUCCGGAGAUAAGGGAAUUAAACUCUAAACGUCUCGUCUUUUUGCAGAUCGCGAACGAGAACGAACCACUAGCAAAAGUCGCCGCCUACAAAUCGGGUACAGAAAUCGAAAUCAUGACAGAAGGUACGAUCUUAGUUUUUUAUAAAGUUUCAACAUGUGGUAUCAGAGCCGCAUCUUUUGCCGGAUUUUUGUUUCUUUCCGAAUUUCGUUUAAUUUUUUGUUUCCAUUAAAUAAAUAAAUAAGUUUGUUGAUGGUUUGCGUCAAUGAUGAUGUCGGCCGGCCUCAAUCGAGACCGGCGUUCGGAAGAACGGCGUCAUCGGCCCGGCCGAAUUAUGCGAUAACACAAAAAAAAAAAAUGUGGUCUGCGGUCGGUCGGUUGGUAAACCUGCAUCGCCACAUCAGUCGUGCUAGGAGCGGCCAAGAAGGGGUUGCGCUAUGCAUUCCCAUUAGGGCCGCAAGGAGGCAGCCCGUGAUGGGGCUGCCUAGCUGGCGAUCAAAGUAGUCAAGCACAAAAAAAAAAAAGAAAAAAAGGAAAAGAAAAAGUAAAGGGUUGCAGGUCGCAAGCCACGUGGCUGCCAUGUGUAGCCCCAUGCGGGGCCCACCGCAAAAGAAAAAAUUUUUUAUUUAUUUAUUUAUUUAUUUUUAACGAAAAAUAAAAAAAAUAUAGUUUUGCUUAAUAAUUUUCUUUGCAAUGUGACUUAUUUAGAGGAAGUCUAUAUAUUAAAGUUAUGUAUAACUUUUGGUAUUUGUUAUAUAUAAUUUCUGUUCUACUCGCUUGUUUAUUUAUGAUAUAAAAUAAUAUGUUUAGUUUAAUAUUUUACGGUAUAUUUUUUGCAUUAUUAUUCUAAACACACAUAAGGUGAUUAUGAAAAUUUAGAGUAGCGUAUAUAGACUUCACACAAUUUAUAAAUUUUAAAUCACAUAAGGUUUUUAAGAAAAUUAUUCAAGACUUUUAUUCUUUUUCUGCUGCGUUUUGGAAUAAUAUGAAAUUUUCGGUCAUUCAUAUCAUAUACGGACUUGUGAGAUCAACUAUGUCUAGGAGUAGCCACAGCAUCCUAGUCUUGGUAUAUGAUCACUUACGGUAUUUUUAUAAAAUGAUAUUGAAUUAAAGUUAACCCGAAAAUUCAUAUGGAUUUCCAAUUUAUUUUUAAAUAGUCAUUCAAUAUCAAUAAGGUUAUUUGUAUUUUUCGUUAUGCUCAAGAGUAACCACAGCAUCCUAUAGAUAAUGAAAAAUAUAUAAGGUAUUAUUGAUAUUCAAUUAAAGUUUGACUAUUUAUUGCAGCCAAACUAAAUAAUUUUCUGAAUUUUGACUGGAAUAAGAUAGUGGAUUGAAUUUCUAGAUAGCGAGCUUUUCUAUGCCCACAGGUACAGGAAUCUUGUUGCUUAGAAAUUAGUUUUAUAUUAGUCUUAUUAUUAAAAUAGAUAAAUUCUAUGCGUGUAGCGGCUCUGGCUACAGGAAGGUAGAAUUUAUCUAAUCUAAAAAUUAUUAUCUUAUAGUAGGCGAUAAAGUUCAAUAUUUUCUUUGUUUUUGCAGCUUCUUCCUCUACUGCAUUUCUUAAUAAUAUUUCUCGUAUCCCUAUGCUUAUUGGGGAUAAUUAUUCUGAUUGGAAAGAAAUUAUUUCUUUUACUUUGGGCUAUAUGGAUUUAGACUUGGCUCUGCGCGUUGAGCAACCGCCUAAGGUAGUGGGGCAACUGACUCCACAGCAGGAAUUCGAGCAGGAAAAGUGGGAGCGAUCCAACCACUUAAGUUUGAUGCUCAUAAAGUCUAGAGUAUCAAAAAAUAUAAGGGGAUCGAUUCCAGAAUGUGAUAAAGCCAAGGAUUACCUAAAGGCUAUUGAGGAGCAGUUUGUCAGCUUCUAUAAAGCUUGGCUCGAAAAGAAAGGUAUUGAAACUAUUUAUAUUUAUUAUGAAUUUCAUUUAGUUAAUAUUUCUAAAAACACAUGGUGGAUUGACUCUGAAACUACUGUACAUAUCUCAAAUACCAUGCAGGAUUUUCACAACCUAGCAAUAUUGAAGCCAAAUGAAAGAAUUUUAAUUAGCGGAGAAGGAAAUAAAUCUGAAGUUGAAGCCGUAGGAAAGUUUAUUUUAGAAUUUAGUACUAGUUUUGUACUUGAACUUGAGGAUACUUUUUAUAUUUCUAAAUUUUCUGGAAAUUUAGUUUCUGUUUCUAAAUUGAGAAAUAAAUGCUUCAAAUUUUUAUUUGAAAAUAAAUCUUUUACUAUGUUCUUCGAUAAUAUUAUUGUUGGCAAUGGUUAUUUGAUAGAUGAUUUGUACAAAUUUAAUUUGAGUCAAUCUUUUGAAAAUAAUUUUAAUGUUAAUAAUGGUAUUGGUGUUAAAAGAAACAUUCUUAAAGAAAACUCCUCUUAUUUAUGGCAUAAGUGUUUAGCUCAUAUCUCUUUAGAGAGAAUAAAGAGAUUGGUAAAAGAAAAGAUCUUACAAGGUCUCGACUUUACUAAUUUUGGUACUUGUGUGGAAUAUAUAAAGAGAAAGCAUACUAAUACAAAUAUCACUAAAGGUGCCAGAAGGAGUUUUGAAAUUUUUGAGAUCAUACAUACAAAUAUGUGGACGUUUUCCUACUCCUUAUUUCAAUAGUCAGAGCUAUUAUAUCUCAUUUAUUGAUGACCAUUCAAGAUAUAUGUAUCUCUAUCUUUUAUUUGAAAAAGCUGAGGCUUUUGAUGCUUUUAAAGUUUAUAUAAGGUUGAGAUAGAGAAACAAUUGGAUAGGAAAAUCAAGAUUGUAAGAUCCGACAGAGGGGAUGAGUAUUAUGAAAGACAUACGGAUAAAGGUCAAAUGACCGGUCCAUUUGCUCAAUUCCUCGAAGGUGAAGGUAUUAUUGCAUAGUAUACGAUGCCUGGCAUGCCCCAACAAAAUGGCGUUGCCGAAAAGAGGAAUAGAACACUCAUGGACAUGGUAAGGAGCAUGAUUAGCAACUUUUGUUUUCCAUCUUCUCUUUGGAGUGAGGCACUAAAAACAGCGGUGUAUAUUUUAAAUAGAAUUCCAUCGAAGGUUAUUUCCAAAACUUCUUUUGAGUUUGGAAAGGAUGGAAACUAGUUUAAAUCACCUGCAUGUAUGGGGAUGUCCAGCUGAGGUGAGGGUUUAUAAUUCACAUAUAAAGAAGUUGGAUUCCCGAACGGACAGUGAAUAUUUCAUUGGCUAUGCGGUAAACUCCAAAGGAUUCAGGUUUUAUUGUCCAAAUCACUCAUCCAAGAUAGUUGAGGCCAGAAAUGCCAAAUUCCUUGAGGAUUUUGAAGCUGGUGGGAGUGUUAUUUCUCAAAAGAUGAAUUUUGAGGAAAUAAGGGAUUCAAUUGGUUAUCCAUCAACAGAUAAUAAUCUAGUUGCUCUUCCAGGAGGUCAAUUUGACCGUAAUGGAGAUCAACUAAUCUUAGAACAUGAAAAUGCUGAAUCAGUUGAACCUCUCCAUGAAGAUCUGUCUCAAGAGGAACAAAUAAUUAUAGAGCCAGCUGCACAGAAUAAUAAAAAUCUGCAGGAAGAGGUUGGCUUAAGAAGAUCCUCAAGACAAAGGAGAUCGGCAAUUCCUGAUGAUUAUAAAAUCUAUUUUCAUGUGUCUGACUUUGAUGUCGGACACCAUAAAGACCCAUGAACGUUUUCAGAAGCCGGCAUGGAGAUAAAUCCUCCCUAUGGUAUGAUGCCAUAAAGGAAGAGAUGAAAUCUAUGGUGCAUAACAAAGUUUAGGAUCUCGUUGAGUUACCACAGGGAGUCAAAGCUAUUGGCUGUAAAUGGGUCUUUAAGACCAAAAGGAACUCUCUAGGUAAUAUAGAACGAUAUAAGGCCAGACUUGUUGCUAAAAGUUUCACUCAAAAUGAAUGCAUUGAUUAUCAUGAAACCUUCUUUCCAAUAUCAAAGAAAGAUUCAUUAAGAAUUAUUAUGACUUUGGUAACUCAUUUCGAUUUAGAGCUACAUCAGAUGGAUGUAAAAACGACAUUUCUAAAUGAGGAUAUAGAGAAGAUAGUCUAUAUGCAACAACCCGAAGGUUUUAGCACAGAUGAAAAUAAUCACCUUAUUUGCAGACUAAAGAAAUCUAUAUACGAACUUAAACAGGCUUCCCGUCAGUGAUAUAUUAAGUUCCAUAAUGUAAUUACUACAUUCGGUUUCGUAGAAAAUAUUGUAAAUCAGUGCAUAUACCUUAAGGCUAGUGGGAGUAAGUAUAUUUUUUUAGUCCUGUAUGUAGAUGACAUUUUGUUUGCAAGAAAUGAUUUGAGUUUGCUUAAAGAAACUAAAGAUUUUCUUUCUAAGAAUUUUGAGAUGAAGGAUAUGGGUGAGGCUUCUUACGUCAUUGGCAUAAAGAUUCACAGAAAUAGAUCUCAAAGAAUUUUCGGUCUAUCUCAGAAAGCCUAUAUUGAAAGAGUUCUAUAAAGGUUUAAUAUGGCGAACUAUGCACCUACAGCUGCGCCUAUUAUAAAAGAUGACGGGUUCAAUCAGAAAUAGUGUCCUCAGAAUGAUUUAGAACGAGUGCAUAUGAAGAGCAUACCCUAUGUCUCUGCAGUAGGGAGUUUGAUGUAUGCGCAGAUCUGUACCAGACCUGAUAUAGCUCAUGCAGUGGGGAUGUUGGGUAGAUACCAAAGCAACCCUGGCCUUGAUUAUUGGAAAGCUGCAAAGAAAGUUAUAAGAUAUUUACAGGGAACAAAGAAUUAUAUGCUCACCUACAGACAUUCUGAACAUCUUGAGGUGGUUGGAUAUUCAGACUCUGAUUUUGCUGGAUGCGUGGAUUCUAGAAAAUCUACAUCAGGAUAUAUUUUCUUAUUUGCUCAAGGUGCUAUAUCUUGGAGGAGCACUAAGCAGGAUACAGUUGCUACAUCCACUAUGGAAGCAGAGUUCAUCGCUUGUUAUGAGGCUUCGUCAUAAGUUUUAUGGCUGAGAAAUUUUAUCUCAGGUUUUAGAGUUGUCGACUCUAUCUCAAGGCUAAUUAAGAUUUAUUGCGACAACUCUGCUGCAAUGUUCUUUGCAAAAAAUAGUCGAAUUACAGAUCGCAGCAAACAUAUAUCGAUAUAAAGUAUCUUGCUGUGAAAGAAUACGACAAGAAGAAGGUCGAUAUCCAACACAUUAGGACUGAGAUGAUGAUUGCUGAUUCUAUAAGUAAAGCAUUGCCGGCAAACAAAUUCAAGGAUCAUAUUCAUCAUGUGGGUAUCUUGAGCCCAUUUACAGUUUAAGUGUUUUCUUUUUGUAUAAAGACUUUAAAAACUAUUUUUAUUUGAAUAAGAACACAUUUUGAUUUUUGCACAUAUGCGCAUAAAGUUAUCUUUUGUACAUAAAGUAUUAUUGUGCACUAAAGUAGGACUCUGAGUUGAACUUAUAAUAAGUUCAUAUGGUUGUAACUCAUAAAGUUAUUUGAUUAAGGAAUACGUGCUUUUGUUACAUGGAAGGGAGCGUUCAUCUUUUGGGGCAUAACCGCUAUGAUCAAAGUAUUGUGAUUUUUUGGUCGAGUGGGAGAUUUUGACUGUGUAAUUUAGUUGGUACCUAAUAAAGUUUCUGUUUCAUCUAUACAGUAAUAAAUAUAUCACAAGGCCAAGUGGGAGAAUGUGGAUGUGGCCCACGUGAUAUAUUCAAGGCGAUACAUACAGAUACGGUUAAUCUAUUUAAGUCGAUCUAUAAAAAUACUGUAGAUUUUACGAUUAUGAUGUAUCUGAACACGUCCUUGAUGGACGGACGUGAUUUAACAUCCUUACAUUAAAUUAUAUAUAAAUAUGUAACAUACGGAAGUCCCAGUUUAACCCUAAUCCAAUUAUCCGUGACGGCUCCAUCUCCGGAAAUAAGAGAAUUAGACUCGAAACGUCCCUUCUUUUUGCAGAUCACGAACGAGAACAAACCACGAGCAAAAGUCACCGCCUAUAAAUCGGGUACAGAAAUCGAAAUCAUGACAAAAGAUACGAUCUUAGUUUCUUAUAAAGUUUCAACAGAGUGUCCUUUGAUGCUUUGUGCCUAACAUAAACUGUUUCCACGGUGACGGGAAAAAAAAAUGUAUGGGUUAGUUUCUAGGCUCCUUCCAAUUUUCAUUAGAGUAGAACUCUUGCUUUUAUCCUAGGCUAAAAUUUUAGAGCAAUGCUUCUUGUAUACUUAUUAUAGACUAAGUAUGAUAUUUAUAUUUUAUUCAUUUAAAUUUCAUUAUUUUUCUACAAAUUUUUUAAAUAUUAGAAACCUAUAUAUAUUGUUUUAAUGCUGGGAUGAGAGGCAUAUAAGUUAAAAUCUAUAUAAAGAUGCAUAGAUAGGAUUUUUCCCCAACUUUAAAGCUCAUCAAAAGGAGACAUUUUAGCCCUCCACUUUUUCUUUUUUCAAAAAGAAAAGAACCAAUUGACAAUUGACAAUAUAUCACUACAAGUUUAGAAUAUUAAAUAUAAAAUAUUUUAUGUAUUUCUACGAACUUUGUAAAUUAGCAAAUAUAGUUAAUCGCAAAUAUAUUUAUUAACUAGUUAAAUGGCAUCAUAUUUUAGUUAAAAAAAAUUUAUUUAUUUAUCUGCUUCAUCGUUUUUAUUGACUCCGCAAUCGAAAAUAUUAUAGAAGAAAAAGAAAAUAGAUCAAACCGUCAUAAUUUAUCGAUAAAAAGCAACAAAGCUUGAUCUCGCUAGUCAUUAUAUUAGUUAGUAUACGAUGAGUUUUAACUAGCUCUAUAAAUUUUUAAGAUUUACAUGAUUAUAUAAAAUAUUUUAAAAAGUAGACAAAUUAAUAUACAAUAUCCUUAUUUUGCAGGGAUAUGCAUGCAAUUAUUAAUGUAGUGUCAUUGAUUAACAGCUGUCCUUUUUUUUGGCUUUAAAGAAAACAAAAAUUUAUUGUCAUAUAAAGCAAAUAGAUAAAGUAGCUUUUUAUGCCCUAGCCUAUUUUCUUCUUUCUUUUCUUUUCUUUUCUUUUUUUUUGACAGAUAAAUAGCAUGUUACCUGCUUUGCUUAUUUUAUUUAGAAAUAAACUUAGCUGGAAAUGUGAAUCAAUCAGGAUUCGAACUUAGAACCUCGGGUACCAACCAUCACGUCCUUUGCCAUUUACGCUAGGGACGAUCGGUUGCCCUAGCCUAUUUUCAUCUUCCAUUAGUGCAUUAUAAGUAUUUGUUUGACUAAAGUUGACACAAUACUUUUUUCUAAAAAUAUUUGUUCAUUAUGUAGCCUAACUUCAUACUUUACUUUGAGCUAUUAGUAAUUUUUGAUACAGUAUUUGUUAAGCAGAAUAGUUUGAUCGUUUUAAGUAUAGCACAUACACUAAAAAAAAAAAUUGUUGAAAUAAUUUGAAAAUAAUGUGGCAGCUAAAAUCACAAUUUAUGCUAUGAAAUGUUUUAAAAAUUUAAAGUACUUAUAAUCUUUCUUUCUUUAAUAAUAUAAAAUUAUAGUUGUGGUUACCGGCGGAGAAAUAUGUUGUCGUACAUGUGAGAUAUGUAACUUUAUUAAUAUAUAUAUAUAUAUAUAUAUACACUAUACCAGAAAUAUUCGUGAAAAUGAUCUAUUAUUAUCAAGUUUAUUUGUAGCAUAAGGUUAUGAGAAUAGUAUAAAUGGGUUGUUUAUUGAAUAAAAUGAUAUAAGGAUAAAUUCAUAUCCAAUGCUGGCUACGGUAGCCAGUUAGUUAGAAAAUUUGCUGUUGCAAAAGUUUCGACCCAAAAAUGUUUUCGCGCAUCAGCUUCAUUAACAUGGCUAAUCUGAGUUCCACUGCAUGCCUUUGUUUGCGUUCAGCAACACUAUUCUGUUAUGGUGUUCCGGAUAUAAAUUACAUUACUUGAUCAGUUCUGAAAUUAUCAAAUCCGACGAGUUAAUUAAGCUUGAGCAUUAUAUUUGCUCUUCUGUGAUGCUUCUGUGCUUCUGGCAAUUAAGAAUAACCACUAAUGGGUUAGAAACCAUUUGCUGCACCAGUUAUGGGUUAUGUCUAAUCCUGUACCAGAUCCUACCCAUUAACACCCCUUUUGUUACAUGCUUUCAUCUUUUGAUACCUGAUUCUACAACACAUGAGCUUACAUUGCUUACAAUCUUAUUAUGAUUUACCAACUGAGGUGAAAGACACAUUAACGAACUAUAUUCAAAAGUUUAAUCUCAUUCGCUCAUUAAGCGAUGGAUGAGAUUAAGCCCUUCAUAUUUAAUUCGUCAGCGUAUCUUUCACUUGAGUCAGACACACAUUGUAUCUAUUUAUCGAUCUAUCACAGGUAAACGGUUUAUUUGUACUCGCUGGUAUCGGGCACCUGCAUUUCGGCCCCCCACCCGUCCUCGACGGCGGGGGCGGGCGGCAUGAUGCGCUUCCAGAGCCAGUGCCGCCUCCAGAGCAGCACCAUCUCCUCGAUCGGGAUGCCCUUCGUCUCCGGCAGAAAGACGUAGACGAACACCGUCAUGAUGGUGAUCCAGCCCGCGAAGAAGAGGAAGAUGCCGAACUUGAGGUUGCAGAGGAGGGAGAGGAACGCCUGCGCGAUCACGAAGGUGAAGAAGAGGUUGACGGCCACCGUGAUGCUCUGCCCGGCCGACCGCGUCUCCAGCGGGAAGAUCUCGCUCGGCACCGUCCACCCCAGCGGGCCCCACGACCACCCGAACGCCGCCACGAAGAGGCACACCACGACGACGACGAUGAUCGAGAACUCCUUCGACAGAUGCUUGUCGUUGCCGAAUUUCAGGCCCAGGAUGACAGCCACUAUGACCUGUUCCACAAAGUCGACGCCGAGUUCAGUCUGUCUUUGGAUUCUGAUACAGUUCUUGCUCAGUAGAGAGCUGUCAGGACAAAGUUACUGAUAACUUUAUCCAUCAAGAUCCACAAAAUGCUUUCUGAUCCAGUUAGAAGCAGAAUAUAAAAGCAAUUCACUGAUCCUACUAAAGCCAAAACCUGAAAUGAGCUUGAAAAUUUGAAUUCUAGCAGUUUUAAAAACCUCUAAUUCGAAGCUCCUAUUUCUAGCUGCCUCAUGCAAGAACUACAAGAAGUACUUAUCGCGGUGGCGGCGACCAUAAAUUUUCUUGAAAUUGAAGCUUCUGCUUUUAGAUAUAAACAUGUCCUGUUUCUUUAUGUCCUGACACAAAAAUUUACCUGACAUAUGAUCAUCUGAAUGCCGCCGCUUAUGAGCAGUACCCUCCGUCCCCACCGAUCGACGGUGGCGAUCGAGAUGAGCGUCGACAAGGCGAGCACGGCCCCUGUCAUGACCGACGAAUACAGCGACGCGUUCCCUCCAAAGCCCAUGCUCUGGAACAGCACGGGCGCGUAGAACAAUAUGGAGUUGAUCCCCGUGAGUAUCUGAAACGUCGGCAUGAAUAUCGCCAUCACGAGUUGUGGCCGGUUCCUCGCUUCUAGAAUGUUUCUGAUAUAAAACAACUGGUUACUCUAAAAACUUCGCUAGAUUUCUUAUGAUGUCGUGUAAAAUAACUGGUUAUUCUUGAAGCUUAGGCUGAUAGAGAGCGAUGCAUGACUAUUUAUUUUGUAGCAGCGAACACCUGAAAGGGUGCUUGAUGGAGUUUGCGAGCUCGCUCGCCUCGAUCAUGUCUUGGAACUCAGCCUCCACAUCGGCAGUGCCUCUGAUCCGUUCUAGGAUGCGGCGUCCCUCCUCGACACGGCCCUGCUCGAUGAGGCUGUUGGGGGUCUCCGGGAGGAGGAAGCCGCCGACGGUCAUCAGAAAAGCCGGGGCAGCCGCAAGGCCUAGGGAGAGACGCCACCCCCACGGCUUGAUCUUCCCGGUGCCGUAGUUGAUCAUGUUCGCGGUGAAGAUGCCGAGGGUGGUCGCGAGCUGGAACAUCAUGUUCAGGCCGCCACGAAGGUGCGCCGGUGCCAUCUCCGACAAGUAGAGUGGGACGGCCUUCAGAAAUCAAGGAAACACAUAGUUACGUGAUAAAUCUCAUGAAACGCACGUAACGAAUUUUCUAUUCAUCGCUGACAUGACUUAGCCAGACCGACUUCUGAAAUUUCUAUUCAAAUCAAAGAUUAAAAUAAGUUUUAUAUUGUUGAAGAAAUAAAGUCAUGUCAGUAGUGAGUAGAAAAUUUCUGCUAUGAUGCACAAAUAGUACCUGGUUACCGAAGCCAAUGCCGACGCCGAGCAUGAUGCGGCCCAGGAGCAGCAUGGCGAGGUUGGCGGCGGCGGCGUUGAGGGUGGCGCCGAUGAGGAAGCUGAUGCCGCCGCAGAUGAUGCUGACUCUGCGGCCGUACUUUCGGGUGACGGGGGAGGCGCCGAUGGAAGCGACGAGGCCGGCAAGAUAAAGAGAGGACGUGAAGGCGGCGAGGCCCUGGUUGUCGUACUUGCAGUAGUUGUUCUGGCUGCCGGAGUUUUUCCGGCGGUAGACCACCGGAAAGAACUUCUCCAGAAAUGGGUCCAUGGAUGUCACCCCGCCUUGCAGUAGUUCAAAUCAAAGUCAAAUGUUAGAUUAGAAAAAGAAAAAAAAAUAGUAAAUUUGAAUGUGAAUUAAAUUUGAUUUGCAUACAUGCAUGGAUGUAAAACUAUCACGUUUGUUCAUUCAUGUGAAAAUUUAAAAGUAUAAAGAGAUUUCUAAAUAUCUCUGCUUCUCUUUAUAAAUAUCUCUGCUAUAUAUAGAUACGAGAAAUUUUUCUUCAAAAGCUUAACGUAUCGACAAUAUGAUGAGAUUCGAAAUUAGACCAUCCUACUUUUAAUGUCAUAUCAAAUUAUAUGAAUAUUUAUUUUUCUUCAUAGGUUUAAGUUGCUGAAGAACGAUAUUUUUCAUAUAUAUAUAUAUAUAUAUAUAGAAUUAGGCUACUAUACUAUUAAUAGCACCAAGUUAUUGGUGCUACCAAGUUUUUGACCAUUGGAUUAAAAAAUGUGUGGCUAGGAUGAUGUGGGCCCCCAAGGGUUAAGUGGAUGGUUGGUUGAAUAGUAUGAUCUAACGGGUGAAAAUAAUCAAAAGGGUAGAUCUAACGGUAAAAAACUUGAUAGCACCAAAUACUUCGUGCUAUUAAUAGCAUACCAGCCGGACUAUAUAUAUAUAUAUAUAUAUAUAUAUAUAUAUAUAUAUAUAUAUAUAUAUUAUAUAUAUAUAUAUAUAUAUAUAUAUAUUCAGUAUGUUUUGGAUCAUCCAUAUAUACAUAUAUAUUAUUCGGUCUAAAUUUAUGGAUCUGAAAUUUUAGUUUGAGAAAUUUCUAAUAGAUUUUAUGAUAUCAUUGGCGUCAACCAUUAAUUCCAAAAGUUCGAGCUGUUAGAAAAAUAUGACUAAUUCACUUAAAGCGUAUAAACAUAGCGUCUACGAGUUUGGACUGUGACUCAGCUCAACCAACCUCUAGCUAUUUCGAACAUGACUUGGUCCAAUCCGACCUUCCGUAAUUUCGAACGUGACUUGACCUAAUCUGGCCUCUCGCCACAGGGCAAAAUGUUGGCUCUCUUAAACUAAGAGGUAUGUUAUAUGAAAAUAAAAAUUAAAGUACCUAUAAAAUUAAACGAGAUUGUUUACUUCCACUUUAUUUCUAGGGAUGGGGCAUCGCUAUUGAUAAUCGGGACGUUAAACACAAUUUAGACUAAUUGAACUUCAUAUAAACCAAAUAUUAUAAAGUUUAAGAUAUCAGUUAUCUAGUGAUCAAGAGAUAUUAAAUCGACCUUAUAUUAUUAGCCAUUAAAGCUUUAUAUGGAUGUCGGAAUAAAAUAUCAAAUAAUUAUUUAUUCAAUAUAAAAUAAUUUUUUAUAUGAUUGGAAGUAAGUAGUUUAAUUUUUUAUUUUUUAAAAAAUUUUGAUUUUAAAAAAUAACAUAUUUCACCGGCGAGACGAUUUAUAUUAUUCUAAAAAUAUAAAAUAAAAAUCAAAUAUUACAUUCAUUUUAGAUAUUUGAUUAUAUUUCUUAUUUACCAAAUACUACACAUAUUUUGAGUAAAUCUAAAAAUCAUACAAGAUAAGAUGUUUAUACAUCCAUGUGUGACAAAAAACGAUUAAUUUUGAAACCACUCGAUUAUUAAGCAAAUAUUGUGGAGAAAACUAGCUGUCUCAUUAAAAUAUCGAGCCGAAAAAUUCAACUCGUGCUCGGCUCGUUAAUAAACAAGCCGGACACGAGUUGGCCAACAAAUAAUAAGUUAAAUGGAUUAGAUUAAAUAUAUAUAAAAAAUAAAUUUAUAAAAUCUUACCAUUAGACUUUGAUCUAGUGGUUGAAAUUUUACAUACAAAUGAGUCUUUUAACUCGAUUUUAUAUUUUUUGCAAAAAAUUAAAUAAUAAAAAUAUAUAUAUAUAUAUAUUAUAUAUAAUUAUUUAUUUAUAUAUAUAAAUAUAAAUUAAAUAAAUUAUAUAAAUAUAAAAUAUAUGUAUUCGAGCUGUUAUUGAGCCAAACACGAGCAAGUUGACACCGGCUCGUAUUCGGCUCGUUUAUUAAACAAGCUGAAAAAUUCAGCUUGUUUUUGGCUCAUUUACUAAACGAGCAAUUCGAUUUCGAGCUCACUUCAAGCCAAAUACGAGUUGGCUCGCGAACAACGAGCUGGAUUGUUACCCUACUCCUAACCUGGUGGCUGGAGUGGGUGUAGAAAAUAUUCUCUAAUCUUGCAACUUUUUUUUUACUAUUAUUCAAAAACGCACACCUUAUGCAUUACACCUAAAAUUUGAUAAUUAGUAUGUGAAAUUAAAAUCUUAUUAAUUUCUAAAAUCACCAGUAGAGAUAGAUCCACUGUUUGAUUUAUAAAAAAAUUACUAUUCAAACUUUAUCUGUACUGUAUUAUUAUUAUUGCUAAUAUGGCAACAAUAUUGGAAACAACCAAAUUUAAAUAAUUAGAAAAGGUUUAGAACUGAAUUGCGAUAUUAGAAGGUUAGGGAUUCAAUUGAAACUUAAGUAAAAGAUUAGAGACCUCCAUUUAGUUUAAUUUAGUUUAAGGAAUAGCAGUGCUGUUGAAAAAAAAUAUUGUAGAAAAUAACACUGUACUAUUAAAAAAGUUGUAGAACAUUUGGCUAUUUUUGUAAAAAUAUUAUGGAAAUUAAGUUGUUUGGUGAUAACUGUAAUAAUAAUUAUUAUAAACUAGUAAAAAAUGUAUUAAAAAAUAUAAAUUUAAUUUAGUGGUCCGAUUAGUUAUUUUCUAACAACAAUUUAAAAUUAAAAUUUAAAUGCAUUGGAGUUUAAAUUUGAAAUUAAAAAAUUAAUUUUAUAUCUAAAUUGAAUUUAAAAUCGAAAUUCAGAUUCACAUAUAUAUUUGAAAUUCAAAAUAAAAAAUUAAAAUUAAAAAUAGAAAUAAAAUUUAAAUUCCAAAAUAAAAUACUUAAAUUUAAAAUUUGAAUCCAAAAUAAAAAUUUACAUUUAAAAUUUGAAUCCAAAAUCAAAAAUUACAUUUAAAAUUUGAAUCCAAAAUCAAAUUUAAUAAACUUCAAAAUCAGAAUUUUAAUUUGAAAUUAGUAUAUAUCAAAUUUAAAUUAAAAAUAUUUAACAAUAAAUUUUAAAAUUUAAUUUAAUAUGUGAUUUAGUUUUAGAAUUUAAGUAUAAAUAUAAAUAUAAAUUUUAUUAAUUUUAGAUUAAAAAAAACAAACUUCUCAAAAAUAAAUUGGGGAACAAGAUAAAAAAAAACUUGUAAAUAUUGUGGACAAACAUUAUUAUUAAUCUAAAUUUCUACCGUAAAACAAGAAUUUAAGUUCCUAUCAGUACAAGCUAUAUCUAAUAUGCCGUAUCGCGCCAACAAAAUAUUACACAAUAUAGUCUCUGUGCCGAUAGCACAGCUCAAAACUUUUUAUUCCUUAAAUUAGUAGGUAGUUUUCUCAAUAAAAUUCAAAAUAUUUGAUAAAAAUAUAUAAUAAAUAGUUAUAAUAUUUUAUUACGAAAGAAAAUGAAUAUUUCAUGUUAUUAUAUAUCGGCAUACAUAUAUUUUUGAUGACCGAUACACAUCGAUACGGUCCAACACGCACCAUAUCGUGACUUGCCAGAAAAUUUAUAGCAUAACUCUAUAUCACGGCACUUAAAUUUUUGCUGUAAAAGCUCUGGCAAUAGAGCAUCUAGGAUCGAAAGGCGGUAGGGUGGAGAACGCAAUUUUUUAUAUUCACUCUCUCCGCCAAAUGCUCUCCAUUGGAGAAUAGUCCAUUGAAGUCAGGCCAAACAGGUACUUAGAAAGUCUUAGAACGUUUUUAAAAUGCAAAGCAUUUUCCAUUAAGAAAAUAGGUCAGGUAUAUGAGAGUCAGAGUGACUAUCUCAUGCUAACCACUAGUGGCUAAAAAUUAAAAAUGAUCUCAUUUUGUCACACAUUAAAGAUGCUAGAUCUUUUGUCUUUUUCCUUGCUUCCUUAAGUAAUUUUGCCUAUGUGACUUACUAAUUACUAGUAGAUAUAUUAAUGUACAUCUCAUCAGUUGUGUACUACACUAAUUUAUAUCUUUUAAUAUUUAAAUUUGCAGUUUCCAUUCAACCAUUCUAAGUCAAAUGUAUUUGUUUAAACAUGUAACAUCUAAAUGGCUUAGAUUUAAAGAUAUGAUGACAUUAAAAAACGAUGAGUUUGGAGCAAUUGCUUAUAUAUCUCUGAAAAAUUUUCGACUUUCUAAUUUACCUCUCUUAAAAGGUUAAUAUUAAAAAUACCAUUUUUACAUUCCAAAUUAUAAAGUUAAAUUCAAUUAGCAAUAGCCGUUAUACCUAUGAAAUUACUAUUUUACCCUUUCAAAUAUACACUUCUUCCAUCACUAAUUUUUCUUAUUUGUCUAAGUUAGAGGUAAAUUUUGUUAGCAAUAGCAGUUAUCUCUGUGAAAUUACUACUUUGCCCUAAAAAGUAUUUUAAUUUUUGAUCUUUUCAAAUAUACUAAAUUUUUUUAUUUGCUCUUAAGUUAAGAAUAAAAGAGGUAUAUUGAUUAUUUUUUAACUCUUGCUAGAAAUUUAACUCACGAAAUAACUUAACGGGUGGUAACUAUAGGAGUAUUUUUGAAUAACGAAAAAAUAUAUAAGAAAUAUAUUGGAAACAAAAAAAAUAAAAAUAAAUUAGAUAUUUUUGAAAUUUUAAGAAAUAUAUAUAUAGAGAAUUAUUCCUUGAAAUUAUCUAGAAGCCAAAUCGCUUGUGGUAAGAUAUCCUCCCAAAGUUAAUCCGAAGUGUGCGUAAAUUUGAGGUUGACCCUCGAAUUUUAUAUAAUUAAGUUUCGGGAUUUUAUGAUUUUCUUUUUUUAUUAUUUUGGACUCUGAAACCCAUGGACUGUUUAAAACUUAAUUAAAAUGAAAAAUUAAAAUGAGGCUCGCAUUUACAUGCUACAUGUCACUUUGGGGUGAAUUCAAAGAGUUGACGAGUCCCUUCCCUUCAAAAUAAUUACUAGUUUUAAACAUAUAAUUUUGACAGAUUUUUUAAAUUUCUAAAUUCAAAAAGAAAAAGCUUUUUCUUUUCAUUGGAAGCUCGAAUAAAUGAGGAAAGAGAGCAUUCCGAGGGUGUUUGGUUUCUCAAAAAAUUCUAUAAAAUUAUAUUUUGCAAAAAAAAUAACUUUUUUUUUUAAUAAUUUUUGUUCUCCAGAUAAAAAAUCUAAAAAAUAAAAAUAAAACUUUUUCAUAAACUCAAAAGAAUUCUAAAAAACUAUUCUUUAAAAAAAACUAAACAACCUUUUCAACUGAAAAUACCUACUCUUUAAAAGGCUCCACAAGUACCAAUGUUUAUUACCACCAAUUAAUGAGCUUAAAAAAAUAAUAACAACCAUAAUUAAUGUGUACAGAGUGAAAGAUUUUAGAACGUAGUUAUACUGGUGAUAAGACUGUCUCCAACCAAUCAAAUGAAUCUUUUUUUAGUUAAUCUAUAAUAUUAUAAUUAUAUAAAAAUAUUUUUAUUAUAUAUAUAUUUUUAAAAGGAGUGAUGCGAUCGAUUUAUUAUUACUGAUGUAGUUUAAGUGCGUGCAAUUCUUAAAACUAAUGGAAAAGUAAAAAACGAAAAAUAAAAAAGCAGCGAUUGUGUCAUUGUGACAACCAUAAACCGCCAAACUCAAGGAAGUCUGUCGCACUAAUGCGACAGUAACGUCUACCCCCAAGCGCACUCCGUUCACACCACCUACCUCUAUAAAAAUAUCCCCAAUUAUUCAGAAUCUAAAAUUUAGUUCUUUACAUCAAUUAAAGAACUCUUAUCUUAUAAUGAAUGAUGCAUUUUACUAUCCGUGCUGCUUGAAGAUUCGAAUUUUUUCUUUGUUUUUUUUUUUUUUUUGUAGAUUAAUUAAAGGGAAGUAGGUAGGUAGGUACCAGAUAUGCCGAUGUCGUAGCCGAAGAUGGAGCCUCCGACGGCGGCGACGAUGCAGGCCAUGACGACGAACGGCGUCACCCGCCCUUUGUACUGCGCCGCCCGCUCCUUCUUGAUUCCGAUCGGCGCGGCCCCUCCGCCCGCCAUCUCUUCUUCUUCUUCUUCUCCUCCCCUUCACCAAAAAUUCUCAACAAACCCAAUUAAACUCGAUCUCUAGCUAAUUAACACUCACUACAAAUUAAUAACAAGUAUACGUGUAUAUAUAUAUAUAAAGCUGGAUAUAUCAUGAACUAAUAAUUAAGAACUCUCGUUGACCCAGCUUUUUUUUUUUUUUCCCUGGCUUUCUCUCUCUUCUCUUGAAUAUAUAUAUAUAUAUAUAUAUAUAUNGGGGUGAGAGAGAGAGAGAGAGAGAGAGAGAGAGAGAGAGGGGGAGGAGAGCAUUAAAUAGCGAUCGAGUAAGUUGGGAACGCAGAGCACAUGGACAAUUCCGGCUUUGUCCGGCUGUUGGCCUUUUUCUUUUUCCUUUUAAGUUGGAUUUUUUUAAAAAAUAAAAACUCAGAAGUGGGAUGUGGAAUUGUGGAUGAGAAGGAGACGUCACCCACAGCAAAUUAAGCACGGAAAGGUGUAUAAUAUACACUCUCUUGUUCUAACAUAUAGAAAACAAGUUUUUCUUAAUAAAAAUUUAGGUAAACUUCAAAUGCUAUCAUGUGAUUUCGCACUUUUCUAUUUUAAUAUUUUAUAAUAAUUUAAAGUGUACCAAAUUUAUAUCACGUGGUUUCAUUUUUAUCUUUUCGUCAGCUUUUUCGUUAAUAUUUCGUUAAAUUAUAUACAAAAAAUUUCAGAUACUCCAUCUAAAUUUAUUGAAUAUUUACUUUAGCACCUUUUAGUUUUAACUUGUCACUGAUUUAACGAAAAUAAUUAGUGAAAUCGAUAAUAAAAUGAUAAAAAUAAAAUCACAGAGCACUAAAUUGAUACACUUUAAACCAUAAAAUACUGAAGUGAAAAAAUGUGUACGUAACUACAGAAGUGGUAUUCGAAGUUUUCCCUAAAAGCUUGUUUGUGGAUCUCUUUACAUGCAACCAAAUACUCAGAGAAAGCGAAAUGAAUUAGAUUUUUUUUUUUUCCUCCUCUAUGGUAUAUUAUUGGUUGGAAUAAAUGGCGUUCGAGCCUUAAUAAAAUUUUAUAUAUAGCAUUGGAGGAGGCAUCAAUCCCAUAUAACCAUUUUGGGUUAAAUAUUUUAUAAUUAUCAAAACUUUCGUCGGGUUACAGGAAACCACCUAAUAUUUUAAAAGUUCAUAUGUACAGUCCGAAGUUUUAAAAUAUUAUAAUUAGUUCAUACUUCAUCAAUCUAAAGUGAUCAAUAUUAGCCAAUCACACAAGAAAUAACAAAAAAUACAUACCAGUGAUAUAGAUAAGCUUUUUUAUAUCAAAUAUAAUUGCUUUUUUUUUUUUUUUUUUUUAGAGAGAGAGAUUAAAAAAAAUGCUAAAUUAUAGAAAACUCUCAUGUCAAAAUUCGAUUUUUCACUUUUUCCCCCCUGUCAUUUAAAAACUUACAGUUUGCCCCCUUGUGAAAUAAAAAAUAUUCAUUUUACCCCCUACCGUCAGUGAUCCGUUAGGAUUCCGUUAUAAAAUAUUUUUUAUGCCAAAAAUACCCUCCGCCUUCUCUAUUGUGUUUCGCCCUCUUCCGCCUCACCGCCUCGCCCUCCUCCGCCUCACCGCCUCGCCCUCCUCCACUGUCUCGCCCUCGCCCACAUCUCCGUCCGCGCCCACAAACACCCUUCGCCCUCCUCUGCCGCCUCGCCUUCGCCCUCGUUGCCCUUGCCCACCUUUCCAUCCAUGCCCACCUCGAUCGAUUUCCUCUCCACUGUCGCCGAAAUGGAGGGGCGACGAGGGUGCAGGAGGAGAAGGGAAGCAGGUGGAGAAGAAAAUGGAGAGGAACAGCGACUGAUCGAGACGCGAAUCGCGGCUGAUCGAGGCGGCGGAUGAACAAGAUGAGAGAGGAGACGAAAAUGAUGAGGGGCAAAAUAAUCAUUUUAUCAUCACAGUUCACACAGUACCCCCUGUGAAUAUUUUUAUUUUACAAUAAGGCAAAAUAUAAGUUUUUAAAUGACAGAAGAAAAAAGUGAAAAAUAAAAUUUUGACAAGAAAAUUUUAUAUAAUUUAGCCGGAAAAAAAGGGGUAGAAAUAAGAUACUAGUAGGCCCACUGACAUUUGCUAUCAAUAUCACCCAUGUCUUUCUUUAUCUUCCAAUCUCUAUCACCCCCAGAAUUCAAACUCAAUCUAUGCACAUCAGUUUGCCAAGUAAUUCAAAAAACAACCAAAGCCACAAAUUAGAAUUUAAGCAUACUUGGCAAAAUGAGGAGCAUCAAUUACUUCAAGUACUUAAUAUGCAUCUAAUAAAAUGAAGAAUUUCUGUUCUCAACGAUUGUGCCUAGCGUAGUUGGCCAAGACAGAAGUCCAAUUGUUUUACAUUUAUCGUUCUCUUUCAAUAAAAAAAAAAAAAAAAAUCUAAUCUCUCCUCUUGUCUACAUUUAAUUUGAGAAAGCAUCUGCAAAGUCAAUGAGUCGGUUUCGCAACAACAAUUUUAACAGUAAACUAGCAGAAGUUAGCUCCAAGGGUAUAAGAAAGAACUUAGAACUUUAAACGGACAGAUUUCAUUACUUUACGUGAAAAAGAAUUCGGAAACUAAGUCAAUAGUUAUUCUAGCAUGCAUUUUGCCCCAAGAAUUUGAAAACAAGGGCAAAAGAGGAGCACCCCACAGAGAAUAAUAUUCUGUACUUUUUUUAAGGAUUAAUUUCAUAUAGGUCCCUCAAAAUAUAAUGAAUUACAAAUGUAUCCCUAUAAAGUUCAAUUUUUAUAUGUUGAUUUUACAAAAAUCCUAAUUUUUCAAAUAUAUCCUUGUCGUUAUGAUUCGUUAGAAAAAAUUAAUUAACCAUAGGUAAAUUAAGGUUUAAAGUGCCGUGGCACGGGGGCGUGCUGCUAUCUACCUGACACGGUACGGCGCCGGCACGCUUCCAUACCGACCAUGAUACGCUUGUGUGGCGAUGGAUAUAUACGACCUUCUACUGGUACGCUUUGGCAUGGACUUAUUUCAGUUUUUUUAGUUUCAAUAAGCUCUUAUAAUAUUAUUUGAAAAGAUUUAAUCAAAUAAUUAUAAAUAUUUGUUAUAUAUAACUUACUAUACUCAUUAAUUAAUAUAUUUGUAAAUUUUUUUGUAUGUAAAGUAUAAUUAUAUCUGAUACAGAAUAGAAAUUUUUAUAUGUUAAAUUUUUAAAAUGUAAAGACAUUUUUUUUUCUUUUUUUCUUUUAACCAUAUUACAGUUUUUCUUUUAUAAAAUACAAAAAAAAAAAUUUAAAAAUUAUUUUUAAAAAUUAUUUUAAAAAGUAUUUGAAAAAAAUUAUUUUUUUAAUUAAUUUUAAAAAAAUUAGUAGAUCUAUCAAAAAAAUUAAGUAAUAUGGUUUAAGCAUCAAUUGAUUUAAUUUAACUUUUAAUUUUUUCAGUAAUUUUAAUUUUCUAGCGCAAAAAUAAAAUUUUAUAUUUGAUGUGACUCAAAAUUUGUUUAUUGAGUUCGAUUUUGUUCCCUUAAUUCGCCUUAUUUGUGAAGAAAAAAUACAUAUCUGUGGUGAAAGCGGAGGGUUCAGACAAAUUUUUUGUCCGUAUAUUGAUAAACAAAAAAAAAUUAAAUUAUAACUUUUUUAACUUACCUAAUAAGUAAAUUUUAAUUUGCAAUAUCUUUGGGGGACGUAGAGUACCCAGAAUGUUUUGAAUAUCCCAAAGAACAAAAUAAAAAAAAAUAUUAAAAAAAAAGUAAAAAAAAUAUUAGCACAGUGCCGUGCCGGCACUGUGCCGUGGCACGCUGCCUCGUGCCACUCUGUCUCGUGCGGCACAGCGCUGUGUACUGCAACACGGAGGGGGGUCCGUGACCCCUACCCUCCUGUACCGUGCCACCUUCUUGGUGGCACAGAACGCACCGCCCCGUGCCGUACCACACGGUACAACACUUUAAACCUUGGGUAAAAUACUUAAUCCUUGCUAGUUAAUGAGGUGUACCUCUUCACCCCUUUUCAAUUAACAGUUGAGACUUUUGGAAGGUCAUAUUUGUGAUGGCAAAAAAGUCAUUUCACUUAUAAAAUAAACAGUUCUUUAAUGAUAACAAAUAUUUGAAAGUAUUAAGAUUUUUAUAAGGACAACAUAUAAAAAUUAAACUUUGUAAGAAUAUAUUUGUAAUUUAUUAAGUUUACAGAGAUCUGUAUAAAAUUAACUUUUUUUUAAAUAUUGCUCCUCUUUCCAAACCAUAGAAAGUGACUGGUUUGAAUGUUUUGUAGGCAUUUGACUUCAUUAGUAUAUUUGGUAGAUUCAUUGUUAGAAAUUCUCCUUAAAAUGGAUAGAAAAAGCCCCAAGUUACCAUAAAAGAAUAUAUGGUUUACAGCUGAUCCAGCAAUGCUUUUAUUAAUUAAUUAGACUAGCAUGUGGAGAUUGUUGAGCCCAGGAAGUAUGCGAAGAGACUUAUUCUACACAUCACUACUCUCUCUCUCUCUACUUAUACUAGAACAUAUUGUAAUGAAUUUAUUAUGGCAAAAGUGAGAGAUGAGUUUAUUAAAGUCGAAGAUGAAGAACAAAAUCGCACACCAGGUUUAAGUCCACGGAGGGUCACUUAAUUCCUAUAGUAGUAUGAUCAACAUCAAUGAUUCGGUCGAUCAGAUUAUUUGGAUGCAUAAACAUCUCUAUUAUCGAGUUGAGCUCUUGUGCUUUUCAAUAAGCUCAUGAGUUUAACGUAUUUAUAAUUUGUUAAUCUUCGGAUGGCCUCAAAAUCUGUGCAAACUACUAGUAAAUGAGACUUACUGGUACACACCGUUAAUAGCACUGAAUGAAUCUUGAAACGAUCCGGUGGCUGAAAGGUUACAAGCACAAAUGCUUCUGUACUUUCAAAAGCACAUGAGCUCAAUUCUCUUUUAACAAAUUCAUUUUGUUUGCUCGAAAGAGUUGCUUGAUAGAAUGUAUAAAAAAAAGUACACAAGCGUAUAAUACAUUUCUAAGUGUUUUUUUUCCCUCAAAAAUACGAUAAAUUAGUUCAUAGGUUGAACACUUAUUGUGGAAGAUCAAGUUUAACCUCUUAUUUUGUAAUUACAAUAAAAAAAAAAUCUCACAUAUUGCAAUUUUAGUGGAUUAUAGGGGUGGAAACGAGCCGAGCUCGAGCGAGCUUACCUUGGCUCAAAUUCGGCUUGAAAUUAAUUUCGAGCAUAAAUUUAAGCUCAAGCUUGGAUUGAAAUUAAUUCGAGCUGAGCUCGAGCGAGCCUAAUUUCGAGUCGAACGAGCUCGAGCCCUAAACGAGUCGCUUGAAAUUCUCAACAUCAUACGAUCAAUAGUUUAAUUUGUAUAGAAUAUUAUCUAUAAUUUGAUACAAAAAUAUAUCUAAUAGUUUAAAGUACAAAAUAAUUAUAUAAAAUAUAGUAUUAUAAUAUGAAGAAAAAUAAUUUAUGAGUUGAAUACUUAAUCUUUUCAGGCUCACAUGUCUUCUCUUCCGCAUUCAAUUUUCAUAUUAUUCAUUUUUAUUUAUGCAAUCAAAAAUAAAUAAAUUAUAUAAAUAAAUAUUGGAUUAAACUAUCCAAUUAUAUAUAACUAAAAUUAAAAUUUUAUAUAAAUAAUAACUUUUUACUUUAAAAAUAUUCUGUAUAUUUUCUCAAGCAUACAAUUAAUAGAAAGGUAAGCAACGACGGGCAUAUACUGUUUUUUUUUUUAGAGAUAGGUAGCACGCUACCCGCUUCGUUUAUUUCAUUUAGAAAUAAACUUAACUGAAAAUAUGAAUCAACUAGGAUUCGAACUUGGGUCUCAGGUACCAACCAUCAAGCCCUUUGCCACUUGCUCUACGGCGAGCAUAUACUAUUAUUUGGUAACUUGAAGGGCUUCCAGCUUGGCUACUUAGGGUGAGAGACAGGAAAAAAGAAAGAGAAAAACAUAUUGAAAUUUUAGAACUCUGUGAAAGAAAGAAAGAAAAUAAAAAUGUAUAAAUUUAAUGAAAUUUUGCUCUUUUAUUUGUCGAUUGGAUUUGUUUUUAUGGGCCAACAACAUUGGUUCAAUUUUAACUAAACUCAGGUUAACCACCCACUCAAUCUUAGAGGACCAUUAUCAUUCUAAUUGCGCAUCUUUUCAUCCAACGGCCAAAAACUCAAUAGUACCAAGGACUUGAUACUAUUGAUAGUAUAGCAGCAUAAUUCUAUAUAUAUAUAAAAUAUAUAUAUUAUAUAUAUAUAUAAUAUUAUAUAUAAUAUAAUAUAUAUAUAGCGAGAGAGAGAGAAAGGAGAAGAUGGAUGAGAAGAGAGAGAGAGAAGUGGUGAUCUACUAUGUACGAAGCACGCGAGUGGCUACCUGUUCCACCUGUUUUUCGAAUGUUUGCGUACUUUCACAUCGAUCGAUCUGCCUCCUGUUAAACUUGAUCUAGAGUAUUUGAAGUACCCUUAGAAAAUAAAUUUUAUAUUUUACGAUAUAUUUUGCCUACUUGAAUCGAACGGGACUCAAAAUAACGGCUGAGGAAAUAAAAAUAGACCCAAAUAUAAUAAUAUGACAUAAAUUUUAAAUCAAAGAUAUGUUGAUCUUUUUUUAUUAUAUAAAAAUUUCUAUCAAAUUUCACGUGAUUGGAUUAUUUAUACACCGUUUAAACUUGCAAACGGCUCACUUACGGCCAUUGAAUUUUGUUGAUUUGUGAGCACUUCAUCAUAAGUACAUGAUAUCGAAAAAAUAUAAAAUUAAUUUUUACGUUACGUCUAACAUAUCUAGAGUCAAUUUAAACGGAAGCUCGCGACGAUUUGAAAGUCGCCAACAUUUGAAACGAGAUGGAAGCACGGAAGACUCCGUGCUUCCGAUAGAUAUGUGCCCACUCUAUUAUAUAUAUAUAUAUAAUAUAUAUAUAUAUAUAUAUAGUGUAGAACUACUAUUCUAUAUAUGUAGAACUAUUAUGCUAUCGAAAAUAUAGAGGAUUUGAUGUUUCCGAAUUUUUGACUCUUUGAUUAAAAAUUGUAUGGUUGGGAUGAUUGCGGUCCCCCCUAAGAUUAAAUAAUACCCCUAUGAUUGAGUGGUCCCUGCAAGGUAAUAAUAGUAUUAAUCCAAAGAUAAGAAAUGAUUAAAGGGGUUGAUCUAAGAAUCAAAAAAUCGAAAGCACCAAAUCCUCUAUACUUUCGAUAACAUAGUAGCUCUACUAUAUAUAUAUAUAUAUAUAUAGAAUUAGGCUGGAAUACUAUUAAUAGUAAAACGCUCUUUUUGCUAUCAAGUUUUUAACCCAUUGGAUGAAAAAUUGUAGGAUCAGGAUGAUAUUAGUCGGUUAGAGUUGAGUGGUCCCCCUAGGGUUGAGUGGUCCCCACUGGGUUAUAGUAUUUAAUCCAAUGGUUAGAAAUAAUGAAAAGAGCUGAUCCAAAGGCUAAAAAACUGAUAGCAACAAUGGUAUAUUCGAGCAUUUCGAGCUUUUCGAGCCUAAUUCGAACGAGCCGAGUAAUACUCAAGCUUGGCUUGAAAUGAAUUUCAAGUCUUUUUUUUUUGUUCAAGCUCGACUUAUUUAAUUUCGAGUCGAGCUCGAGCGAGCCAAAUAUCGAGUCGAAUGCGAGUCGAACGCGAACCGGCUUGCUCAUUUGCCAGCCCUAGUGGAUUACCUGUUCCGAUAACCAAACAGGCCCUGAGAUGAAUAUAGACUAACAAAUUAUAAGGCCUGUAUAUAUGCAUGUAGAAAUUAUUAAAGCAUGUAAUAACUAAGCUAUAUAAUAACUUUGAUUACAUGACUUAUUAGAGCAACAUUUUAUAAUUGUCUAUAACUGAUUUAAUAUUUGAAUAAUUGUCUUAUAUUACUAGAAUUUUUCUUUCCUUUGAGCCGUAUAGUCUGUAAUAUUUAAAAAGGCUUAAUCUUCUAUUGAAUAUGAUCAAGCCUUAAGCAUACAUGCUUUAAGAGUCCGGCUAUUACACUCUUAUAAGUACAAUCACUUUCAUACUUACAAAUCGUUUUUUAUAAUAUAGCUUCCAAAUCGACGGUCCAUACCGUUAAUCAUUAUCUAGAUCAUUCGAAACUUCUAGAAAUCAAAUUUUAUAAUUUUUUAACAUCAUUUACCUUACGAUCAGAAGAUCUUAAAAUUAAUAAUUUUUAACAAUCGGUAUAGAAUACUUGCUAGUUUAACGGUGUAAAAAAAAACGAAAUCAAUUGAAUUUUUGAUAGAAAAUUCUAUUAACUAUCUAGAUAAAGAUCAAUAACUCCGAUCUUAAAUUGAAGUAUAUAAUCCUUUAUUUUUAGAAAGUCGUUUAAUUUUGAUUGUUCAUUUUAUGCCCGCUUGAUGAACUUUACUAUAAUUUUAAAAAAAUUAUGAAAUUUAUUUUCUAUAAAUUUUAAACGCACUAGAUUAUAUUUAACGGUAUGGAUCAUCAAUUCGAAAACUCUUUUAUUAAAAAUAACUUAUCGUACGAAGGGCUUUAUACUCAUAAGAGUAUAAUAGUCCUACUCCAAACUUUAAUUUCACGACAUUAGAGCCUACUAAAUAAUACAAAACAACUGUUAUUCUCUAAAAUAUAUUUAAUAUUUAACACCCCCCACACUCGGGAUCGAGACUUUUUGACGAGCCAAUAACGUGGACUUGAAUUAAAUAGGAGGAAAUAAAUUAUAUUAGGAGUUAGAUGUGACUCGAACUCAGAAUCUCUUGCUGUGAUAUCAUAUUAAAUAAUACGAAAUAACCGUUAUCCUUAAAAAAUUUAAACUAGUAAAGAACGUAUUUUUAUAUUUUUAUAUUUUUAUAUUUAACGGAGCCGAAGCAGCCAAAAAAUUCUAUUCAAGUUGUAAACUAAACUUAGUAAUUAGAGACACGUCAGCCUCCUAGGUUAAGGUAUACAAUCAUGUCAUAUAAUUCUUUAAAAUUAUAUAGAACGAUAUUUUCAUCCUUUUCACCGAUUUAAUAAUUAAAUAAAUAGUUGUCUUAUAUUAUUAGAAUUUUUUUUUCUUUUUAAUCAUGUAGUUAUAAUAAUACAUUUCGAUGAAAAAAGAAGAUACCAUCCAAAUGCGCUGUAAGUGGUGGUAGUCGUGAACAUCUAACUCCAUACUAGACCAAUAAAUAAAUGCAUUAUGGGUAGUUGUAAAAAAUUAGUUCAAACUUGAAUACUAUAAAACUUGAACACCCAAAAUGUGGCCACUUGAUCUAAAUUAGUCAUUGCUUUUUCUUCACCAUUAUUACCAGUAAUAUUUAUAUAAAUAGGUAUUAAAUGCUCUUAUCUGAUAGCAAGCGUGCAAAAGAAAGUAAAAUUUGGUAGGUCGGCAUUUACUUUAAAAUUAAUUUCAUACAUAUUCCUAUCAACAUAAUAAAUUACAAAUAUGUCUCUACAAAGUUCAACUUUUAUAUAUUGUUCCUGUACAAAUCUUAAUGUUUUCAAAUAUAUCCCUCUGAUUUGUUGACGUUAAAGCACUGUUUACUUUAUAAGUAAAAUAAUAUUUUUACCAUCACAAACAUAUCCCUACAAAAUUUACAACUGUUAAUUAAAAAAGAAUAAAAAAGUCAAUUCACCUUAUUAACUAACUACGGUUAACUAAAUUUUUCUAACGGAUUAUAACAGCAGGGAUAUAAUUGAAAGCAUCAGAACUUUUACGGGGGCAACAUAUGAAAGUUUGAAUUUUGAUAGGAAUAUAUUUGUAAUUAACUAUAUUUGCAGGAACCUAUAUGCAAUUAACCCUUUACUUUAUCCUAACCUUGCUUGCAAUACUUGUGCAAGCAAUCUAUAAAUUGUAUGGAAGUGUGCAAGCAACCUAUAAAUUGUAUGGCGUCCAGUUUAUGAAAACUAAUCCACUUACAGUUGUUAUUAUUUAGUUGAAGAAUCUCUCACCUCCAGAUCAUUCUUAAAUAGAAUACUUAGAAUUUAUUCUUCUGGAUUGACACUACUCAACUAUCGACGCAAUUAAGUAAUUUUUAUCGACUAAAUUGAGAAUUUUGUUAAAUUUACGAGAAAUUUUAUCAAACUUUUGAUCUGGUUUGAUAAUGUAGUGGCUAAUGCACUCUACCUUUAUAAUCGGAAAGACUUUAGGGUGCGUUUGGUUCGCACUAUGAAAAAUUACUAGGAGCAAAAAGAUAUCCGAGAAUCUUAUUCCUAUUUAUCCUAUUACUAAGAAUGUAGUAUUUCGAUAUUUGGUUCGUACGGUCAUAUUAUUUAGUCAUGUUAUUUAAAAUUACCAAAAAUAUACAAUUUAUUUAUUUAUUUAAUUUUAAAUAAUACUAUAAAAAAUUUUAAUAUUUUUUUAGAAAAAAGAGAAAGAGAAUAUAGGUUAGAAAGAGAGAGCAUAAUUAAAGAAAUAGAAAGAAAAAUAGAGUCGAGAUUAGAGAGAAUAAGAGAGUUGAAAUUUUAGAAAAAGAGGGAAAGAAAUAACAAUUUAGAAAGAGAAAAAGAGUUGAAGUUUAGAAAGAAAAAGAUAAGUUUAGAGAGAAAUAUGAGAUUAUACUGUAAAGAAAAAUAAUAUCAACUAACCGGCAGGCCGGAAGAAAAAAAAAGAUUAGACAUAUUAUAAUUACUCCAAUCUAUUAAUACAAGGAUAUUCACCCUUCCUCAAAGAAAUGAGAUUAGUACUUUGAGAUGCAUCUCAUUCCCAAAUAAAUCCAGUAUUACCAUCUAGAUUACUUAGUGCGUUUAGCCAAACACCGUCAUAUGUUUUUAUUCUUAUUGGAUUACUAGAAAUCUUAAAAAUAUAGCGCGAACAAAACGUACCCUUAAUAUUAUAAAACUGCGGUGGCAACUAGAGAAGCAUAUAACAACAUGCUUCUCCAAUAAUAAUUUUACAGCACAAAUAGAGAAUAGAUUUAAAGAACUUCACAAUUUUUUGAACCAUCCAUAUAAAAAAUGGGUGCUUUUAGCCACCAAAUUACCAAUAACUUCAAACACUUCUUAACAAGUAAAACUAGAACAGCUAACAACUAAUAACUAUAAAAUUAUUAUAAAAUUAAAAAAAAUAACUUAACUAACUAGAAAAUGCUGAAAUUAAAAAAAUAAUAAUAAAAGUUAAGAGGGAUGUCAAUAAAAAAAAGAAAAAAAAAAAUUUUAAAAAUGCAGAGGAAUUUUAAAAAUGGCUCAAUUUAGACAAGCAAAAGCAUCAUUUUUUUAAGAGAAAUAGAUAGCAACUACUCGCUUCGUUUAUUUCAUUUAGAAAUAAACUUAGCUGAAUAUGUGAAUCAACUAGGAUUCGAAUUUGGGUCUCGGAUACCAACCACCAAUCAGAAGCAUCAUUACAAUUCAUGUCAUACGUUUCCUAUGACUUUUUCAUGACAAAUAAAUGUACCAUGCACUAGCCAUCAGCAUUUACUAUAAACUUCAAGAAGCUUUACUAGUGAAAAUUUUGUGCAAGUAGAUCAAAUAUUUUCUUCUCUUAAUAAUGGUAUUAUAUAGCAAGCUUUUAGACCCUUUCAAAAUCAUCUUAAUCACAUGUUCCAUCUCUAUAUAAACAUGGGCAUCUGACCCUACAAAAUUGAAUCAAUUCAUAACAAGUCUUUUCCAUCUAAAUGUGCAGAAUCAUGUUGAAAACAUGCAUAAAAAAAAUAACAAAACAAGUGUUGAAACAUACAUUUAGUCGUCAGUAUAGUUAAAUCUUAAAAAUAAUUCGUACACGAUCAAAAAGGUCAGCAAUAAACACCAGAUGGGCCUCUGUGCAAUACCGACAAAUAGCAGAACUUUUGAGUGACAUAUAUAUAUCCUCUAUUCCCUUCACGGAUGCAAACAAACAUCUUUAUAUCACAAUAUUGAGGCACAGUUCUCAUCAAAUUAGGUUAUCGAGAGAAUUUGACUGUGUAAGAUAUGUUCUUUGCAAAAUCUCCUUUCUCUAAAUGUUUUGAUGUAUGCAUCAACGAAUCAUCCUGAUAUAAAUUCAUUUUCAAGAAUGAUCUUACCACUGUUCAACAACCAACAAAAGCACAAAAUGCACAGCUGCGUAGUAUAAUCCCGCAAAAAUGCAGCAAGAAAAUCUUGAAGAAAUUAUGACGAGAAAAAAAGCAAAAAAGCAAACAGUAAAUAGUAGUCACGACAAGAAUAGAAAGCCAACAUAUAAAUCUGACCCACAUAUCCCUCAGAAUGCCUGGUAUCAACAACAAGUCAUAAAAUCCCGGUUCCUCAACCUCACCAACAUACUUGAUGAGAGAGCACCAGUUAUCCAUGAUUCUAAUGGCUGUUCAGAUUACUAAACUUUUCAUCACAGGGAUACUGGAUCAUGUCAAAAAAUAAAAAAAAUAAUAAAAAUAAUAAAAAAGGAGAAUAAACUCAAUCUCUCGAUCCACGAACUCUAGAAAAGUACAUCAAUCUUUCAUAUCCUAUACAAAUUCACAUGUCAUAGAAGUUCUAUUUGUGUAACUCUAUUCGGACAGCAACCUUCUAAUUACUGUUCCAAUCUGUUCCUUUUUAAAGUUUCAGCUUGGUAUCAGAUGCAUAUUUGCAAAACUGAGGUGACGAACAAUAUGAUUGAAUGAUUGAAUUAUCAGUAAUUUAAUCGUUAACUAAGCCAUCCUAUGAGUAUAAAAUGGAAACAAGAAAAUAUGAUCAAACAUAAGGAAUACAAACAAUAUAGACCAUCAUCGCCUAUCUUUCAUCAUCGGAACCAGCCAACCAGUAUAUUAUCUUCUUAUCCAACUCUAAUAACAGUGAGAAGUUUAGGAGAGUUGCCAGGAUACUUGUUAUCCAACUCGAAUUACGGCAAGAGGUUUAUGAGGGUUGGAUUCGGUGCUAUCAUGGAGUAACUACAAUGAGGGUGCAAGCAGUUUUGACCUCUCUUGCAUACGAGUUGGCUGUCUUCCAAUUUCUCGUCGAGGAAUACAUUUACAUAUGCAUGGUGAAGAGAAAUCGUCAAAGGGAUUAACGUACUAGUUUAUCCCAUUGUUAUGUGACUUGCCAAUAUGGCUAGUUUUGCAAAAUAUAAUGUAGAAUGCAUCCGCUCCUGAUCACUGCCAUGCUAAAACUGAUUGUAACCUUCUAAUUGAAGAAUGUACAUUCUACCACUGUAGACCAGCUAUUGGGAGUUUUCAAAUUCGAAAGUUAAUACUUGUAUUGACACACAAAAGCAGGUCCAGCAAAUUUAUACAAUCCUCAAAGCUAAUUAAAGAUAAAAUAUGACUAUGUUACACUGUAGUUGCCAGUCCCUUUACUCCAAGGCCUAGUUUGGUAUUGCAUUUCCAAAAGCUCCCACAUUCAUGCUUUGGAAGGUCCAAAAACUCCAAACGCGUUUUCAAUCUUCCCUUCUCGAAGUGCUUUCAAUCUUCCCUCCUCUUAUAUUAUAAAACUGUCGUGGCAACCAUCUUAAAAGAAGCAUGUAACCACAAGUUUCUCCAAUGGCAGCUAUCACCACAAUUUUAUAGCAUAGAAGGGAAAAAGGGAAGAGUUUUUACUCUUUUCUUUUCGUUUGGUGUGUGUGUGUUUUUUUUUUGUGGGGGGGUGUUGGGUUUGUUGGUGGUGGGGGUGAGGGGAGGAUGGGGUUGUCUAAAGCCUGAUCGCAGGUGCUUUUAGCCCCCACAAUACCAAAGAGGCCUAUGACUAAGUAUAGACUACAAUCUAACAUAAACCAUAAACCAAUGAAUGUAAUGAGAGAAUAAAAAAAGUAUUUGUUUCUCAUAAAAACCCUUUGUUGUAACUAUCUGGCAAACUACACAUCCCAUUUCAGUUUUCUCUUUUUUAAUUUCCUUUCUAGAAUGGACAAUUCUGCUUCUUUUUCCUGUUUUUUUUUUCAAUUUAUUCUCUACGACUGUUUAUUAUGGACGGCUGAAUGGCCGCACAUUUAGAAUGGAUCCUUUUCACUACAUAUUCCAUGGCUACAAACCCAAAGGUCAAUAUACUACAUAUUCCAUGGCUACAAACCCAAAGGUCAAUAUAGCUACCAGUUGUUGGCACUAAUUUACUGCCUUUGAUAUACAAUGUACAAUUUAACUUGGAGUUCACGGGAGCCUUCUGACUAUACUGGAGUUGCAUUCAGUGCAAUAAACAGAGACAACUAAGAUAAGUUAUAGACAGGAAAGAAAUUACAAGAUGAUGAAACUCAAGUGAAAAGAAAACUAAACAUCGCAGAGAGGUUUCAAAAUAUAGCGUAGUUAUAAAUAAUAGCGAACGAAAUAAAAAAACAACACCAAAUCCAAGCAAGUAACAAUAGAAUGAAAGCAACAAAUGCUACAAACUAGUACUUCUGAAAUACGAUUUAAUACAAACUGCAUUAGAGUUCUGGACUACAGGUAUCACAUAAGAGACUAAGCAAAAUAAAGAGGUAACGAAAGAAAAGAAAUCUAAGCCUAUCCGUUCUAUAGCACAUCUUAACACAGGUCCAAUUAGUCGGAAGAAAGUGGUUACUACUCUAAGCUACAUAAAUUGAAAAAAAUAUACUAGGAGCACAUACAUGACAUUAUUAAUUUAGAAGCACGGCAAACUAGGUAGCUGAUGAUGAUGAUACAGAUUGAGAUAUCGUGAAAUUAUCAUUUCCUGCUAAUUCUUCAAAUAUGUUUUGGACAAGGAAACUCCUCAUCAUCAAGAUAGCUCAAUCUAAUUUCACUGAUGAGAAGAGGUAGUGAACAAACCAGAAAGAAGAAAGGAAUCCGACUGUGCCAGUGGCAAGCAUGACAGCAAUGACCAUGAAGAGCGAGUAGCCUAAGUAGAGGGUCGCUGAAAUAGGCCCGCUUAAGCUCUUGAGAUCAAAAACAAGAUAGUUGACCGAGUACAAGAAGAUGUAGAUUGCUACCGAGCCCGAUGCAAAGAAUGACUUCCACCACCAUUUCCAAUCCUCCACGCAAAGAUGCAUGUAAGUGAGAACUAAAGAGACCUCCGCACAUACAACAACAAGAAGUAUCAACACGACGAAGAGAAAGCCAAAUACAUAAUAUACACGGCCCAUCCAAAUGCUCGACAUUAUGAAGAAUAACUCGAUGAAAAGGGUGCCAAAGGGUAGCGUUCCUGCUCCAAGCACUAACAACCAAGAUGGGUACUUUUGAGGAGGGAUUUCGCGCGGAAUUUGGUUCGUCCGAACGGGGAAUUCAAUGUGCGGAGCCUUUGCCCCAAGAGAUCCACCGAGAAGAGUGAGAGGGACCGAAAUGCAGAACCAAAGCAAAAGCAGGAUGACGAACAAAGAGAAGGGAAUCGCGCCGGUGCUGUGGCUACCCCACAAGAGGAAAUUGAGAGUGGUGAGAAUCAGAAAGGCAACGCCGGGGAAGAAGCAAGCGACGCGCCAGGAAACCGACACCCAUCCGGAGUGAUCACCGCCCUUUAUCGUCUUCCAAAGCCUAACAGCAGCAUACCCAGCCGCGAUUCCGAGAACCAGGUAGAAGAAGAGCAUCCCGGUGACGAGAGUUCCCCUCGAGGCGGGCGACAUGAACCCGAGCGCGGCAAACAGAAUGGUCACCACCGCCAUACCCAGAAUCUGAACCCCGUCCCCGACCAUCGCGCAAAGCAGCAGCGGAUGGCUCGGCGCCCUGAACACAUCGCCGACCACCAGCUUCCACCCCGAGAGCUCCUCGUUCAUCUGUUCCUGCGCCUCCUUGUCGAGCUCCUCGUACCGCGCCAGAUCCCUCCGGACGGUCCUCAGCAGGAUCACCAACACGAUCCCCGCGAGGAACGCGAUCACCAUGAGCGAAUUGAGGAUCGAGAACCAGUGAACCUUGGCCCCCUCCAUCUUCAGAUACGCGUCCCACCGCGACGGCCACUUGACGUCGCUCUCGACGAAGGCGACCUCGUAAGUGAACACGAUCGGCUGGUUCUCCCCGACGGCCAUGGCGACCACGGAGGGAUCGCACUCGAUCCUCCCCGGGUACUUAUCGUACAUCCUCAAGCUCUUCACGGACUCCGAAUCGUGCGCGACGCUGCAGGGCACGACCUCGAACCCGACGACCAUCCACCCGGGGGGCUCAUUUUGCGUCUUCUCCUCGUACCUAUGCACCAACACCGUAAACUUCAAAUGAUUGAACACGUAGUAGGCGCCGCCAUCGCGGACAUGAAUUCCGACCGGAUAACCGGUCCACCGGAGGGAGUAGCCGUCGUCGUUCCUGGUGUAGCGGAUCGCGGGGAGGUUGUCGAGGAUGAGAUUGACCUGGUACAGCUCGUCGAUCCGCUCCUUGAGGAGGGCGAGAGCGUCGGGGGCGAGCGGGUCGGAGCGACACAGCAUAACAGCGGAGUCGUUGACGUGCAUGUUGAAGCGGUAGGGGGAGUUCUCGAUGCGGUCGCCGAGGAGGAUCUCGCCGAGGUUCUCGGCGCUGUCUUUGAUGCCGCCGGGGGGGCGGCAGAAGAAGGGCAGAGAGUAGUAGCCGAAGGGCAUCUCGGUGCCGACGGAGGUCAGGGAGUUCACCUUCACGGAGAGGGCGUCGCCGGCGGCGUAGCGGUGCGGGUAGCUGCCGGGGAGGUAGAAGGCGGCGGCGAGCGGGAGGGCGGAGAUGAAGGAGAAGAUGAAGACCGCGGCGAGCGGGAAGUGAAACUUCAUCUUUGAUCCGGCGAGGAAAUGCGGUGUGUAGGGUUUUUGGGGCAGAGGAAGAAGAGAGGGGUCGGAGUGAAUACUUGUCGGUGAUGGAGGGGCAUUUACAACUAGUGCAGUUGCACCCACCGUUCCGGGAGCAUGUGGCAAAGAAUUUGACGGUUGGACUUCAAAAUUUAAAUUUGAAUUCUAAUUGAUUCAUCUUUCUAACUAAAUUUAUUUUUAAAUAAAAUAAAAAAAUUUCAAAAAUCUCUCUUCGUAGUUUUUCACUUUGCCCCCCUGUGAUUUAAAAUGUAUUAAUUUGCCCCCCUGUGGUUUUUCUUUUUUCUCUUUUUCUUAUCAAUUUUAUUAUAUUUUUUUUUAAAUUAGUGAUAAAGUUAAAAUUAAAGAGUACUAAAAUAAAUAUUUGAUAAAUUUAAAUGGGUAUCUGAAGUUUUUUAUAUAUAAUUUAAUGAAAUAUUAACGAAAAAUCUACCGAAAAGAUAAAAACCAAACCACAUGGGGACAAAUUAAGAUAUUUUAAACCACAGAGGGGCAAAGUGAGAAACUACAAAACCACAGGGGGGUUUUUGAAGUUUUUUUUAAAAUAAACGAAACGGAAAGCGUGCUACCUAUCUCUCUCAAAAGAAAAAAAAAAAAAGGAAAACUAAAAAACUAGUGCAGUUGUAAAAUUAGGUAAUUUCAAUUUUUGUCUAUGAAAAUAAUUGAAUAUGAUUUGUGAUUUAUUUAUACUAUAUGUAAUGCCGCGCAAAUACAGAUGAGAUAAAUGCUCGCAAGGAGUCGCACAAGUCGAAAUGCUCGCAAGGAGUGCAGAGUAGUAGGUCUUUUGUAAUCACUUCCCACCGAACCGGAGUCCAACCAGAAUAUUUGGUUCGGUUCAAGUUUGAUCGGUAGAAACUCGUACACUAAACUAGCUGCAUUUUUUUUUGUAAUAAGCAUUAGGCUUAAUUACAGAAGAGUUCUCUCAUAUAAAUGCCCAUUUUCACUUUUUUUUCUAUAAAAAAAUAAAUUUUAAUUUAUUUCUGUCAUUUUGAAGGUCAUUUUCGGUAUAAUAUAAGAAAUAAACGGAAUAAUAAUGUAACCCUGAUGUAAGGGAGGCUAAAACCAACAACUUGAAAUAUUGAUGAGAUAAGAAAAAGUAAAAAACGGAUAUUUAUAGAGAAAUUUUCUGUAAUUUAGCCUAAGAAUUAUGCUAAAAUAAAAUUCAUAAAAAAAUUUUUGCAAAUGCUUUUAUUUUUAUUUUUCACUCUGACUUUUAAAACCUUUAUAUUUUAUCUUCUUAAAAUUUUAAAAUUAUAUUCAAAAGAUUAUAGUAUUAAUGGAAAGGGCAAAAUGAUCAAAUUAUCUUUACUUGUUUUAUAAAAAAAAAAUAUUUUUUAAUAUUUUUAUAGAUACUUUUUAUGUAAAUUAUAAGAAAUAGGUGGAAUGGUGAUGAUUAAAUAUAUCAACUUAAAAUUUUGAGAAGAUAAAUUUUUGAAAGUUAUGAAAAAAAAAAAAAAAAAAACAGAUAUUCACAAACGAAUUUCUGUAUUUUAGCCUAAAAGUUAAGUUAGAAUAGUCUUCAAAGAUAAAUAAUUAUUUUACUAAGAGACACUUUCAAAUACUAAGUUUUUGAAUUGAAGAUAUGUACAGUUAAAUACAUUAUAAAAAAAAUUAUUAUCUAAAUCACUUUAGCUUAAAAAUCCUAACCACUAUUUGCACAACGAUGGUGUACUUAAUUAUUUUUGGCCAAUUUGCAUAAAAAAUCUACUUAUUUUGGGCUUUUGCAAAACCGGGUCAUCUUUUUCGUUUUUGCAGAUUCAGUCCGCUUUUUCAGCAAACUGGGCGGAAACGGUCCGUCUCGCUUCUCGCCCUCGCCUUUGCCCUUGCCCUCGUCCACGCACCCCCCACCUUCUUCGCCUCCAAUCCCGCCAAGACCGCGCCGCGACUUUUUUUUUUUUUUACUUUUUUCUUUUCUUUUCUUCUCCGACUCUUCUCCACCGUCUCCGACGACGACGCCUCUCUCGUCUUUCCCCGCCCUUCUCAUCUCUCCCUCUCCUUCAUUCUCUGCCGCCUCCGACGACGAUGCAUCUUCGCCGGCGCCGACGUCGACACUGUGGAGGUCACUACGGCGCUACAGGCUCGGAGCGGGGGUCCUUAGCGGCGUUGUCGCCGGCACCGUGGCUGUUGGCAGAGAGGGUGACAAAAAAAAAUUAUAAAAAAAACAGAAAAAAAAAUAAAGAUAAAAAAUCAUAUAAAAAGAAGGAUGAACAUGAAAUUGCAUCGUUAACUGCAAAAAAAAUUAUAAGUUGCACUACUUAAGAUGUAAACUGCAGCUUUAAGAUGAAAACUACACUCUUUAAACGAAAAUUACACUCUUUGAGAGAUAUUUACACUGUUUCUCUUCUUAUUACACUCUUUCAGAUGUAAACUGUAUUCAUUAAAAUGGAAGUUACACUCUUUAAAAAAAAGUUGCACUGUUUCUCGUCUUGUUGCACCAUUUUUCCUCUUGUUACACUAUUUUUUUAUCUUAAACUGCACCCUUUUAAAAGAUAUUUAUACUGUUUCUCCUCUUGUUGCACUGUUUCUCAUCUUGUUGCACCAUUUCUGUGUAAACAAGAGAAGAAAUAGUGCAACAAGAGGAGAAACUACACUGUUUUAAGAGAUAAAUAUACUGUUUCUCCUCUUGUUGCACCAUUUCUGUAUAAAUAGGAAGAGAAAUAGUGCAACAAGAGAAGAAACUACACUGUUUUAAGAGAUAUAUCUACUGUUUCUUCUUUUGUUGCACUGUUUCUCCACUUGUUGCACCAUUUCUGUGUAAACAAUAGGAGAAAUAGUGCAACAAGAGGAGAAACAAUGCAAUAAGAGGAGAAACUGCACCCUUUUAAGAGAUAUUUAUAUUAUUUCUACUCUUGUUGCACUGUUUCUCCUCUUGUUGCACCAUUUCUAUGUAAACAAUAGGAUAAAUAGUGCAACAAGAGGAGGAACAGUGCAAUAAGAGGAGAAACAGUAUAAAUAUCACUUAAAAGGAUGCAGUUUAAGAUAAAAAAUAGUAUAAUUUUCGUUCAAAGAGUAUAAUUUUUAUCUUAAAGCAGCAGUUUCCAUCUUAAAUAGUACAACUUAUAAUUUUUUUUGUAAUUAACGAUACAAUUUCAUCUUCAUCCUUCUUUUUAUAUAAUUUUUUAUCUUUAUUUUUUUUUCUGUUUUUCUAUAAUUUUUUUUGUCACCUUCUCUGCCAACAGCUACGGCGCCGGUGACGACGCCGCUAAGGACCCCCCCUCUCCGAGGCUGUAACGCCGCAGUGACCUCUACGGUGUCGACGUCGGCGCCGGCGAAGAUAAAUUGUCGUCGGAUAUGGCAGAAAAGAAGGGAGAGGGAGAGAUGAGAAGGGCGGGGAAGGGCGAGAGGCGUCGUCGUCGGAGACGGUGGAGAAGAGUCGGAGAAGAAAAGAAAAGAAAAAAGCAAAAAAAAAAAAGUCGCGGCGCGGCCUGGGCGGGGUCGGAAGCGAGGAAGGUGGGGGGUGCAUGGACGAGGGCAAGGGCGAGGGCGAGAGCAUGAGGGUGAGAGGCGAGACGGAUCGUUUCUGCCUCCGCUCUGCCGGCGAGAAAAAAAAAAAGAACAAGAGAAACGAAGAAGAGAGAGAAACAGGAAAGAGAAAAAGUAAUAAGGGUAUUUUGGUUAGUUUGCUGAAAAAGCGGACCGAAUCUGCAAAAACGAAAAAGGUGGUCCGGUUUUACAAAAGUCCAAAAUAAGUAGAUUUUUUAUGCAAAUUGGCCAUUAUUUUUCCUUCAAUCAAUUGUCUUAUUUUGGUACAGUUUUUAUCCACAAAUUGUACAAAUGGUACCAAACCGAAUCGUCAACACACCCACAAAUUCCUAUGGCUUGGUCUAAAAAUGGUUUUUUAUAUUCUUUUACGUAACCCUGUAUAUCAUUUUCAUAUCCACGUAGUCAUUUAUUGUGAAUUAAGCAACAUUUAUAUAGCAUACGUUUUGUUGGGUUUCAUUAAAAAAAAAAAAAAAGAAAAAGAAAAUACGAAUGGCAUUGUUCCAACUAUUGUUUUGUUUUUAUUUUUUAAUGGAAAAACUUCAAAAAACCCCCUUGUGGUUUCACUUUUUUUCACUUUAGUACCCUGUGGUUUAAAAUGUAUCAAGUUAGUACCCUGUGGUUUAUCACUUUAUCACUUUAGUACCCUAUGAUUUAAAGUGUAUCAAGUUAGUACCUUGUGGUUUUGCACUUUAUUACUUCAGUACCCUGUGGUUUCGCACUUUAUCACUUUAGCAUCCUGUGGGUUUAAAAAUCACAUGGUACUAACUUGAUACAAAAUUAAAACCACAGGGUACUGAAGUGAUAAAGUGCAAAACCACAGGGUACUAACUUGAUAUACUUUAAACCACAUGGUACUAACUUGAUACACUUUAAAUCACAGGGUACUAAAGUGAUAAAGUGAUAAACCACAGGGUACUAACUUGAUAUACUUUAAACCACAGAGUACUAAAGUGAUAAAGUAUGAAACCACAGAGGGGAUUUUUGAAGUUUUCCCUUUUUUAAAACGUUUUUUUUUUGCUUUUUAGGUGAUGCAAUUUAGGUGCACGAAUACCCUUUGACAUCGAGAACUAUUGUUUGCAAAAGAUUGGAUCUUUGGUCCUUAAAUUAUGACAUGGGUGACAUUUUUGUCCUUAAAUAUUAAUUUAUUUUAUUUUUUGAAUCGAAUUUUAAGAAUUAUUAUAAUUUUAUAAUUUAAUUUAGUUGAUUAAAUAUUGACUCUGUACUAAUAUAAAAAUAAUAUGAUAUUUUAAUUAUUGACAUAUUAUUACUAAUCACAAUGCUAUUAUAUUACUUUCACAUUAAUAAUGCACCAAUAUUAUCUCUAAAAAAAUAAUAAUAAUAAUACACCAAUAUUUAGUCAACUAAAUUAAGAUACAGAACUUAAUUAUAAUAAUAUUUAAAGUAGUAGCUAGAAAUUAACUAUAAUAAACUAAAAUUUAAGGAUUGAAGUGUCAUCACCGUCAUAGUUGCUAGUUGAGGACCACGCAGUCAAUGUACCAGUACUGGAAUAAGAAAAGUUUCUUUGAGUGGUUAAAUUUAAAUUUUGAAAUACUAGUUACAAUUAAAAGUUAUGCUUUGAUUUUAUAUAUAUAGAGAGAGAAGAGAGAAAUGAUUCGGUACCUUACUUUAUAAAAAAUAAAAAAAAAUCUUAACCCUUGAUUAAUGAAGGUUAAAAAUAUCAUUUUAUUAUGUAGUAGGUUAAAAGUUUAUUUUAUGUGAGGGUAUUUUUAUAAUUAAACUAAGCAAAAUUUUAAAAAAGUUUUGAAUAAUAUCCCAAAUUUAGCAUAAAUUUUACAACUAAUUUAAGCAUUAAUUUAAAACAUGAUUGAUAUCCCAAAUUUUAGCAUUAAUUUUAGAAAUUUUAGAAUUCUUCUAAUAUAGGCAUUAAUUUAAAUUUUAGGAAUUUUAGAAAUAGCAGUAAAUAUGUUGAAUUUAAAUAUUUAAUAUUUAAAUUUAAAAUUAAAUAAGAGAAAUUUUGUAUUACUAUUUUAACAAAUUUAAUGUUGAUAAUAAUGAAUUCAACAUAUUUAAUUUGUUUAAGAAAAUUUUAAAUUACUCUAGUUUAGAUAUUAAUUUUUUAUCACAAUCUUUAAAAAAAUUUGAAUGUAGGUAAAAAAAAUUAAAAUUCAACGUAUUUAAUAUAUUGUAAUAUUUUUUAAUAAAAUAUUUGCGGAUUACGGAUAUGAAAUGAUAAAAUAUCUUUGGGUUAUGGAUGUCAAUAGUUACGAAUAUCCAUAAUUUUAUCUGAAUCCGAAUCCAAAGCCGAAAGCAAACGUAGUAGAUUUACCUAUGCUUAAUGGAUAUAGUUUUGGAUGUGGAUAUAAAAAAUGAAAAUCCGAUGAAUUUAAAUUCGGAUGCGGAUUUUGAUUAUAUCUGAUCCGAACCUAAAACCGACCGAAACCAAAAUUUAUUUUACAUUAUAUAUAAUAUAUAUAAAUGUUUGAUGUUAUAGCUGAAUAUGUAUUUUUAAAAUUUAGAUUUAAUUUAAUAUAUUUUAAAAUAUUGUAAAGAAAAAUAAAUGUUUCGAGUUCGGAUUUUCAGGUUCGGAUUAGGGUCGGGUUUUGGAUUUUUAGUCAGGUACGGGUAUAAAUAUGAUUUUCUAAAAUUCGUCGGAUUUGGGUUCAGGUUCGGGUUUCAGCCGAUUUGAUAGUCGAGUUUGUGUUUGGGUUCGAAUUUUUAAAAAUUUGCUCAGAAUCCUACCCUUUUAUAUCUGUACUGUAGAUGAAGAGGAAAGAUAGAGAGAGAAAAAGAAAACAAAAAGAGAAUAAAGAUUUGAUUUUUUUAUAGUGGAGAUAAAAUUACUAAAUUAUCCAUAUAUUAAAAGACCAAAAUAUCUUUUUUGGGGUAUCUGGUAAUCGGUAUCUCUCUCAAAGUGACUUGUUAUUGCGGGUCAUAAUUUUAAAAAAAAUUAAAUCCGAACUGUAGAAUAGAAAUGACUGAAUAAUAUCAAAAACUAACAAAUAUAGAAACAUUACUCAUAUAUAUAUAUAUAUNAGUCCGGCUACUAUACUCUUAGGAGUACGAUCGACUUCGUACCCAUAAGUUGUUUUCGAUGAUAGAGCUUCCGAAUCGACGAUCCAUACCGUUAAACAUUAUCUAGAGCAUUUAAAAUUUCUAGAAAUCAAAUUUUAUAAUUUUUUAAUAUCAUUUACCUUACGAUUAAAAGCUCACAAAAUUGACAAUUUUUAAUGGCCGGUAUGAGAUAUUUACUAGUUUAACGGUGAAAUAGAAUCGGCUGUAGUAUCCUUGGUAUUCUGCAGCCGUGAGAUUUCAGCAUCUGAGACUUGUCGACACAUCUGAAGAGUGUCAGGACAAGUCCGAGUCGUUUUGGCGUGAUAUAGACGCAAAACAGACUCAGUAUGACGCGAGAGCAGGAAUUUAGCACUAAAAUCUGCAAAUUGCAGGUUGUCAGCAUUGAAUACUGGUACUACACAUGGGAGUACCGGUAUCCCAGUCUAAUUUUUUGAUUUAUGCUCUCGGGUUGCGAAGGCUGAUGCGGGGUACGGGUACGGCAUCGGCCUGGUACCAGUAUUCCAGGGUAGGUGAGGAGCCUUUUGGUCUUUUGAUGCCUCGAUCAUUUCACCCUUAUCUCCCGCCGCCUAUAUAGUAUAGAGGAUUUGAGAGAGAGCUUUUGUUUACUCUUCCCUCUCUCUCUCUAGAUUGAAGCCGUGCGCUUGGUGGUGGUCGCGGUUGGAGCUCGGAUCGACGUCGACUUCACGCCGGGGAACCGUUUGAGCACGUGAGCGUCGUAGUUGCAUCGUUGGGAGGCCGAGUGAGCGCGUGGUUCCUCUUCUGUCGACUUUUUGCCGGAGUUGAAUUAGCAUUCGAGGUGGGUUGAAGUUUACCGAAUUCUUCGAAUUUCCUCCUAAGCCUAGUUUGUUGUCAGCAUGUAUUUUUGGCUUCGUAUAUUAUGUUUAGUAGCUCGAUUCGUCGAUUUGCAUUGUUCUUCAAUGAAAUCUGAAUUAGAGAUUUAGUUUAUUAUACAUAUUGGACUUGGAAUUGACUUAGGAGAAAACUAUAGGUUCUACACUGUCAUUUUCUUAAAACUAUCAGAUUUAGCUUUAGGAGCCGCAGUUUGUUUGUAUCGGCGCAGUUUGUAGGCGGUAGAUACCGAGAAUAGUGUAGAAUGAAUUUACGCUCGUGCUGGAAUACCGAGUUUAUUUUUACAGUAGUGUAUAGACUGUUCCGGACUGUCGAGUGCCGUCGCGGCUGACAGUGGACCCAGAUUUCUGUAUUUUGCAUAAAAUUGUGCCGAGGGCACGUGAGUUAUGGUUGUUAGACUAGUUAGACACUUCUGCUUUGACUAUAGUCUGUGAGAGCCUGAUUGAGCUCGGUAGAGAUACGCUUGCAUACUCGAUUGGGUAACGCCCACGAGUGCCACUCCGGAGUCGGACUUUGUGCUUUUGCGUUGUUGUCAUUAUGUCCUGGUUGGACUCGCUCUCCACUGACGACUAAGCAUGGUGGUAGUUAGUAUAACUUCGACAUGCGGGACAGGUGUGUUCACAGUCCCUAGUGAGAUUAGGUCAGAGUUUGUGUAGUGACCCUGGAAUUCAGCAUUUGAGGCUUGUCGACAGCUCUGGAUAGUGUCGGGAUGAGUCCAAGUCCUAUUAGCGCGAAAUAGAUGCAAACUGCACUCAGCGAGACACGAGAGCAGAGAGUUAGCAUUGCAAUCUGCAAAUUGCAGAAUUUCAGCAAUUGGUACCGGUACCACAUAGGGGCGUACCGGUACCCGGUGCAAUUUUCUGCGCAGACUGCUCUCGGGUUGCCCAUUCUGCUGCGCGGUACCGUUACAACAUUGGAUUGGUACCGGUACUCCAGGGUUGGUGAGGGGCUGAAUGGUCUUUUGACUGCCUCGUUGUCUUCACCCUCACCUACUCUCCUUAUAUACGUGUAGAGGAGCAAGGAUGGAGGGUUUUGCAGCUUCUUCUUCUCCUCUCUCUCUAGCUUGUGCCGUACGUGGUGGAGCUCUCCGGUGGAAUCGGAGCGACGUCGACGUUGUGCCGCGGAGCCGUUCGAGCGUGCGUUCGUCGUGGUAGCGUCGUGGGAAGGCCGAGCGAGCGUGUGGUUCCGCUUUUGUCAACUUCUCGCCGUUGUUGGACGCGCUUUCGAGGUGGGUCAAAGUGAUGCUUACGGAAUUUCGCGGAUUUUCCUCCUAAUUCUAUAUAUUGACAGCAUGUGUUUUUUUAGCUUCGUUUAGCAUAUUGUUUAGCUCAAUAUUUGGAUUUGCAUGUUAUUGAUCUUGAAUUGGAGCUUAAAAUACUAGCUAAAUUAUACAUGUUGGACUUGAUUUUUGACUUAGGAGAAAACUGGCGUUUCUACACUGUCAUAUGUUAAAACUACCAGAUUUAGCUCUAAGAGCCGUAGUUUGUUAGUAUCGCCGCAGUUUGUGGGCGGUGAAUAUCCAGAAUAGUGUAGAAUAUAUUUACGCUAGUGCUGAGGUAUCGAGUGUAUUUUUACAGCAGUAUUUAGGCUGUUCCGGAUUGUCGGUGUCGUUGAGGUUGACGGUGGACCCAGAUUGCUGUUUUUGCAUCAGAUUCUGCCGAAGGCACGUGAGUUCAGCUGUUAGACUCUGUUUACUUGACUAUAGCCUAUGAGAGCCUGAUUGAGCUUGACAGAGACAUCCUUGCAUACUCGGUUGGGUAGCACCCAUGAGUGCCACUCCAGAGUCGAGCUUUGUGCGUUUGCGUUGGUGUCGUUUUGUCCUAGUUGGACUUGCUCUCCACUGAUGACCUGGUUUGGUGUCAAUUAGUGUAGCUUCGACAGGCGAAUUGUUGUGUUAGAGCAUGAUAGUAUGGUGGCAUUUAGUUGUAGAUUUAUUCCAGCCUUCCUUACUAUCCCUACUUACUUCUGUAGACUUAGUGGGUGAGCCAUUGAGGUCGGUAGCGGUGCCCACUGAGGACUAUUUCUUUUUGCAGUAGUUCUCAUGCCUAGUUGUUGAAACCUUUUGCAGAGCCAUCUUCUUCAACUGCUGUUGCUGCUGAGUCUGAUCGUGGAAAGGGCGUGGCGAGUUAGAGCCCUUCCUGACGAGUUGCAGAGCUAGAGGAGUAUCAGCUAUAGAUAGUUGUAGUUUUUGGGUUAUGAUACAUACUAAUGCUUGUAUCUCGCUGGAGCGAGUAUUUUUUUGUUUACCUGAAUGUGACGUACGUAUAGUGAACCUCUGAUGUUAUAUAUGUUUUAUUUCGGCAGCUCUAUACUGCUGGUUGUAGUGUUGUAUGAUUACAGGUACACCUAUCGCUUCGUAUAUAGGAAAAGUUUUUUUUAUACGACGGAUUUGUCGGCGUGCCCGGGGAAACGAGUAAUCCGGGGCGUGACAGUUUGCAUUUUCUACAGAUAGUUAGUGUUGGUUAGCGAUAGUAUAAUAACAUAUAGUUGUAGAGUUUUUUCAGCUUCCUUUACUAUUCUUGAGCAUACCUUCUGUAGACUUAGUGGGUGAGCCGUUGAGGUCGGUAGCAGUUCCCACUGAGGACUACUUCUUUUUGCAAUAGUUCUCAUACCUAGUUGUUGACCCCUUUUUGCAGAGCCUCCUUCUUCGGCUGUUGCUGUUGCUGUUGCUGAUUCUGAUCGUGGAAAGGGAGUCGCGAGCUAGAUCCCUUCCAGUUUUGUUGCUGCUUAAAGGAGUACCAACUACAAGUAGUUUUGGAUUUUUGGGUCAUGUACAUGCUGAUGUUAGAUCCUCGCUGGAGCGAGUAUUUUGUAUCUGGAGACUAUGUAUGUAUUGUGAACCCGAUGCUUAUUUUUAUAUGUUACAGUUCUGUUAGCAGCUCUAUACUAUUAGUUGUAGUUUUGUAUGAUUAUAGGUACAGGUACAGCUAUCGCUUCGUAUAUAGGAAAAUUUUUUUUUAUACGGCGGAUUUGUCGGCGUGCCCGAGGAAACGAGUAAUCCGGGGCGUGACAUCGGAAUAGCUUGGAUUUUUGAUAGAAAUUUCUAUUCACUACCUAAAUAAAGAUCAAUAACUCCGAUCUUAAAUUGAAAGAUCCGAUCAUCUAUUUUUAGGAUGUCGUUCUAUACCCCCUUGAUAGACUUUAUAAUGAUUUCGAAAAAUUACGAAAUUUAUUUUCUAGAAGUUUCAAAUACUCUAAAUCAUGUUUAAUGGUGUGGAUCCUCGAUUUGAAGAGCCCAACAGCGAAAACAACUUAUGAGUACGAAGGGCUGUAUACUCAUAAGAGUAUAGUAGCCCUACUAUAUAUAUAUAUAUAUAUAUAUAUAUAUAUAUAUAUAUAUAUAUAUAUAUAUAUAUAUAUAUAUAACUAGGCUGGAANUUUUUUGAAAAAAUAAUUAGCAAAGUACACAUUUUCAAAAUAAAAAGUAUUAGUACAAAUUAGUAAAGAUUUUUUUUUAGAGAAAAUAUAAUAGCAUUCUGUUACUGUUCACUUCGUUUAUCUUUUUAAAGAGAAUAAACUCAUUUAGAACUAUUUAUUUAGUGUUUAAUUUGAGUGCACUUCGAUGUGACACGCACCGCAAGACCAAAUUAUCUCCACGUGCUUGUUUGACUAUGUGGGCUAAUGCUAGAAACGAAAGAUGCAAACAAAUUUAAUUUGGUUGAGCUAUGAAAAGCACUUGUUACUAUCAAUUAGGUUGGUGAACUUCCCAAUGAAUUGAGGUCUAAAUAAUGUAGACAUAAUAUAUAUAUAUAUAUAUGUUUUAUUAGAUCGAGUAUCUAUAUAGUGUUCUAGGGAGUCAAAAUCUAGUUUACUAGCUCAUUCAUUGGCUUCCAUGCUAUAUAUAUAGGUUUCCAUGGUUUCUUAGCAUCAAAGAAGAGAAAAAAAUAAAAAGGAGGGAUCUAAUUAUGCACUAAUAAUAUAGAUCUAAUCAUAUUCAUUUUUGAAAAAAAAAAAACUUAUAUAUAUAUAUAUACCACAUAUAUAUUUUUAAGAACACAAUUCUACUGUUUGAAGUGCAGAAAUUUACAAUAUGCAGAAUUAUAAAAUACAAAAAUUAUAUCUAUACUUCCUAUGAGUAAUUAUUUUUUGGUGUUUUCUUACCGUGAUUCUAUUAAAUUAGAAUGUUUGUUCAAAUAGGAAAAGAUUUUUAAUACCUAAGGCAAUGUUUUUUUAUUGUGUUUUAUUUUUUUUAUCUUUUUAAAUAAAGUUUUGUAUAUCAAAAGAUAUAGAAGUGAACAGUGUAUUGCUUGCAAUGCUUUUAUCCAAAAUAUUUACUUAACAAUAAAAAAUUAAAUCUUAAAAAUAAUUUUUUUUUCUUUCAUUUUUUUUUAAAAAAUUGUCAUUCAUUACUGGACUGGAUACAUUGUAAGCUAACUCACUAUAGAAAUAAAAAAAAAAAAGUUUUUUCUUCCAAUACAUCAAAUUAUAUAUAUAUAUAUAUAUAUAUAUAUAAUGUUAAAAAAUAUAAAAAUGAUAAUGAUACCAAACAAGUCCUGAGUUUUAUAUUUUUAUAUUUUUGAUUCUCUUAUUUUACAUUUCUUAAACAAGGCUGCCAAGUGACAACUGAGUUGCAUGUUUGUCUCUGAUCUAAGCUUGAACAGCAGUAACAGGAAAAUUCAUAAUUCAUAAUUACAAUAUUUGAAAAUACAACAAUGAUUAAUAUGAUUAAUCUAUGGAAACAAUGAUUUUGAGGUCCCACCUUAAAAGGGACACAACAACAACUUCAACUUAGCCCCCACAUCUUUCAAAUAAAUACAAGUUGUUAGAUUAAAAAAAUGAGCAGGAAAAUGAAAGGGAAAGUUCCUUUGAAUAGCUUUAUACAUAUGGGCCUUACUGAAGGAAAAAAAUUGCAAUGGACCCCCAUAUAUAUAUAUAUAGAGAGAGAGAGAGAGAGAGAGAGAGAGAGAGAGAAAGAGAGAGUGAGGCUAGUAUGCUUCUGGAAGCACAGAGUGCUCCGUGCUUUCAAGUCGUUUUCGACGUUAGGACUUUCGAAUCGAUGAUCGGCUUCGUUAGAGUGCCUAGUGAUUGAAGGGGCUCAAAAUCAACGGCUGAAAAUAAAAAUCUUACAAAAUUUAUUUUCUCGGUACUUUAAAUACUCUAGAUCACUCUAUAUAUGUAAUAUACUGAAUCUUAGCAAAUUAGCAAGGUUACAGUAUAAGUUAUGCUUGAUUGAGUUGGAGACGUUUUGCGCAAAAUAGACGUAAAAGCGGACUUUGAAACUUAAGAUUUAUAUUGUAGAGGACUAAAGUUGAAUGCUAGAGUAGGUGAGGGGCUUUUGGACAAUUGUUUCCUUUCAACCUUAUCCCCACCGCCUUAAUUAGGAUAGGGAGGCUGUAAGGGAUUUAAUUAACUUUCUUCUCUCUUUCACUCUAAUUUAGCUCGUGGGCACGAUGGAGAGCUCGAGCUCGGGAGAUUUUCGUUGUCGUUUCGGAGAGCCGUUCGAGCGUGCGUUCGUCGUGGUAGCGCCGUUGGAGAAAAUUGACUUUUCUACGCCGCCAUUUGAACAAACUAUCAGAUUUAGCUUUAGGAGCCGUAGUUUGAUUGUAUUAUCGCAGUUUGUGGGCGGUGGAUACCCAGAAUAGUGUAGAAUAUAUUUACACUCGUGCUGAAGUGCCGAGUGUAUUUUUACAGCAGUGUUUAGGCUGUUCAGAAUUGUCGGGUGCUGUUGAGGUUGACGGUGGACCCAGAUUGCUAUUUUUGCAUCAGCUUGUGCCGAGGGCACGUGAGUUCAAUUGUUAGACCCUGUUUACUUGACUAUAGCCCGUGAGAGCCUGAUUGAGCUCGACAGAGAUACGCUUGCAUACUAGGUUGGAUAGCGCCCACGAGUGCCACUCCGGAGUCGGGCUUUGUGCGUUUGCGUUGGUGUCGUUGUGUCCUGGUUGGACUUGCUCUCCACGGACUGCUUAGUGUGGAGGUAGCUGUUUAGCUUCAACAGGCUGGGACGGGUGUUUUCACAGUCCCUGGGACCGGUGUGUUCAUAGUCCCUAGUGAGAUUGGGUCAAAUUGUACUUUUCUACAGAUAGUGGGUGAUAGACCGGGAUAGUAUAGGUGCAUAUAGCUGUAGAUUUAUUCCAGCUUUCUUACUAUACUUGUUUACAUCUAUAGACUUAAUGGGUGAGCUGUUGGGGUCUGUAGCGGUACCCACUGAGGACUACUUUUUACAGUAGUUCUCACGCCCAGUUAUUGGAAUCUUUUGCAGAGCCUUCUUCUUCGGCUGCUGCUGCUGCUGAUUCGGACCGUGGAAAGGGAGUCGCGAGUUAGAUCCCUUCCCAGUUGCUGCUAAGCUAGAAUAUACUAACUACAGGUAGUGAUAGUUUUUGAGUUCAUAUACAUAAUUAUGUUCUAUCUCGCUGGAGCGAGCGUUUUGUACACCUGGAUUUGAUGUAUGUAUAGUGAACUUCUGUUUUUAUAUUUGUUCUCUUUUAGCAGCUCUAUACUACUGGUUGUAGUAUUGUAUGAUUACAGGUACAGCUAUCGCUUCGUAUACAGGAAAAAUUCCUUUGUAUAUGACGGAUUUGUCGGCGUGCCCGAAAAAACGAGGAAUCCGGGGCGUGACAAUAUAUAUAUAUAUAUAUAUAUAUAGAGAGAGAGAGAGAGAGAGAGAGAGAGAGAGAGAGAGAAAGAGAGAGUUUUGCUAGAAUACUAUUGGUAGUAAACGGCUCGGUUUACUACCGAUUUGUUUUCGAUGAUAGAGCUUCCCAAUUGAUGAUCGGCACCGUUAAACAUGAUCUAAACUAUUUAAACUAUCUGAAAAUCAAAUUUCACACAUUUUCGAUAUUGUUCUCUUGUCCAUCAAAUGAACAGAAAAAUGAAUGGCUGGAAAUGAAUAUCCUUCAAAAAGUUAUGAUACAAUUUUUAUAUUUGAGAUCUAGAGUCUAGAUCUUAUUUUAAAUAGUUUAAAAAAAUUUUUAACAAAAAUUUAGUCUAUACCGUUAAACGAGCAAACGCACCAUAUCGGCCAUUAAAAUUAUAGAUUUUGUGACCCUUUGAUCGUUCAGUUAGUGAUGCCAAAAAAAUCAUAAAAUUUGAUUUCUAGAUAAUUUAAAUGGUCUAGAUCAUGUUCAACGGUGCCGAUCGUCGAUUUGGAAGCUCUAUCAUAAAAAACAAAUCGAUAGUAACGAGCAGUUUACUACUGAUAGUAGCCCGGUCAAAACACUCUCUCUCUCUCUCUCCUCUCUCUCUCCUCCCUCUCUCUCUCUCUCUUCUCUCUCCCCUCUCGCUCUCUCUCUCUCUCCGUCUCUCUCUCUUAUAUAAUAUAUAUAUAUAUAUAUAUAUAUAUAUAUUAUGAUAGCUGGAAUAACUAUUAAUAGUAAAACGCUCUUUUUGCUAUCAAUUUUUCCUUGGAGAAAAAUUGUAAGGUCAGGAUGAUAUUAGUCGUUAGAGUUGAGGGUCCCCACUGGUUAUAGUAUUUAAUCCAAUGGUUAGAAAUAAUGAAAAGAGUUUAUCCAAAGGCUAAAAAACUGGUAGCAACAAUAGGAUUUUGCUACUAAUAGUAGCCCAGUCCAACUAAUAUAUAUAUAUAUAUAUAUAUAAUAUAUAUAUAGUGAGGCUAGUAUGCUUUUGGAAGCACGAAGCGCUCUGUGCUUUCAAGUUGUUUUCGAUGUUAGGACUUUCGAAUCGAUGAUCGGCUCCGUUAGAGUUGAUCUAGAGUAUUUAAAGUACCGAGAAAAUAAAUUUUGUGAUUUUUCAAUAUCAUAUGCCUAGUGAUCGAAGGUGCUCAAAUCAAUAAUUUUAAUGGCCGUAGUGAGCCGUUUGCAAGUUUAACGGUGUAUAAAUAUCCAAAUCACAUGAAAUUUUGAUAGAAAAUUUUUUAUACCAUAUAAAACAAGAUUAAUAACUUUGAUCUAAAAUUUUAAUGUCAUAUCAUCAAUAUUUGUAAGAUUUUUAUUUUCAGCCGUUGAUUUUGAGCCACUUCGAUUACUAGGCAAAUGAUACCGAAAAAUCGUAAAAUUUAUUUUCUAGAUAUUUCAAAUACUCUAGAUCAAGUCUAAUGGAGCCGAUCGUCGAUUCGAAAGUCCGAACAUUGAAAACAACUUGGAAGCACGGAAGCAUGCCAGACGCACUAUAUAUAUAUAUAUAUAUAUAUAUAUAUAUAUAUAGCAGGGCUGCUGCUCUGAGCCGUUUUUGAUGAUGGAGUUUUCGAAUCGACGAUCGGCUCGUUAAACUUGAUCUAGCGUAUUUAAAGUUUCUAGAAAAUAAUUUUUGCGAUUUUUCGAUAUCAUUUACCUAGCAAUCGAAAUGAUUCAAAAUCAAUAAUUUUUAACGACUGAAAAUAAAAAUUCUAUAAAAAGUAGUGUAUAGCACUAAAAUUUCGAUCAGAAAUAGAUCUUGUUGUAGAUAGUAUAAAGAAUUUUCUAUCAAAAUUUCAUCUGAUUUGAAUACUUCUACACCGUUAAACUUGAAAACGGCAGAUAUAAACCAUUAAAAAUUAUGGAUGUUGAAUCCUUUCGAUCACUAGGUAAAUAAUAUCGAAAAAUCACAAAAAUUAUUUUCUAGAAACUUCAAAUGCGCUAGAUCAAGUCUAACGGAGCCGAUCGUUGAUUCGAAAAUUCCAUCAUCGAAAACAGCUCAGGAGCACGGAGGCCUCCGUCUCCUGAGAGCACAGCAGCCUGCUCUCUCUCUCUCUCUCUUCCCUUCUCUCUCUCUCUCUCUCUCUCUCCUCUCUAUAUAUAUAUAUAAUUAUAUAUAUAUAUAUAUAUAUAUAUAGAGCUAGUCUCAUAUACUAUCUAUAUACCAAGGCUACCCGGUAUUAUAGUCUUGGUUUUGAUCUUAGGGUAUUCAAAUCAACGAUCCACACAGUUAAAACUGAUCUUGGGUAUUUAAAGUUUUUAGAAAUAAAAUUUUAUAAUUUUUCAACAUAAUUUACUUUAUGAUUAAAUCAUUUCGAAAUUGUCAGUUUUCAGUGACUACUAUAGCGAGUUUGGAGUUUAACUAUGUAGAAGAAUCUAAAUUUCUUCAAAUUUUGAUAGAAAAUACUUUAAACUAUCUAGAUUAAGGUUAACAUUCUUGAUCUUAAAUUUAAAAGUCCUAUGCUCAAAUUUUAAAGGUUAUUCAAUUUCCACCGUUCAUUUUAACAUACUUUAUUUACCAAGUAAACGAUAUCGAAAAAACUAAAAUUUUAUUCAUAAAAACUUCAUAUACCCUAAAUUUUAUAUAUAUAUAUAUAUAGGAAGGCCAAGUUCUCCCUUGCUUGUCCAGUUGGGUCAUGUUGUCAUCCCUCUAUGUACUCAAGCCCAAAAAUAAAAGCUUAAAUAUUUAAAUUGUCUAUUAUUAUUAUUAUAGUACUGGAACUGCUACAAUCUAUCUUCUAUAUUCUAUAUUCUAUAUAUAAAAGUUUAAUUUCGAAUGUUGAUGUGGAGGCUUCUCCUUAUUUUGGGCCAAGUGGAGCCCAUCUUCAACAAAAUUUUUUAUAUAUACAUAUUUAUGUAUAACUCUGGCAUCUGUUGCCAUUCUCCCUUCUUACGCUCUUCAUCUCCACAUUACAUUUUUUUAUAUAUAUAUGUAUAUCUCUAUCCAGCAAACUCAGGUUUAGUAAGGCUGCAGCUCCUCUCUCAACCUAUACCCUUCCACUAGGGUUUUUUUUUUUUUAUAUAUAUAUAUAUAUAUAUAUAUAUAUAUAUAUAUAUAUAUAUAUAUGUAUUUAUCUGAUGCGUCUAAUUUGGCGUUAGAAUUUAUGAAGAAGCUUGAUCUAAUCAAAUUGGACCAAAAAAUUUAGUGAAUUCAGCAAUUUUUACGAACAGUCCGAAAUAUUCUUUACAUCGUUAUAACUUUUUGCAUAGCUGUUUAUUUUCAGCAUGCAACUCUAAUUCGAAAACAAGUUUUCGAGAUCUAUGCGCGGAAUGGCGCGCAUUGCCAUUUUGGUCUAGGUUGGAAUCUAACUAUAAUUAUUUAGACCUUCCAAUUUAUCUUUUUUAGGCUGCUUUUUGAGAAGUUUUUAUAAUUUUUUUCUAUUUUGAGUCAGUUAGAUUAGUCAGUUAUAAUCUAUGGUAAAUUGCUCUACUAGCUUGAGUACUUUUACAGAAGUUGUACUACAGCUUCUAACAUUUUAAUGUGAAUUUAACUGUUUACAAACAUUUACAAAUGUAUCAAAUGAUCUAUUGUUAAAACUAUUGACUGAGAUUAAGAUAAUUUAUUAAACCCACAUUGGUAUCAAAAGUGCGAAUUAGGCCUUAUUUCGGAGCAAAGCUCAUUUUGAUAUACAAUUACUUUUUUUUUUUUUUCAGAUAGAAAGAAAUAUUUUACAAUUAAGUUUUCCAUCAAAAAAAAAUGUUACCGGAUAUUCGCUUAUCAGACUUUAUGCUACCAAAUUCAACUUUAAAUGACAACAGACGAAUUUGAUAUAUUUGUGAAAAUUCAAAAGAAACUAAAUGACUUGAGAAAAAUUAACGUAAACUAAAUGUGUCAAAAGAGUUAAUUAAAAGGAUUAAUUUCAUAUAGACUCCUACAAAUAUAUUUUUACAAAGUUCAACUUUUAUAUAUUGUUUCUGCAAAAGUCCUGAUAUUUUUUCAAAUAUAUCUUUCUAGUUUGUUACCAUUAAAAAAAUAUUUAUAUUUUAUAUUUUGCCAUCACAAAUAUAUCUUUCCGAAAGGCAUAACAGUAUAUUAUAAAAGUAUAAAAAUAUCAAAAACUAACCGAGCUAAAUUUUUCUAACAGAUUCUUACAGCAGGAAUAUAUUUGAAAAUAUCAAGACUUUUGCAGGAACAACGUAUAAAAGUUGAACUUCGUAAAAAUAUAUUUGGUAUUCACUAUAUUUACAGAAGCUUGUAUGAAAUUAAUCCUAAUUAAAAACAAUGUGUUAAUUCGAAUUUGAUCUGGAAAGAAAAUAUAGGAAUAAUAAUAUCUUUUCAUUAAUAAUAAGGGUGGGAGAGAUUAUUAAGGGCAAGUGACAAUGAGUGAGUACAAAACUUUUCCAGUGACAUCCAAUGUCCUGCUCCCAAAAAAGAUUGCACUCGCCUGAACAGUAAAUAAAAAAAAAAAAAAUUCUACCAUAUGCGCCUCUCAUUUCUCAUUAUCAUCAAAUAUCACUCAAGUUCGUAUCUCAAAACAACUUUAGUGGUAUCCGUGAUAAAGAUCACGUCUGAAUUGUCUGAUAGAAUUUUUUUUUUGUUUUCACUUUUAUUUUUCUGGAAAAAAAAACAACAACAACAACAACGAUCUGCAGCCUACUUCUUCUACUCAUCCCUUAGAGCGUAAAAUUGAUGAUAAAACUCCGACAUGCGGUGAAGACGCGAUCUUAGCUUUGUUCCACGAUCGUCGAACUGGGUAUGAUAUCGUCCUCGUACACGCACCGCACGUACCGGUCGCGGCAGCGGAGCGGUGGAGCGCGCAUUUGCAAUCUCGGUGAUACGGCCGGCGCUCCCUAUCGCCGUGCGAGGCGUCGAUGCAGCCCUCAAAGACGGGCCGGAGCAGCCGCCUCCCGGCGGCGGCGGCUCCGGCAGCCAUCGUCGACGUGCGAGAGAUCGAGCCCCCGCCGCCACCCCCGCAGCUAUAUAACGAUAGUAUUCUAUUGCUUUUAUGGUCAACCACGUUCUUCGCCGAGAGUGGUGGGGUGGUGUAUAUAUAUAUACACACACGUAGAAUGGUGGCCGGAUAAAUACAAGGGGCUUAGAGGUAUCCGCGGGAGAGCUUUUUACACAAGGUGAUCCUAUUCUUGUGCCUUGUAUAUUAUAUUGAGGAGUACAAAAUAUGUUGUUGGGUUGUGGGAGAAGGAGACGAAUUAACGUUCGUGAUUAGAGAGAGGGGCAUAGGACAUGUAAAUAUAUUAUAAGGUAAAUAAAUAGGCGUAAAAUUUAUUCGAAUUAUAAAUUAUUUUGAAUUAAUUGUUUAAUUUUUUAAAGUUUUUAUUUUAUUAUCUAAUCUUUGAAUUUGUUCGGUAUAAAUUAAUAAAGUCAUAUAAAUUUCCUUCAAGGGAUAAAAGGAAAUAAGAAAUAACAACUCCUUUAUAAGUCAUUAUAAUAUAAAUGAUCAAAAGUUUGAUCGAAGAACUAAAAAAUUAGAAACAACAACUCCUUUAUGCUUUCAAAGCACCGUAGUCGAACUUCAUUAACUAAUAUUUAUAUUAUUUGCAUAACUAAUAUUUUAAUUUAUCAAAUUAAUAUAUUAACUAAAAAUAUAAUUGAUUAAAUAAUUUAUUAAUAUUAAUAUAUUGAUUUGUUUUUUUUAUAGUUAUUCACUAAUUAACAUUAUUCUUCAUCAUCUCAUAUAGUAUUCCCAAUUAAUUAAUUUAUUACUUAUUAAAAAAUUAUUUUAUGAAUAUUAGGUGCUUAUUAUUUAGACAAAUUAUUUUUUCCAAUCGUAAUUAUUUUUAUUUCUACCAUUUCAACCCAAUCAUCCAAAUUUAAUUUUUCGUAUCUCCCACAAUAUCUAGAGUCUCAUUCAAAUAUAACAUUGAUCUAAUUCCUGCUUAUCUCAGAAAAUAUACCCAUUCCAAGAAUAAGUAAGAAUAACUUGUUCCCGAACCAAAUAGUUCCUAAUUUAAAAUUUGAAUGCUCCAUAUAAUUUUUCAUAUUUAUCUAUUAUACUUUAUGAAAUUCUCAUAAUUAUAAAUUUAUUAAAAUAAGUAAUUAGCUUAAAUUUUAAAGUUAAAGUAUCGACUCAAAUCAAACAAAUUGAAAGGUUGGAUAGUAAAAUCAAAAUUUUGAAAGAUAAAAUAGCCGAUUUAAAAUGAUCUGUAGUUUAGAUAAUUUAUGUAUAUUAUUAUCAUUUAUUAAUUAUUUUGAUCAUGGUAAGUGAGAGGGUUGUGGA